UUUUUUUUUGGUAUUUCGUGUUCCAUAUCCAUAACUAAAAGAUAGAGAACAACUUAGAACAGCAAACAAAAAUUACUUAGUGAUAAAGUAAACAAGCACACACGAGAAUAUUCACCCCACGCUAUGACUCCCCGGCAACGGCGCCAGAAAAAGGUCUUGAUAACCCACAAGUGUAGGGGAUAAUUGUAGCCUCUUUCGAUAAGUAAGAGUGUCGAACCCAACGAGGAGCUAAAGGUAGAAAAAAUAUUCUCUCAAGUCAUAUCUGCCACUGAUACGACUUUACACACGCUUAGUGUUCGCUUUACCUAGAACAAGUAUGAAACUAGAAGUACUUUGUAGGUGUGAUAGGAUAGGUUUGCAAGAUAAUAAAGAGCACAUAAAUAUAAACUAGGGGCUGUUAAGAUGAAGACACAACUAAGUUAGUUUUAGUAGAGAGCUUGUUGUCACGAGAAAGUUAUUUGUCCCUAGGCAAUCGAUAACUAGACCGGUAAUCACUAUUGCAAUUCUAUUUGAGGGAGAGGCAUAAGCUAACAUACUUUCUCUUCUUAGCUCAUAUGCACUUAUGAUUGGAACUCUAGCAAGCAUCCGCAUCUACUAAAGAUCAUUAUGGUAAAACCCAACCAUAGCAUUAAAGUAUCAAGUCCCCUUUAUCCCAUACGCAAACAACCUACUUACUCGGAUCUGUGCUUCUGUCGCUCAUGCCACCCACCAUAAGCAAAUCAUGAACAUAUUGCAAACCCUACAGCGGGGAUCCCUCACGCUUGCGCGACACGGAGAGCACCAUAGGACAGCACAAAUAAUAAAACAUGCAACUCAAACCAAUCACGAUCAUCAAUUAACCCAUAGGACAAAACAGAUCUAUUCAAACAUCAUAAGAUAGCCAUACAUCAUUGGAAAAUAAUAUAUAGCGUUGAGCACCAUGUUUAAGUAGAGAUUGCAGCGGGUAAGAGAGGGGUUACACCGCUGCAUAGAGGGGGGAAGAGUUGGUGAUGAAGGCAGUGAAGAUGAUGGAGGUGUUGGUGCAGAUCGCGGUGAUGAUGAUGGCCCCCGGCGGCGUCCCGGCGCCACCGGAAGCAAGGGGGAGAGAGCCCCCCUUCUUCUUCUUCUUCCUUGACCUUCUCCCUACAUGGGAGAAGGGUUUCCCCUCUGGUCCUUGGCUAACAUGGCAUGGGAGGGGCGAGAUCCCCUCCGAGAUUGGAUCUAUCUCUCUGUCUCUCUUUGUUUCUGCGUUCCCAGAUUCUGCCCUUUCACCGUUUCUUUUAUAUCCGGAGAUCCGUAACUCCGAUUGGGGUGAAUCUUUCGCCCAGAUUUUUCUCAUAAAAUUAGCUUUAUUGCGGCAAAAUAAGAGCGUCAACCGCCUUAUGGGGUGCCCACGAGGGUCCAGGGAACGCCUGCCCCCCUAGGGCGCGCCCCUUGCCUCGUGGCCCCCUCGGGCACCGUCUCGCGUUGAUUCUUCCUCCCAAAAAUCACAAAUAUUCCAAAAUAAUUCUCCGUCCGUUUUUAUCCCGUUUGGACUCCGUUUGAUAUUGGGUUUCUACGAAACAUAAAACAUGCAAGAAACAGGAACUGGCACUGGGCACUGGAUCAAUAUGUUAGUCUCAAAAAAUAGUAUAAAAAGUUGCCAAAAGUAUAUGAAAGUUGAAUAAUAUUGGCAUGGAACAAUGAAAAAUUAUAGAUACGACAGAGACGUAUCAAUCCUGUUCGCCGACACCUUCCUCAACCCUACCGGAGCCACUUUGCCGACACCAUCGUCAACCCAACCGGAGUAGCUUUGCCUAUACCAUUCUCAACCCUACCGGGGCCACUUUGCCAACUCACAAGUCCAUGGCCUCAGAUCCGCUUCCUUGCACCCUCAUCCAACCUACCGGAGCAGCUUCUGACGCCCUAUCCAUGGCCGCAUAUCCGCAUCGUUGACACCAUCCUUAACCCAACCAUCGGAGCAGCUUCACCUAUGGCCUCGUCCACGGCCACAGAUCCGCUUCGCCCACACCGUAGUCCACCCUACCGGAGCCGCUCCACAAACACCCUACUCAACGGUUCUAGAUCUCCUUACCGGACACCAACAGCCAGUGCAGCAUCAUCACCUAGACGUUUCUAACCUGAUUCCCACCGUUUGGCAAGAUGCCAAGCACCCUCCACGGCCUAGGUGCUUGUCACAUUUAAAACCGUCCAGCAUCACCUGCCCGAUGUACUUCAAAUAUACUAAAAGGUCGAUGUUACCUGUUAUGCAGCUGGCAAAAACUACAAAACGAUGUUUCUUCUGGAUCUAACAGCUUGACCAACCAAGAUCCUGGACUGAGGCAUUUCUAUGAUCUUGUAGGUGUGUCUCUCUCUUUUGUAUUGUUCGUUGCCUGCCAGCGUGCUUUGCUAGGAUUUUCGACCUGUAAUCCCUUUGUGCAGACAAUGAUUUCUACUACUGGCUGCUAAAUUAGAUAUGUAGAUGUCAUACAUGAUACUACCUCGUACCUCCAUUCCUAAAUAUAAGUCUUUCUAGAUAUUCCACUAUAGGCUACAUACAGAGCAAAAUGAGUGAAUCUACACUUGAAAAUGCAUCUAUAUACAUCUGUAUGUGGUCCAUACUGGAAUCUCUACAAAGACAUAUAUUUAGGAACAGAGGCAGUACAUUACACAAAAUCAUAGGUGUCAUGUAGGAAUUCCAGUGCACUACAUUAGGCUCCCUUAGAGUGCCUGCUAGUCCAGCACACAGAGUCAUGGCUAGUUUAUGCUACACACACAAUCAUUAGUUGGUGGUUUAAAUAUGCGCAAGGGAUAUGCAAUGUAUUAUCAUGUAGAGAUGUCUGAAAUUAGCCGUGUCAACUUGCAGAUAGGGUUACACAAUGAAAAAGUACAAGAUGUAUGCGGCAAUUUCAUGGAACAUUGCAAAAAAAAGGAGAGGCAGCGGUGAGUCUAUAUAGUGUGCUAUGGUACGUCACUCCUCCAUUGCAAUCAUCGCGACAUGUUAUUUGUAUGUCAGUUCUAUUGGCCAAGUUUCUUAGGGACAGUUAUUACGAGUUAUCCUAAGAAAAUAAGCACAUGUGAAUAUAAGCUCGAAGUAAUAGGCCAACCAGUUCUUUUCAUUGCCUUUUCAGCUUAUCUUUGGUAUGAUCAGUGAAAACUCUAGAUUGCAUUAUAUUUUUUCAUUUUUCUGCUCAUAUGAAAAUUAAUUUGACUUGCAAACAUCACAAAUUGAACCUAGUGUAGUAAUUAAUAUGAUAGGAAAACAGACCAUCACUAUUUGCUCAAAAUGCAAAUACAAAGAUACCAUCUACUUGGCACAAUCUACUUUGGUCAAUGUUUUCCAUAGAGAUCCCAUUGCCUAAUUAAACGAAGAACACAUGAACCGCAUUUAAAUGAAGAACAAUAAUUUAUUGAAAUUCGAUGGUCCAAGUGGCUGGUUAUUAUCAUAUAGCAGCAGCACCUGAAAGCAUCAUAUAGCAGCAGCAGCAGCUCAUAGCAACUCAUCAUACAGCAGCAACAGCAGCAGCAGUGUGCAAUUCAUCAUAUAUCAGCAGCAGCUCAUAGCAAUUCAUCAUAUAGAAGCAGCAGCUCAUAGCAACUCAUCAUACAGCAGCAGCAGCAGCAGUGUGCAAUUCAUCAUAUGCCAGCAGCAGCUCAUAGCAAUUCAUCAUAUAGCAGCAGCAGGAGCAGCUCAUAGCAAUUCGUCACAUAGCAUCAGCAGGAGCAGCUAUAGCAAUUAAUCAUACAGCAGCAGCAGGAGUAGCUUAUAGCAACUCAUCAUAUAGCAGCAGCAGCAGCUCAUAGCAAUUUACCAUAUAGCAGCAGCAACUCAUAGCAAUUCAUCAUAUAGCAGGAGCAGGAGCAGCUCAUAGCAAUGCAUCAUAUAGCAGCAGCAGAAGCAGCUCAUAGCAAUUCAUCAUAUAGUGGAUCAGAAUGAAAAUUUGGCAAAAAAUCAGAGGAGAUCCUCACCUUGUUGGAUGAGCUCAUCCUUCAACAGCACCUCAAGGCCACAACCUAGGAGGAGGGGAGGGGGAAUAAGGUGCCUUCUGCCGCAGUGUGGCAUCAGCCGUAGUUGUGCAGCGCCCGCCGGAGUAGUGCGUUGGACGAACCACAAUGGAGCAGCUGCUGGAGACCAUGAGAAUGAGGGGCGGCGCCAGAGGGAGGAGCAGCCAGGGAGACACGUUGCCUAGCUAGAUAGAGCAUCAUCGAGGACCAGGCCAGAUGGGACCAGUGGCGAUGGCUCGCUGGAGGAACCCUAGUGCUGCAGGUCAGGGAUCGAUGUAGAGGGAAAGGGGAGAGGAGAUGCAAGCGGGCAGGGCAAUGAACGCUUGCGUGUUUGUUUUUACUUGAGGGUCAGAUGUGAUGUGGGCGUCAGUAGUUGCAUUUUGAGUGUAAUAUAGGCAGACAACAGAGUCAUUUCACUAUUCCCCUUCCCUUCAAUUUUUAGUGAGGUUCUACCCGAAACACCCCCCUCCAAAGCGAAAUAAGUUAAGCCCAAUCCCAUAACUCAAAAAUGACUUCUUUACAUCUUUUAUGGCUUAUUUUGACAAUAAGCCCUGAAAAGGCGGAAUCGAAUUGGCCCUUAACCUGUAAUUCAAUUGUGCGUGCAAUGAUGAAUCACUCUUGCCUGCUAUAGUGUACAUUUAGGCAUCAUCAUACAUGGCAUAACUUAAUACAUGUGCAUUCCAUUGUAGAAUCUGGAAUAUGCAAUGUUUAUGUUAGUUCAUACGUUGCACAUGAUGUUUAAAUGCCCCUUAAAUCUGGUCAGUCAAGUGAUGGUGUUUAAGCCUCCUUCUUUGCUUCUUUUCUUGAUAUGUAAGAUUUGCUCACACAUCUGUUCAAUUGCUUGUUUGCAUUAGCCAGCCAUACUAGGACUGUUUGCUUUGAUUACUUGAUGUUCUUGACCUAACACUCUAACAGAGCUUGUCAAUGAUUUAAACACUAAGGGUUGUUGUAGUGGGGCCUUGUCUAACUCAUAGGUGACAUAAAGGUUUGGCUGUACACUAAAGUAGGCUCUCCAAGAGUACCUGGAGAUCCAGUUCGAAGGUAUGCCUAGUUUUUACAUAGUGCAGACAUAGUAAAUGCUCAUUUCAUUGUGUGCAAUUGCAAGAGAUGCGGCAUGUUUCAUUAUGUGGUCUUGUUUUGUUAUAAUCUCAUCCUUGUGUGUUUACAGACUGGAAAGUAUGCAUAUUUAUCUUCCAAGGAGAUGAGUAACUAGUUUGUGUCACCUUGCAGAGGGGGCGCAAUGAAGAUAAGAUUGAGGAUUUCCAAGUACAAGAUGUUAGGAAGGAGCCUUGCAAGAGAAGUAGGAGUUGCGCUGAGCCUCUUCAACCAGUUAAGGUAAGUCACUGUAUCCAACUCAACAGUUCAAUUCCUUGUUUGUUUCAGGCAUGGUUAAUUUGCUAUUUUCAGUUGCUUUAUUUGUCCUCAGUUAAUGAGAUGCCCAAAGAAUGAUGCCUGAUGUUGGGUACUUGUAUAACAAUUAGUUGACAAAAUUAAAGGCCUUACCAUUUAAUUACUCUACCGAAGUGUGCCUAAAGCUUUGAAGUCUAUUAACCAACUAUUAUUGCAUGAGGCUCACAAUCUAGUUUAUACUGGGCUAAUGAUUGCAUAGUUUUGCUUGCUGUAGUAUGUUUGUAUGAAUCCCUCUGUUGUUUAUUAUGCUCCCUAAGACUUUAAUUGAGCUACAGAAUGGCCAACUGCUUGCUUACUUAUAUGCAAUGUGCUGUCUAAAUUUGUAACUUGUCUGUGUUUUGGAUUGGGCCCCAACAUCAUGCUCCUCUGGUGAGCUAAGAGAGAUUUCUGUAUGCAGGAUGCACAGACUACUUUUUUUAUAAUUUUUAAAAUAUCACCUGCUUAUGCUUCAUGACGUGUAACAUUAUUGUUAGUCUUGUUUUCCCAUGUACAAAAUAGUCUGUCUUGCUCGCUUCACUGUUGUAACUAUAUUUUUGCCCUAGUCAUGUGUACUUACAGAAACAUUUCAGGAUGAAGUGACAUCAACACAAAGAUCUGUGAGUAGUGCGGCAUGGCCGUUACCGAAUGAUUAAGGAUUGGAAUUGGAAUAUGCUGAUGUUCUCGAGCAUCAACUAGAGGUGGCAAGACAACGUGUACAUGAUUCUCAACAUACAAUCAACAAGUUGAGACUGGACAUGCAGGUAUUAGAUGCAGGAGUCAAAAAAAUGAAACAAGACACUGAGGUAACCAUGAAGGAAUUGGAGAUUUUGCAGACUGAAAUUUGUGCUAUUUGAAUCCGGCCAAUCCUAUUUUCUGAAGAGAUUAUAGUUCAAAUGGUAAGUUUUGUUGAUGCGUGUCCAUGAUGUAUGAGCUUUAUUUGUCCAGUGUAUGUAAUUUAUUGUUUGUGUAUGCUUUGUUAUCACUGGUGUCAAACUAUAAUUCCCAAUGGGUAUAUUUGGCUGUAAUUUCUUUAUUGUACAGUGUAGGAUUAUUCUACGUUUCUAUGACGUAUUUUUAUUGUAUAGUGUAUGUUUUUAGGAGCGAUAGUAUAGAGUAGGAUAUUUCUUGAAUAUGACAUAUCGUUGAAACGGGGGCCAACAUGCCCAAACGUUUCCUUGACGCCAUACAAAUGAACAAACAUGUAUACUCAAAGCGGGCCUCAAUUGGGCUGGUCAAAAUAAUAUUAUGUGGAUCCCAAAUGAUUUGGCCCACCAUAACAAUGGCUCUUGGCAGGUCGUCAACAAGCCUAAAGCUCGAUAGGGCCGUAUAAAUGGAAAUGCCCUGCGGGCCUUUAGCAGGCCAAAAUAAAUGUCAAUUGUGUCUCAGCCCUUUUACUUUAUGGGCCAGUAAGAGGCCGAAAGUGUUAUGGGCCAGAGGAGGCCCAAUUUGCAAACUAGGCUUUUAACAGGCCGAAAGUCGCGUUGGGCUAAAAUGAUGCCCUGCGAAACAUGGGCCCCUAAUGGACCUUUGCCCUGCGGAACGUGGGCCCUAAUGGACCUAAAGUCAAAGGCCCAACUAUUGUGUGGGCCGUUAAUAGGCCGAGGGACAAAAUGGGCUAAGAGUUGGCCCAUUUGCCGAAUGGGCCGAGGACAGGCCUAAAGUCACAGCGGGCUAGAAUUGGCCCAACUGCAGAAUGGGCCGAGAAACAGCCGAAAGACGUUCUGGGUCGUUAACAGGCUGGAACUAACGAUGGGUUCCUAACAGGCCGAAAGAAGCUCGGGCUGCAAUUGGGCCCAAAGACCUAGCAGGCAGUUAACGGGCUUAAACUGACGACAGGCUGGAAAUUGUAGAAUCUAGAAUGGGCCUUUGAUGGGCCGAUUCUGUGUAACUUGUAUGGGCCGUACUUGUAAAUGGGUCUGAAUCAAGUAGGCCACUAAUGGGCCGGUCCGCUUAUUUUGACAGGCCUGGCCUUUUCAUCGGAAUGGGCCUCUCUUGGGUCGUGCCACGUGUCAACGUAUCAUAGGCGGCUCCUGUCUAAUGACUGGAUGACAUCUGUCCCAACCGUGAGGCAACACGUGUUUCCUCCGGCCAAUGAGAAUUUUACACGUGGAAAAUCCCCAUUGGGCGUGGCUGUUAGCGGGUUAUCGGAUCCAAAACAGGACCCGAUAGCUUAACGGUGUUCCGUUAUGGUGGAUGCCACGUGUUGGUCACCCUUGUCGAAAGCACUUCUAUGACGCGCGAUUUAUCGUCAUGGAAGUGGACACUUCCGUGAUGAUAAUUUUGGUAAUGUCAUGGAACACUUCUACGACAACACAAGUAUGACUAUCUUGAUUCUUUCAUAAAAUCGUCAUGGAUGUACAUGCAUGACAGAAAACUUGACCUACUGUGACAAACACGUAUCAUCACGGAAGUGUACUUUUUUGGUAGUGAGUGUUCGAGUUACUGGCUACUACUGCUGGCACCAGCUCUUCGAACUCGCUGCCUGAAUCAGUUUGGCUUCUUGAGUCUCAACUUCAAGUUGAAAGACAUCGAUCAGAUGUUAUGCGACAGGAAGCCGAAGGACUGAGGAAGUCCCUGCAGAAUUCAGAUGCAUACUUUCUGGUGCAACAGCAAGUGCUGGAGGAUUUGAGCGCCAAACAAGAGAAAGUUAAUAAGCUUGCUAAGCAUCUUGCCAGCAUUAUGGGUACCCAGGAUAUUGUUUCUUGAGCUCUUCUGAAGUGGUUUUCAGUUCUGGACUUGUUUUGUUGUGGCGUUUAUUUGCACUGGUCGCCAACUUUGACAACCAGUGUAUAUGAUAUGCUACUUUGUUCCCUAUAUUUGCACUGGUGGCGAACUUUGAUGCCCAAUGGAUGUAAUAUGUGUAAUAGCCGUGAUAGCCUAGCGUAAGUUGCUUGCUUAUUUAUUUCCUUAUUGUCUUGUUUAUUUGUUUACUUGUAGUCAGUGGAGUUCUUUUUCCGCGGUUUGCUAGUGGCCACAAUAACCUAUUUUUUAAAACUUGGCCACAAUAACCAUGGGCUACAUAUUUACUGUAGUUACCAUGGGCCUCCUAUGGGCCGUAGAAACAAUGGGCCUUCUAAGGGUCAUAGAAACAAUGGGCCUUCUAUGGGGCGUGGAAACAAUGGGCCUUCAACGGGCCGUAGACACAAUGGUCCUUCUAUGGGCUGUAUCAUCAAUGGGCCUUCUACGGGCCGUAUGAUCGGUUGGCCAAACAUGGGCCAAUAACAGACCGCAUUAUGGCUGUAAACGGGCUAGCGUUGGAAUCGCCCGUUCAUGGGCCAACCAUAAUGGGUCGUCGUUAAUCGAUCGUAUUGGAUGACGCUAUGAAAACGGCCCAACGUAUUAACGGGCCACAAAUGGGCCAACUGUAACCACUAGCUGAAUUUGGCCCACAAGCAGAAAAUGACAGUAACGGGCCGUAAGUAAACGAAUGCUGGAAAUGAGCCCAAGAAUAAAUGGACCCUGAGAAGGCUGAAAGAUAACAUGGGAUAGAAACGGCCCAACGGAAUAAUGGGCCGUUAAUGGGUAUAAAGUGAUACACUAUUCAUUACGGGCCAGUUUCACCACGUGCCAUUAAUGGAUAUAAAGUGAUACACUGUCCAUUACGGACCUGUUUCACGAUGGGCCUUUAAUGGGCCAACAGUUACAAAGGGCCUCAUGUGGGUCAAAAGACGUCAUGGGCCAUACAUGGGCCGAAAGUUAAAACGGGCUGGAAUCAUAUUGGACGGCCCAAAUAAUGCUACUGGACCUAAUUUGGAUAGAUCAUAACGGGCCCUAGGUUAGCGGGUUGUAAAUGGGCUAUAUGCGAACAAGCCGUUAACAAGCUUUCCGUGGGCCGGCCCGCCACCUUUUGACCAAGUCAAACGGGCUGGCCUUUUCACAGGAAUGGGCCUCUGUUGGGUCGUGCCACGUGUCGGUGUAUCAUAGGCGCCUUCGGUCCAAUGAGUGGAUGACAUCUGUCCCAACGGUGAGCCGACACGUGUUUCCUCCAGCCAAUGAUGAUUUUACACGUGGAAAAUCCCCAUUGGUCGGGGCUGUUAACGGGUUAUCGGAUCCAAAACUGGACCCGAUAGCUUAUCGGCAUUCCGUCAUGAUGGAUGCCACGUGUCGAUCACCCUUGACGAAAGCACUUCUAUGACAUGUGAUUUAUCGUCAUGGAAGUGGACACUUCCGUGAUGAUAAUUUUGGUAAUGUCAUGGAACACUUCUACGACAACACAUGUAUGACUAUCUUGAUUCUGUCAUAAAAUCUUCAUGGAUGUACAUGCAUGACAUAAAAUGUGACCUACUGUGACAAACACGUAUCAUCACGGAAGUGCAUUUUUUUGCAGUGUCAACUCUUUGUCCUAGAACAGCACCAACGGCAUAAUCACUAGAAUCACACAUAAUUUCAAAAGGCAAGUUCCAAUCAGGUGGUUGAACAACAGGUGCAGAAAUUAAGGCUUUCUCAAGUGUUUCAAAGGCUUCCAAGCAAUCAUCAUCAAAAACAAAAGGGAUAUCCUUUUGCAAAAGAUUUGUAAGAGGCCUAGAAAUUUUAGAAAACUCUUUGAUAAAUCUCCUAUAGAAACCAGCAUGACCAAGGAAACUACGAAUACCUUUGAUAUCUUUAGGACAUGGCAUUUUCUCAAUUGCAUCAACCUUGGCUUUGUCCACUUCAAUACCUCGUUCAGAAAUUUUAUGGCCCAAAACAAUACCUUCCUUAAUCAUGAAGUGGCACUUCUCCCAAUUCAAGACAAGAUUUGUUUGUUCACAUCUCUGGAAAACUCGAUCAAGAUUGCUUAAAUAAUCAUCAAAAGACUUCCCAUAAAUAGAAAAGUCAUCCGUGAAAACCUCAACAAUCUUUUCACAAAAAUUAGAGAAUAUAGCAGUCAUACAUCUUUGAAAGGUAGAAGGUGCAUUACAUAGUCCAAAAUGCAUACGUCUUUAAGCAUAGGUUCCAAAAGGGCAAGUAAAGGUGGUCUUUUAUUGAUCAGGUUGUGAAACAGGCAUUCAUGAAAAAUCAGAAUAUCCAUCAAGGAAGCAAAAAUGUGUGUGCUUACAUAAUGUUUCUGGCAUUUGAUCAAUAAAAGGUAGAGGGUAAUGAUCUUUUCUAGUUGCUUUAUUUAAUUUUCUAUAAUCAAUUACCAUUCUAUAGCCUGUGACAAAAUUCUUUGUGCAAUAAGUUCAUUCUUAUCAUUAGGAACAACAGUUUAUACCUCCCUACUUAGGGACACAAUGAACAGGACUUACCCAUCUACUAUCAGCUAUAGGAUAGAUUAUACCUGCUUCCAGAAGACCGACGCUGGUGAUCAACAACGGGUUUAGCAUCAGGUUCCAUAUUAAUCUUGUGCUGACAUAGAGUGGGACUAAUGCCCUUAAGAUCAUCAAGAGUAUAUCCAAUAGCAGCCUGGUGCUUCCUUAGAGCUUUCAAUAAUCUUUCUUCUUCAUGUUCUAAAAGGUUAGCACUAAUAAUAAAGGAUAUAUCUUUUUCUCAUCAAGAUAAGCAUAUUUCAAAGUGUCUGGCAAUUGUUUUAAUUCAAACACAUGAUCACCUUUAGGUGGAGGAGGACCUCCUAGAGUUUCAAUAGGUAGAAUGUGUUUAAGUAGAGGUUGUUGUUCGAACAAGAUUCUAUCUAUUUCAUUUCUUUCACGCAUAUGCAAAUAAUUUUCAUCGUCUAGCAAAUAUUGUUCUAAAGGAUCGGUAGGAGGUACAACAAUAGAAGCGAGACCAAUAAUUCCAUCCUUACUAGGCAAAUCUUUCUUAUGAGGUUUCUACUAAACUUGGGAAAAUUAAAUUCAUGAGAUUCAUCACCGAAGCUAACACCGACAGUUUGUUUCUUACAAUCUAUUUUAGCAUUGAUGGUGUUCAAGAAAGGUCUACCAAAGAUAAUGGGACAAAAGUCAUCUUGUUGGGAACCAAGAACAAGAAAACAAGUAGGGUAUUUAUUUUCCCACACAAGACUUCAACAUCUCUAACUAUCCCAAUUGGCAAUAUAGUAUCUCUAUUGGCAAGUUUAAUAGUAUCUAUGUCUUCUAUUUCAGCGGGUGUUAUAUCAUUCACAAUUUCUUCAUAUAAGGAAAAAGGAAUAGCACUCACGCUAGCACCUAUGUCACAUAAACCAUGAUAACAGUGAUCUCCUAUCUUAACAGAGACAACAGGCAUGCCAACAACUGGCCUAUGUUUAUCUUUUUCAUCGGGUUUGGCAAUUCUAGCAGCUUCAUCACAGAAGUAAAUAACAUGCCCAUCAAUAUUAUCGACCAAGAGAUCUUUAACCAUAGCAACACUAGGUUCAACUUUGAUUUGUUCAGCUAGUUUAGGUGUUCUAAUAUAACUUUUGUUGACCACAGUUGAAACUUUGGCAUGUUCCUUCAUCCUAACAGGGAAAGGUCGUUUUUCAAUAUAACUAGUAGGAACAACUGGAUCAACAUUGUAAAGGAUAGUUUCUUCUUUAGCUUUUACAUGUUCUUUAGUUUCUUCUUUAAUUGGUGGGUGAUAUUUGAACCACUUCUCCUUAGGGAGAUCAAUGUGAGUAGCAAAAGAUUCACAAAAGGAAGCUACAAUCUCAAAGUCAAGUCCAUAUUUAGUGCUAAACUUUUGAAAAGCAUCGAUAUUCAUAAAAGAUUUAACACAAUCAAACUUAGGCUCAAUACCUGACUCUUUACCUUUGUCGAGUUCCCAAUCUUCAGAGUUGCAUUUAAUUCUUUCUAAAAGAUCCCACCAAAAUUCAAUAGUCUUCUUCAUAAAAGAACCAGUACAAGAAGUAUCGAGCAUGGAUUGAUCAUUAUGAGAAAGCCAAGCAUAAAAUUUCUGGAUAAUAAUUUCUCUUGAGAGCUCAUGAUUGGGGCAUGAAUAUAACAUUGACUUAAUCCUCCUCCAAGCUAGAGCGAUACUUUCUCCUUCACGAGGCCAAAAAUUAUAUAUAUAACUCUGAUCAUGAUGAACUAGAUGCAUAGGAUAAUUUUUUUGAUGGAAUUCCAAUUUCAACCAAUUCCAGUUCCAAGAUCCAAUAUCAUCGCAUAACCUAAACCAUGUCAAUGCCUUUCCCUUCAAAGAUAAAGGGAAAACCUUCUUUUUAGCUUCAUCUCCGAGUAAACCUGCAAGCUUAAACAAUCCACAAAUUUCAUCCACAUAUAUCAAGUGCAUAUCAGGAUGUUUGGUUCUAUCUCCUGCAUAAAGAUUAGCUAGUAGUUGUUCUACCAUUCCCGAAGGAAUUUAAUAUUCAAUAUUUUUACUAGGUGCAGUAGGUUGAGGGGCAACUAAUUGUGGUUCCGGUUGAGGUGAAGAUACCCCGAACAAACCCCUCAAAGGAUUGUUUUCCAUAGUAACAAGUGGCAGUAAAUUUCAGCACGUAGUAAUAAUGUUUCCUUACCAAUUUCCACUAACCAAAAGUGCUUCACUGCCCGGCAACAGCGCCAGAAAAUAGCCUUGAUGACCCACACAUAUAUGGGGUCAAUUACAGCCUUUUCAAUAAGUAAGAGUGUCGAACCCAACGAGGAGCAGAAGGAAAUGACAAGUGGUUUUCAUCAAGGUAAUGUCUGCAACUGCUAAAAUUCUAAGUAACAGAGUAGUUUGAUAGCAAGAUAUUUUGUAACGAGCAAGUAAUGGUAGUAGUAAAAAACGUUCAGCAAGGUAGUCCAAUACUUUUGAGGCAAAGGACAGACCAAAACGGUCUCUUAUGAUAAGCAAAGUGUUCUAGAGGGUACACUGGAAUUUCAUCUAGUUACUUUCACCAUGUUGGCUUAAUUCGUGUUCGCUACUUUGAUAAUUUGGUAUGUGGGUGGACCAGUGCUUAGGUGUUGUUCUUAAUUUAACAAACCUCCUACUUAUGAUUAACCCCCUUGCAAGCAUCCGCAACUACGAUAAAAGUAUUAAGAAUAAAUUCUAACCAUGGCAUUGAACUUUUGGAUCCAUUCGGUCCCCUACGGAAUAGCGCAUAAACUAGGGUUUAAGCUUCUGUCACUCUCGCAAACCAUCCUCUAAUAACUACUCCACAAUGCAUUCCCUUAGGCCCAAAUAUGGUGAAGUGUCAUGUAGUUGACAUUCACAUGACACCACUAAGGGAAUCACAACAUACAUAUCAUCAAAAUAUCGAACACAUAUCAAGUUCACAUGAUUACUUGCAACAUGAUUUCUCACGUGACCUUAAGAAAAAAAGUAACUACUCACAAAUUAUAAUCAUGCUCAAGAUCAGAGGGGUAUUAAAUAGCAUAAUGGAUAUGAACGUAUAAUCUUCUGCCAAAUAAACCAUAUAGUAAUCAACUACAAGAUGUAAUCAACACUACUAGUCACCCACAAGCGCCAAUCUAUAGUUAAGGCACAAAGAUUGAACACAAGAUAUGAACUAGGGUUUAAGAGAAGUUGGUGUUGUUGAAGAUGUUGAUGGAGAUAGCCCUCCCCAAGAUGGGAGAGUUGUUGGUGAUGAUGAUGACGAUGAUUUCCCCCUCCGGGAGGGAAGUUCCCCCAGCGGAAUCGCUCCGUCGGAGGGCAAAAGUGCUCCUACCCAGGUUCCACCUCGAGACGGCGGCGCUUCGUCCCGAAAGUCCUCUCCUUAUUUUUCUAGGUCAAAAUGACUUAUAUACCAGAAGAGGGGCACCAAAGGUGGGUCUAGGUGAGCACAACCCACCAGGGCGUGCCUGGGCUCCCUAGCGCGCCAAGGUGGGUUGUGCCCACCAGGUGGCCCCCCUGGUACUUAUUGACUCCAAAAAUUCUUAUUUAUUCCAUAAAAAAUCCUCGUAAAGUUUCAGCUCAUUUGGAGUUGUGAAGAAUAGGUAGCCUGACGUAGCUUUUCAGAUCCAGAUUUCCAGCUCCCGAAAUUCCCCCCUUUUGUGCAUACCUUGCAUAUUAUGAGAGAAAAGGCAUUAAAAUUACUCCAAAAAGCAUUAUUAUGCAACAAAACAACAUAAAUAACAGUAGGUAAACAUGAUGCAAAAUGGAUGUCUCAUGGUGUUGCAUGAUUCUCCUACUGGUUCGAUAAUCUUGGUCUCAUUACUGAGCGAAAUACCUAUCGUUGUUGUGCUGCAUCAUCCCUUCCUCUUUGGGGAAACACCGACAUAGUUCAGCCAACAUCAAAAGGAAUUUUUGGCAGUGUUGUCGGGGAGACAUCAUCAACAUCUACUAGGUUCCUAAUCAAAAUUUUCAUCUCCUUGCAAUUUACAUUAUUUCCCAUUUGCCUCUCGCUUUCCUCUCCCCCACUUCACAAAAAAAUGUUGUUUUAUUUGCCGUCUUUUUUGUUUGUCAUUUUCUCGUCAGAUAUCUUAUUUGCUUGAACUUGUCGCCAUGACUGACUUUGGCAUGGAAGAAAUAGAUGAUGGCCUAACUCCUAAAAUUGUACGAUCUGGCAAUCUGGAUGCUAAAACUUUUGUUUUGGGGCAAGAGAAUAUUAUGGGAAAAGAACGUAUCCAAGAAUUUUUCAAUUGUGUCGGAAAUUUAACUCUCGAUGAUGCCCCUAUACUUAAAAGAACAAAAUCUUAUGAAGAAGUUAUUUCGGCACUAGUUCUGAAACUUGAAAAUAAAUUUAUUCGUACUCAUUCUACCUUGCAAAGAUUGUUCUAUGAGUUACCCAUUAUAAAGAAUCCUAAAGCUAAAAAGUUAGCCACUCUUGUUCUCAUGAAUGAAUUUGACUACAUAAUACGAGAAGCUAGGGAAAUCUUUGAUUUUUAUGGUAUGAAUCGUGAAAAACACGUGAUUGAUGAAAUUCUUUAUAGUAGUGAUUAUGCAUUAAGAUAUUUGCUUGGGAAUAAUCAAAUCUUUGAUGAGAAUCUUAAAAAGAAAGUCCCUAUUUUAGAUAUAAUCCAACAAGUUUUCAAUGAUGUUAACCAACAUUAUUCUUGGAUUGUUACUAGAAAUCAAAGUGGAUACGAUGAUAAACAACUUGAUAGUGCUAAGGUCACUAUGGAUGAAGUGUUUUAUGUUGUGUCUGCAAAACCACCUAACAAAAACACCUCCGAGUGAAAUAGAAAAAAGAUGACAACACUUAGAUCCUUUGCAUUAUGCCUAGCUAGGGGCCUAAAAAGAUAACGCUCGUUGGGAGGAAACCCAACUUGUAUCUUUUUGCUUUUUGGUUUUCUUGCUGUUUUAAAUAAAAUACCCAAUUAUGCCUCUCUUUAUAUGUGUUUUUGUGGUUUAAAUUAGUGUUUGUGCCAAGCAAAGCCUUUAGGAAAAUUUGGGUGAUAGUUGAUUUGAUCUUGUUGAAAAACAGAAACUUUUGCUAUCAGAAAAAUAAUUUUCAUAAAUCACAGGAACGUGCUUUUGCUCAGAAUUUUUAGACAAGAUUGAUAUACAAAUUUUCCACAUUGUCCUAUUUUUAAGAAUUUUUGGAGUUACAGAAGUAUACAAAGUUCCCUGAUUACUACAGACCGUUUUUUUUUUGAUAGAUUCUGUUUUCGUUGUGUUAUGUGCUUGUUUUGAUGAUUCUAUGGUUUCCUUUGAAGAGUUUUUGCCAUGGAAAAGUUAAAAUACGAUAGAUAUAAUACAAUAACAAAAUAUGAAUGGGUUUGUAGCAGUACUUAAAGUAGUGAUUUGCUUUCUUAUACUAACCGAUCUCAUGAAGGUUUUGUUGAGUUUUGUGUGAUUGAAGUUUUCAAGUUUUGGGUGAGAGUUGGCGAUGGAGAAGGGUUGGUGAUGACGAAGAUCGAAGAUACCCCUCUCCGGAGCCCCGUACGAACUCCAGAUCUUGCCUCUCAAUGAAGAACAGGAGACGGCGGUGGCUCCGUCUUGUGAAACACGAUAAUUCUUUCUUCCUAAUUUUUUUCUGGAAAAAUAGGAUUUCAUAGCAUUAGUUUCAGGGUGUGCGGGGCCACCAGGUGGAGACAACCCACCUGGGCGCGCCUGGAGGGGGUGGCGCGCCCUAGUGUGUUGUGCCCUCCUUCGGUGGUUCGUGGCGCCAGAAAUUCUCUUUUAUUGUAUAAAAAUUCCUCGCAAAGUUUCGUUCCAUUCUGAGAACUUUUAUUUCUACACAAAAACAACACCAUGGGCUGCUGAAAACAGCGUCAGUCCGGGUUAGUUUCAUUCAAAUCAUGCAAAUUAGAGUCCAAAACAAGAGGAAAAGCAUUAGGAAAAGUAGAUACGAUGAAGACGUAUCAACUCCCCCAAGCUUAAACCUUUGCUUGUCCUCAAGCAAUUCAGUUAAUAAACUGAAAGUGAAAAAGAAAACUUUUACAAACUCUUUUGCUCUUGUUUCCAUAAAUAGGCUUAAACAGCACCCAGGUUUUCAGCAAAGAUUAUAACUAACCAUGUCGACAAUAACUCUUAAAAAUUAUAUUAACUCAUAUCAAUGACAGAAUCAACUAGCAAGCAAUAAUAAGAUAUCUCAAACAGCAACACGUUGUCAAAACAACCAUGAUACAAUAUGACAAUAGUGUUAUCUCGCUAGCCCUUUCUGAGACUGCAAAACAUAAGUGCAGAGCAUCACCAAAGUUCAAGAAGCGACUAAACAUUGUAAUUCAUGGUAGAAAAGAUCCAGUCAUGAUGCACCCAACAUUAGCUACACACAAUGCAUCAGCAUGACAGCAGUGCUCUCAGGUUCUGGCGCUUAUUUGAGAAGGUGAUGACACAAUAUAAAAGUAAAUAAAUAGUCCCUUCGCAUAGGAAAGCAGUGAUUUGCAGAGGUACCAGAGCUCAAGUUUUUAAAACAGAGAUAAAUGAAAUUUUGAGACAUGCACCCUUCUUGUUUACUUCGCGACCAUCAGUUAUCAAUAUCUUCCAUGCUAAACAAAUUAGUAGCGGUUCCCAAGCGGUAAAGUAAAGGUUUUUGCUCCAUAGGAGUUUUUGUUUGAUUAUUGAUAAGUUCUUUUUGCAAUUUGGGACUGGGAAUCCCUAUUACCGCUAUUUUCUUGUGCAAUGGUCAGUGAAUAAACACCCAACCUGAGAAUACCCCGCUUAGCAUGGAAGAUACCAACUACCUCCUGUCGCUCUAUGAAAAAUCCAGGCACACAAAAAGGACAUUUGUUUGAAGCUUUUAGAGGUGGCACAUGCAAAUUUACUUAGGACGACAGCGUAAUACUGCAUAUAGGUAAGUAUGGUGGACUCAUCUGGGAAUAACUUGGGUUUCGGGUUUUUGAUGUACAAGCAGAGUUCCCACUUAGUACACGCAAAGGCUAGAAAAUAGGUUGAGAAGCGGCCAGCUAGAGAGCAACAACGGUCAUGAACAUGCAUUAUUCAUAAGUAACAUUGGAUACUACCAUGAGUAGGAUAUGAACACCAUGAACAUAAAUAUCUUAGAGGCUAUGUUGGUUUUGAUUCAACUACAUGCAUGACUAUGUGCCAAGUCAAGCCACUCGAACAUUCAGAGGAGGAUACCAUAUCAUCAUACUAAAUCACAAUCAAUUUAACGCAAUGUUGACAUCCAAGAUAAAUCAUUAUCCACUCCUAGCUACUUUAUGCAUGGCAUGAGAAACUAUAAUCUCUAAUUGUCAUUGCAAACAUGUUUGAUCAUAAUAGGCUGAAUCAUGGAUACUAGGUUAAACAUAUUUACAAAAAUAGAACAAAUCAAGUUCAUACUUGUUUCUCUCUGCCACAGCCAGUUCAUCGAAUAUCGUCAUUAUUGCCUUUCACUUGCACGACCGAACGAUUUGAAAGUAAUAAUAGUGCAAGGGUGUCCUGGACUAAGCUGGAAUCUGCAAACAUUUUAUUCAAAAGGAGAAGACAAGGUAAUGUGGGCUCUUUGACAGAUCAAGAAAAAUGCAUAUGAGAGCCACUCAACAUUUUCAUCAUGGUCUUCUCCUCGGUAUGACUCAAAAAGAAAAGAAAUUCAGAGAAACACAAUGAAAUAUUUUUGGAGUUUUUGGUUUUUCAUAAAAAAGAAAAUAAAAAGAGAAAAGCAAAAACUAGAAAAACUAUUUACACAGGCAAGCUCCCAACAAGAAAAAAAGAAAAAGGAAAUCUUUUUGGGGUUUCUUUUUAGUGCUACAACAAUUUAAACUAGGAAGAAAAAUCAAAAAGAAGCAAGAAACAUGUUUUUGGAUUUUCUCUAAGUUUUUCAAACAGACAAGAAGAAAGUGAGAAAACAAAUUUAACAUGGAUAAUACAAUGAAAAAGUGUGAACACCGACAACUGGAAUGAAAUGUGUGAACAUGAAUGUAAUGUCGAUGGAAAUACGUACUCCCCCAAACUUAGGCUUUUGGCCUAACUUGGUAAUCACCAGUCGUAGAAACCGUGAGGUCCAAUGUUGAAGUGUUGGGGAGUAGGCACCUGAGGGUCCCACUGCCGAGGCUCCUCCUGUGCCAUAGCCAGGUUGUUUCGGUAAGUGACAAUGUCCUCAGGCAUAAUCCUAUAUCCGCCCCUUGCAACAUGAUCAAACAAAGCAGUUCCAGGAAGUGGCAUAAUAUCACGAGUUUUCACACUGAAAACUAAGUUGUAAGGAAUAUCAAUGUUAGGGUAAUCAGUAGCAAUAAACAGGUGGCCUUCCAUAGCCAAUCGAUCUAGGUAAACCUUGGCCAAACGAUGGUCAUUCUGGCGUAUCUGCACGUUAAAGUGAGUCGCCAACCGAGUAGCGUAAAUACCCCCAUGUAUUUUUACCCUUAGAUCCGUUAAGGUCAAGGCGACGUGCCACAAUAGCUCCCAAGCUAUAAUUGUUGUCGACAUAAAGUGCGCAAUGCAAAAUAGCAAAGUCUGGGACGCUAAGUGCACCUACCUUCUCUCUAGCAAGUAAGCAUUUUGCAAUAGAUAUAGCAAAAUAAUGUAUAGCAGGGAAAUGCAAGCUAGCAGCGGUGGUACUUGAUACUCCUCUCUCAUCCCCCACCGUUAGAGUACGGUAAAAACCCUCAAACUCCGUGGGCCUAGGCUCUACAAAAUCACCAUCAAAAGGAAGCAUGCAUAUGUCACAAAAUUCAGUAAGUGGUAUAUGGUGAUUUUCAGCAUAUAAAUUGAAUGACACCUAAGGGAGAUUAUUCCUAGAAUGGACAUGAAAAUUUUGCACAAAGGAAUUUGUGAGGAGAUGAUACUGUUCACACUGAGGUGCGAUGAAGUCGGUGAGUCCGGCAUUAGUAGCAUAUUGUGUGAACUCUUGAAGGAUUCCAGCCCCUUCCAUGAACGAAUUAUGCGUCCACUCGCACGUACGGCCGUAACUCCGCCAACCUCCAAGUAUGGAGAUCAUUGUCAGACGACUCCCCACUCCCUUGGAGUUCUUCUUGAAAGCAAACUUCCUAAAGAAACUCAUAUUUUUCCUAUGAACAAAAUUUUGAAAAAUUUAGUCCACGAAAUUUUUCUCAACAAAACUUUACAAAAAUGAUAGCAACUACUCAUAGGGAUGUAUAGAGGUCAUAGCAAGCAUUCAAACUACUUAGAACUCUAAGAGUUCAACAUGCAAGCUUAUCUACAUCAGCACCAAGAGUAGCUAAUGAUGUCUACUACACAACCUUCUUCUUGUAGACGUUGUUGGGCCUCCAAGUGCAGAGGUUUGUAGGACAAUAGCAAAUUUCCCUCAAGUGGAUGACCUAAGGUUUAUCAGUCCGUAGGAGGCAUAGGAUGAAGAUGGUCUCUCUCAAACAACCCUGCAACCAAAUAACAGAGGGUCUCUCGUGUCCCCAACACACCCAAUACAAUGGUAAAUUGUAUAGGUGCACUAGUUCGACGAAGAGAUGGUGAUACAAGUGCAAUAUGGAUGGUAGAUAUAGGUAUUUGUAAUCUGAAAUUAUAAAAACAGCAAGGUAACUAAUGAUAAAAGUGAGCGUAAACGGUAUUGCAAUGGUAGGAAACAAGGCAUAGGGUUCAUACUUUCACUAGUGCAAGUUCUCUCAACAAUAAUAACAUAACUAGAUCAUAUAACUAUCCCUCAACAUGCAACAAAGAGUCACUCCAAAGUCACUAAUAGCAGAGAGCAAACGAAGAGAUUAUGGUAGGGUACGAAACCACCUCCAAAGUCACUAAUUAUUCAAGAGUCUGUAGUAAAAUAACAUGAAGCUAUUCUUUCCGUUCAAUCUAUCAUAGAGUUCAUACUAGAAUAACACCUUAAGACACAAAUCAACCAAAACCCUAAUGUCACCUAGAUACUCCAUUUUCACCUCAAGUAUCCGUGGGCAUGAUUAUACGAUAUGCAUCACACAAUCUCAGAUUCAUCUAUUCAACCAACACAAAGUACUUCAAAGAGUGCCCCAAGGUUUCUACCGGAGAGACAAGACGAAAACGUGUGCCAACCCCUAUGCAUAGGUUCAUGGGCGGAACCCGCAAGUUGAUCACCAAAACAUACAUCAAGUAGAUCACGUGAAUAUCCCAUUAUCACCAUAGAUAAGCACGGCAAGACAUACAUCAAGUGUUCUCAAAUCCUUAAAGACUCAAUCCGAUAAGAUAACUUCAAGAGGAAAACUCAAUUCAUCACAAGAGAGUAAAGGGGGAGAAACAUCAUAAGAUCCAACUAUAAUAGCAAAGCUCGCGAUACAUCAAGAUCGUGCCAUAGAGAGAACACGAGACAGAGAGAGAGAGAGAGAGAGAGAGAGAGAUCAAACACAUAGCUACUGGUACAUACCCUCAGCCCCGAGGGUGAACUACUCCCUCCUCGUCAUGGAGAGUGCCAGGAUGAUGAAGAUGGCCACCGGUGAGGGAUCCCCCCUCCGGCAGGGUGCCGGAACGGGCUCCCGAGAGGUUUUUGGUGGCUAUAGAGGCUUGCGGCGGCAGAACUCCCAAUCUAUAUUCGUAUUCGAUGGUUUUAUGGUAUAAGGGAAUAUAUAGGCGAAAGAAUUCGGUCGGGGAGCCACGAGGGGCCCACGAGACAGGGGGCGCGCCCAGGGGGUGGGCGCGUCCUCCUAUCUCCUGGCCUCCUCGAAGCUUCCCUGGCUUGUACUCCAAGUAUCCUGGAUCAUGUUCGUUCCAAAAAUCACGCUCCCGAAGGUUUCAUUCCGUUUGGACUCCGUUUGAUAUUCCUUUUCUUUGAAAUACUAAAACAGGCAAUAAAACAGUAAUAUGGGUUGGGCCUCUAGUUAGUAGGUUAGUUCCAAAAGUAAUAUAAAAGUGUAUAAUAAAGCCCUUAAUCAUUCAAAACAGAUAAUAAAAUAGCAUGAAUGCUUCAUAAAUUAUAGAUACGUUGGAGACGUAUCAGCUAAUUAUUCAAAAUAUAAACCACUAAAGCAAAAACUAAUUGAACACAUGGAGGAGUCACAUACCAAGCAACAAUUCCUUGAAACAGUUUUGGAAAUGGAGCUUCGAGCAAAGAGAUUGAAAUCCGCGGUUUCGGGAGCAAGAAUGCGCGAGAGAGAGCAAUGGUGAUUUUUUCUGGAGGAAUGUGGUGAUGUGGGAAGAAGAAGUAAGUGAGGGGGACCACAUGGGGACCACAACUCACCAGGGCAUGCCUGGGGGUCCUGGUGCGUCCAGGUGGGUUGUGCCCACCUGGUGCACCUCCCUCUGAUAUUAUUUGCACCUGAAAUUCCGAAAUAUUCAUAAAAAACAUAUUAAAUUUUCAGAGCAUUCUGAGAACUUUUAUUUUUGGGUCAUUUUUUAUUGCACGGAAAACUCAGAAAACAGACAAAGCAUGGCAUUUUAUUUUAUUUAACUAAGAAAAACAGAAAACAAAAGGUAGGGACAUAAGGUAGUGCUCACUAAAUUCAUCAGCUUCAUACCUCUCAAAAAUGAUCCAUUAAUAAGGUUGAUCAAGUCAUAUUAACAACCACUUCCGAUUAAUAUGAAACCAAAGAACUUUCAUAAAUCACUAAGUUACCUCAACGGGAUAUGAAUGUCCCCAACAAUAAGCAUUUCAUAUUUCUUUUUAACAGUAGGUAGAGGUAGUUGGAAACUCCCAAUAGUGAUUAUCGGAGAUUUUUCAAUAACAUCAAUACCAUUCAGUUGGAAUUGUUUCUUCAGAAAGUGCACCGUAUGCUCAUUACCAUUAAUAUGAAAAGUGAUCUUGCUUUUAUUGCAAUCAAUAACAGCCCCUGCAGUAUUCAAGAAGGUUCUACCAAGGAUAAUCGACAUGUUGUCAUCCUCGGGCAUCUCAAGUGUAACAAAGUCAGUCAAAAUAGUAACAUUAGCAACAACAACGGGCACAUCCUCACAAAUACCAAUAGGUAUGGCAGUUGAUUUGUCAGCCAUUUGCAAAGAUAUUUCAGUAGUUGUGAGUUUAGUCAAAUCAAGUCUUUUAUAUAAAGAGAAACGCAUAACACUAACACCAGCUCCCAAAUCACAUAAAGUAGUUUUAACAUAGUUUCUUUUAAUGGAGCAAGGUAUGCUUGGUAUUCCCGGAUCUCCAAGUUUUUUAGGUACUCCAUAUUUAAAAGUAUAAUUAGCAAGCAUGGUGGAGAUUUCAACUUCCGGUAUUUUUCUCUUAUUGGUGAUGAUGUCUUUCAUGUACUUUGCAUAAGGAGGCAUUUUUAAGAUAUCAGUCAAGCGGGUACGCAAAAAGACUGGCCUCAGCAUUUCAGCAAAGCGUUCAAAUUCUUCAUCAUCUUUCUUCUUAGUUGACGUAGGUGGAAAGGGCAUAGGUUUUGAACCCAUGGCUCUCUUUCCUUACCAUGUUAUCUAGCAACAAAGUCUAUUUUAUCAUAUAUUUUAUUCUUGGGUUGUGGGUCUUCAAGAUCAACAGCUCGUUCUAUCUCAACAUCAUUGUCUGAUUCUUUAUUAUUCAUUUGAGUUUCUUCAUGAACCUCACCAUUAUAUUUUUCAUUAUCAGAAGGUGAGUGUUCACUACCAGGUUGAGUAUCAACAUCAGAGAUAGAAACUUCAUUAUCAUUAUUAGGAGGUUUUUCUACUUCAGGUUCAUUAGAGGCAUGCAAAGUCCUAUCAUUUUUCUUCUUCCUUUUCUUCUUAGAAGGACUAGGUGCAUCAGUGUUAAUUCUUUGAGAGUCUUGUUCAAUUAUUUUUGGGUGUCCCUCAGGAUAAAGUGGUUCCUGAGUCAUUUUACCUCCUCUAGUUGCUACUCUAACAACAAAGUCACUUAUAUUAUUGUUCAUUUCAUCAAGCAACUCUCUUUGAGACUUAGCAGCUUGUUCUAAUUGAGUUUGAACCAUAGAGGCAUGCUUUCCUACACCUCUAACAUAUCGGGCUAGUUCUAGUAGGUGUUUCAAGAUUUUCAGUUUCAAGCUCAUCAUCGGUUUCAACAAUAUCAUGCUCUCUUACUCUAGCAAUUUAUUCAUCAAGAAAUUCACCUAGUGGCACAUCAUCGUCAAGCAAGGUACUAGCAUCAUCAUGAGUAGCAUUCAUAGCAGAAGUAGCAUCAUCAACAACUUGCGACAUAUAAGAAUUAAUAGCAUGUGGUGGUGUUGCAAGUUUACUUAUAACAGAAGGUGAAUCUAAAGCGGAGCUGGAUGGCAGUUCCUUCCCUCCCCUCGUCUUAGAGGGAAAAAUCUUAGUCUUACCAUCCUUCAGAUUCUUCAUAGUGAUAAUAUGAUAAUGAUCCCAAGUGAGUCAACAAAUAUAGCUAUGCUCCCCAGCAAUGGUGCCAGAAAAAGGUCUUGAUAACCCACAAGUAUAUGGGAUCGCAACAGUUUUCAAGGGUAGAGUAUUCAACCCAAAUUUAUAGAUUCGACACAAGGGGAGCCAAAGAAUUUUUGCAAGUAUUAGCAGCAGAGUUGUCGAUUCAAACACACCUGGAGAUCAAUUAUCUGCAGCAAAGUGAUCAGUAGCACAAUAAUAUGAUAGUUUUGGUAAUAGUGGUAGCAGCAAUAGUAACGGUAACAGUGAUAGCAAUGGUUUGUAGCAGUAACGAUAGCAGUAGCAACAGUAGUAACUUAGCAAGAAUGAUAUAAGGUAAAUUCGUAGGCAUUGGAUUGGUGAUUCAUUGGAUGAUAUUCAUCAUCAGACAGCCAUAACCUAGGGCGAUACGGCACUAGCUCCAGUUCAUAAAUAUAAUGUAGGCAUGUAUUAUGUAAAUAGUCAUACGUUCUUAUGGAAAGAACUUGCAUGACAUCUUUUGUCCUACCCUCCCGUGGCAGCGGGGUCCUAUUGGAAACUAAGGGAUAUUAAGGCCUCCUUUUAAUAGAGUACCGGACCAAAGCAUCAGCACACGGUGAAUACAUGAACUCCUCAAACUACGGUCAUCACUGGGAGUGGUCCCGACUAUUGUCACUCUAGGGUUGCCGGAUCAUAACAUGUAGUAGGUGACUAUAAUUUGCAAGAUCGGAUCUAGAACAUGGAUAUAAUAGUGAUAACACAAACGGUUCAGAUGUAAAAUCAUGGCACCCUGGCCCAAAGUGACAAGCAUUAAGCAUAGCAAAGUCAUAGCAACAUCAAUCUCAGAACAUAGUGGAUACUAGGGAUCAGGCCCUAACAAAACUAACUCGAUUACAUGAUGAAUCUCAUCCAACUCCUCAACGACCAGCGAGCCUACGAAGGAAUUACUCACUCCCGGUGGGGAGCAUCAUGGAAUUGGCAAUGGGGAAGGGUUGGUGAUGAUGAAGAUCGAAGAUCCCCCUCUCCGGAGCCCCAAAAGGACUCCAGAGUUGGCCUCCCGAUAAAGAACAUGAGACGGCGGCGGCUCCAUCUCGUGAAACGUGAUAAUUCUUUCUCCCCGAUUUUUUUCUGGAAAAAUAGGAUUUUAUAGCGUUGGUUCAGGGUCUGCGGGGCCACCAGGUGGGGACAACCCACCUAGGUGUGCCUGGAGGGGGUGGCGCGCCCUGGUGGGUUGUGCCCACCUAGGUGCCCUUCUCCAGUGGUUCUUGGCUCCAGAAAUUCUCUUUUAUUGUAUAAAAAUUCCUCACAAAGUUUCGUUCCAUUCCGAGAACUUUUAUUUCUGCACAAAAACAACACCAUGGUAGUUCUGCUGAAAACAACCUCGGUUCGGGUUAGUUUCAUUCAAAUCAUGCAAAUUACAGUCCAAAAGAAUAGGAAAAGCGUUAGGAAAAGUAGAUAUGAUGGAGAUGUAUCAAUGGGCUAGGGGUAACUUGCUUUAGUGUUGAUAUUUUGAAAGACAUGGUUGCUUGUUGAUAUGCUUGAGUAUUAAAGUCCUCAUGUCAAAACUAGACUAUUGCUUUGAACCAUAUAAAAGUCCAAAUGUCCAUGCUACAAAGAAAAGAAUGUGUGAUGAAAAUGUUAGGCAGCAUUCCACAUCAAAAAUUUUGUUUUUAUCAUUUACCUACUCGAGGACGAGCAGGAAUUAAGCUUGGGGAUGCUGAUACGUCUCCAGCGUAUCUAUAAUUUUUGAUUGUUUCAUGCUGUUAUAUUAUCAUUCUUGGAUGUUUUACAAUCAUUUCAUAGCAACUUUAUAUCAUUUUUUGGGACUAACCUAUUGACAUAGUGCCCAGUGCCAGUUGUUGUUUUCUGCUUGUUUUUACAUCAUAGGAAAUCAAUACCAAACGGAGUCCAAAUGCAGCGAAACUUUUUGUGGAUUUUUUUGGACCAGAAGACAUCUAGUGGGCCAAAGAAGUACCGAAGAGGGGGGCCGAGUUGAGCACAAGACACCAGGGCACGCCUGGAGGCCCAUGCGCACCCUGAUGGGUUGUGCCCACCUCUGUGGCCUCCCGCACCGCCUCUUUGCUCUAUAAUACCCCAAUAUUCCAGAAACCCUAGGGGAGUCGACAAAAAUCAAUUCCAGCCGCCGCAAGUUCCAGAACCACCAGAUCCAAUCUAAACAUCAUCACGGAGGGGUUCAUCAUCCUCAUUGGUGCCUCUCCGAUGAUGCGUGAGUAGUUCAUUGUAGACCUAUGAGUCUGUAGUUAGUAGCUAGAUGGCUUCCUCUAUCUCUCUUGAUUCUCAGAUCUAUUUGAUGUAACUCUUUUUGCGAUGUGUUUGUUGGGAUCCCCCGAUGAUCUAUUUGAUGUAACUCUUUAUCCAUGAAAAUUAUUUGAGUCUUUUUUAUCUCUUAUAUGCAUGAUUACUUAUAGCCUCGUAUUUCUUCUUCGAAUCUUUGGUUUAGUUAGGCCAACUAGAUCGAUUUUUCUUGCCAUAGGAAGAGUUGUGUUGUGAUGUGUUCGAUCUUACGGUGCUUGAUCCCAGUGAAAGAAGGGGAACCGACACGUAUGUAUCGUUGCUAUUAAGGAUAACAAGAUGGGGUCUAUUAUUACAUAAAUAGAUCUUGUCAACAUCAUGUCAUCGUUCUUGUUGCAUUACUCCAUUUCUCCAUGAACUUAAUACACUAGAUGCAUGCUGGAUAGUGGUUGAUGUGUGGAGUAAUAGUAGUAGAUGCAGGCAGAAAUCGGUCUACUAAUCUUGGACGUGAUGCCUAUAUAAUGAUCAUUGCUUGGAUAUCGUCAUGAUUAUUUGAAGUUCUAUUAAUUGCCCAACAGUAAUUUGUUCACCCAUCGUAUGCUAUUUUUCUGGAGAGAAGCUACUAGUGAAAUCUACGACCACCGGGUCUCUUCUUAUCAUGUUUGCAUUCGAGAUCUAUUUUUAUUUGCUUUUAUUUUCAAAUCUAUUAAUCCAAAAAUACAAAAAUACCUUGCUGCAAUUUUUAUUUAAUUAUUUUAUCUUGCAUUCCCACGAGAUCUAUUUAUCCAAACUACUACAAUUUUACCUAUCUUUUUACCCCUGAGGGGUUGACAACCCCUCUCUUACGUCGGGUUGCAAGUAUUUGUUCUUUGUGUGCAGGAGCUGUUUACGUGGUGUUGCAUGGUUCUCCUACUGGUUUGAUAACCUUGGUCUCAUCACUAAGGGAAAUACCUACCGUUGUUGUGCUGCAUCAUCCCUUCCUCUUUGGGGAAAUACCCACGUAGUUCAAGCCAACAUCAAAUGUCACUCGGAAAGGACACCGCAAGAUUGAACCCAAAGCUAAGCACGUAUCCCAUUGCAAGAAAAACCAAUCUAGUUGGCCAAACUAAACUGAUAGUUCUAAGAGAAUUACAAAGAUAUCAAAUCAUGCAUAUAAGAAUUCAGAGAAGAUUCAAAUAAUAUUUAUAGAUAAGCUGAUCAUAAAUCCACAAUUCAUCGGAUCUCGACAAACACCGCAAAAUAAGAUUGCAUUUAAUAGAUCUCAAAGAACAUCGAGGAGAACAUGGUAUUGAGAAUCAAAGAGAGAGAAGAAGCCAUCUAGCUACUAGCUAUGGACCCGUAUGUCUGAGGUAAACUACUCACGCUUCAUCGGAAGGGCAAUAGAGUUGAUGUAGAAGCUCGCCGUGAUCGAAUCCCCUCCGAUAGGAUGCCGAAAAAGGCCCCUAGAAGGGAUCUCAUGGGUAAAGAAGGUUGCGGCGGUGGAAAAGUGUUUUCCUGGAUGCUUCUGGCAGUUUGGGGAUAUUUGUGAAUAUAUAGGACGAAGAAGUAGGUCGGUGGCCGCCUCGUGGCUCUUCCGACUUGAUCUCCAAUCUCCUGGGUGUCUUUUGGUCCAAGAAAAUUCAUCGCGAAGGUUUUGUUCCGUUUGGAUCCGUUUGGUAUUCCUUCUCUGUGAAGCUCAAAAACAAGGAAAAAACUGAAACUGGCACUGGGCUCUAGGUUAAUAGGUUAGUCCCAAAAAUAAUAUAAAAUAGCAUAUUAAUGCAUAUAAAACAUCCAAAACAGAUAAUAUAAUAGCAUGGAACAAUCAAAUGUAUCAAGCAUCCCGAAGCUUGAUUCCUGCUCGUCCUCGAGUAGGUAAAUGAUAAAAAACAGAAUUUUUGGUGUGGAAUGCUACCUAACAUAUUUAUCCAUGUAAUUUUUCUUUAUUGUGGUAUGAAUGUUCAGAUCCAUAAUAUUCAAAAGAAAAGUUUAAUAUAGACAUAAAAAACAACAAUACUUCAAGCAUACUAACAAGGCAAUUAUGUCUUCUCAAAAUAACAUGGCCAAAGAAAGUUAUCCCUACAAAAUCAUAUAGUCUAGCUAUGCUCCAUCUUCAUCACACAAAAUAUUCAAAUCAUGCACAACCCCGAUGACAAGCCAAGCAACUGUUUCAUACUUUUUGUGUUCUCAAACCUUUUCAACUUUCACGCAAUACAUGAGCGUGAGUCAUGGACAUAGCACUAUAGGUGGAAUAGAAUAUGGUGGUUGUGGACAAGACAAAAAAGAGGGAGAUAGUACCACAUCAACUAGGUGUAUCAACGGGCUAUGGAGAUGUCCAUCAAUAGAUAUCAAUGUAGGCGCUUCCAACUCCCGGUUCAGGGUCUGAGUGAGUGGAUAGGGAUUACCAUGCAACUGAUGCACUAGAGCUAUAAGUUUAUGAAAGCUCAAAAAGAAAAACUAAGUGGGUGUGCAUCCAACUUGCUUGCUCAUGAAGACCUAGGGCGAAUUGAGGAAACCCAUCGUUGGAAUAUACAAGCCAACUUCUAUAAUGAAAAAUUCCCACUAAUAUAUGAAAAUGACAAAAUAGGAGACUCUCUAUCAUGAAGAUCAUGCUGCUACUUUGAAGCACAAGUGCGAAAAAGGAUAAAAACAUUGCCGCUUCUCUCUUUUCUUCUCUUUUUUUUCUUUUUUUUUCUUUCUUUUUUUGUUUGGCUUCUUUGGCCUCUGCUUUUUUCCCUCACAUGGGACAAUGCUCUAAUAAUGAUGAUCAAACAAAAAUAUGACUCUAUAUGAAUGCCUCCGGCGGUGUACCGGGAUGUGCAAUGACUCAAGAGUGACAUGUAUGAAAGAAUUAUGAAAGGUGGCUUUGCCACAAAUAUGAUGUCAACUACAUGACCAUGCAAAGCAAUAUGACAAUGAUGAAGCGUGUCAUAAUAAAUGGAACGUUAGAAAGGUGCAUGGCAAUAUAUCUCGGAAUGGCUAUGGAAAUGCCAUAAUAGGUAGGUAUGGUGGCUGUUUUGAGGAAGGUAUAUGGUGGGUGUAUGGUACCAAAGAAAAUUGCGCGGUACUAGAGAGGCUAGCAAUGGUGGAAGGGUGAGAGUGUGUAUAAUCCAUGGACUCAACAUUAGUCAUAAAGAACUCAGAUACUUAUUGCAAAAAUAUAUUAGUCAUCAAAACAAAGUAAUACGCGCAUGCUCCUAGGGGGAUAGAUAGGUAGGAAAAGACCAUCGCUCGUCCCCGACUGCCACUCAUAAGGAAUACAAUCAAUAAAUACCUCAUGCUCCGACUUCAUUACAUAACGUUUCACCAUACGUGCAUGCUACGGAAAUCACAAACCUCAACACAAGUAUUUCUCCAAUUCACAAUUACUCACUAGCGUGACUCUAAUAUCAACAUCUUUAUAUCUCAAAACAAUCAUAAGGAAUCAAACUUCUCAUAGUAUUCAAUGCACUUUAUAUGAGAGUUUUUUAUUAUAUCCUUCUUGGAUGCCUAUCAUAUUAGGACUAAAUUUAUAACCAAAGAAAAUUACCAUGCUCUUUAAAAAGACUCUCAAAAUAAUAUAAGUGAAGCAUGAGAGUUCAAUUCUAUAAAAUAAAACCACCGUUGUGCUCUAAAAAGAUAUAAGUGAAGCACUAGAGCAAUAUUGCCUAGCUCAAAAGAUACAAGAGAAGCACAUAGAGUAUUCUAAUAAAUCACGAUUCAUGUGUGUCCCUCUUAAAAGGUGUGUACAGCAAGGAUGAUUGUAGCAAACUAAAAAUCAAAGACUCAUAUCAUACAAGACGCUCCAAGCGAAACACAUAUCAUGUGGUGAAUAAAAAUAUAGCCUCAAGUAAAGUUACCGAUAAACGAAGACGAAAGAGGGUAUGCCUUCCGGGGCAUCCCCAAGCUUAGGCUCUUGGUUGUCCUUGAAUAUUACCUUGGGGUGCCUUGGGAAUCCCCAACCUUAGGCUCUUUCCACUCCUUAUUCCAUAGUCCAUCAAAUCCUUACCCAAAAUUUGAAAACUUCACAACACAAAACUCAACAGAAAAUCUCAUAAGCUCCGUUAGUAGAAGAAAUAAAUCACCACUUUUCGUACUGUUGUGAACUCAUUAUUUAUUUAUAUUGGUGUAAUAUCUAAUGUAUUCCAACUUUUCCAUGGUUCAUACCCCCCGAUACUACCCAUAUAUUCAUCAAAAUAAGCAAACAACACAUAGAAAAUAGAAUCUGUCAAAAACAGAACAGUCAGUAGAAAUCUGGAAACUUAGAAUACUUAUGUAACUCCAAAAAUUCUGAAAAAUUAGGGCAACUUGGGAAAUUUUUGUACCAAUCUUUUGCAAAAGAAUCAGAUCAAAAGCACUGUUCUAUUAAUUAUGAAAAUUAUUUUCCGGGGUGCAAAACUUUCUGUUUUUCAGCAAGAUCAAAACAACUAUCACCGUAAGCCAUCCCAAAGGUCUUACUUGGCACAAACACUAAUUAAAACACAAAACAACAUCUAACCAGAGGCUAGAUGAAUUAUUCAAAGCAAAACAGGAGACAAAAAAGCAAAAACAAAAAAUAAAAUUGGGUUGCCUCCCAACAAGCGCUAUUGUUUAAUGCCCUUAGCUAGGCAUAAAAACAUGAAUAGAUCUAGGUAUUGUCAGCUUUGGUCUUUACCCUUUUAAUGGAGUUAUGUUCAAAUCCAGGAGGUUCCUUGCGUUUCUCCUCAUAUUCAGAAAUAUUUAAGUCAUGAGCAUCCAAUCGCUUAUUGCAAAGAGUAAUCAACAUAUUCAUGUGGUGGAUGUUCCCACUAACAUUUUUGAGGGGUUCAAGAGAUUUUGCAAAAAACUUGUCACUUCACAUAGUUUCUCGAAAACUUGAGUUCCCUCUUGAGUGUGAGGUAAUCCCUUUUGUGGGGGUGAUAUUCCAAGUACCCCUUCUAUUAUCUCAUAAGCAAUGUUGGGAUCAAUUUCAAUAAAAUUUCCUUUUGUAGCAAAUCCAAGAGUUGCCUAUGUUGGAGCAGCCAGAGGAGGAAGAAGAUUCUCACACACGCAAGAUAGAUGAACACAAGUCUAGAGGUUGAAGAAGAUACACACAGAGACUCUUGGCACACACAACUUUGCCUUUUCUCUAUUUCUUUUCACACCUGACACAAUGCAAAUACAUGGGCUUAAGUAGCCAGUGUUACACGGCCAACACGCGGCCACUCACCCACUAACUCCAUGCACACAGACACACAUACAAACCCCACAACUACUUCCGACUCUUAUCAACCGGCUAGCUUCACUUUGAGUAGCAACCAAGUCUGCAGAACGUUGGAUAUGCACACACAGGACCAAGCCACAACUGAUUGCUCCCGAUUCUUUCUCCUCGUCGAUCUGCCACGCGACUCAGCCGCUCCGGCUCCGCAGCGAACGCAGCUAGCUUCCUAACACAUCCAUGCAGAUAGACUACUUGCUAAUGCAACAGCACAUACACACAUUUGUGCCAUACACACGACGCCAUGUGACGCUCACAACUUGACAUGAUUAACCUGUCGUGCUCAAGUGCAUCUUCCCUAAUCUAUAUGCAUUUAUUUUCUACUCCCUCCAUCCCAUAAUGUAAGACGCUUUUUAAAACUAAAUGUAAUUUUAAAAAAUGUCUUACAUUAUGGGACGGAGGGAGUAAUUGUCUAACCCAGUACUAGCUUGCAUGUACACAUGAUCUCAUCUUCACGCGACUACAUGGCCGCAGCUAAGUUGGUUGGACAUGACUACGUGCAUGAAUGAACUAAUGCGAUGAAAUAAACAUGAUGAAUACCUAGACGACAAGGUUUACUCUAUCAAUCACCCACUUAACCUUGUUGUCGUAAAUUCGAACACCUUCAUGUCGAUCUUCAAAGCAGCCUCGGCUCGGUGGUGGCGGUCGCGGAGGCGAGGUGGGCCUUCUCCUUCCUGGGCGCGGUGCACUCCCUCGAGAAAUGCCUAUAGUCUUGGCAGUUGUAGCAACGGACCUUGCGGAUGUCAAAGUUGCUCCUCCUCUUUCCAGCACCGCCGCGUUUCUUGGAGCGAGCAAACCACUCCUCCUCCGUGAGGAGCAGCUGAGUGCCGCUGUUGCUGCUACCUGCCUCAUCCAUGUCGAAGCUCUCCACCACGGCCAAGAAGCGACCCCUAAGCUCUUCAAUCAUCAAGGUCUUGAGGUCGAGUAGUGACUGGAUGGAGUGGGCAAGCUGCCGGUAGUGUUGUAGCAUGCAGCGGAGAAACUUGAGCAUCGCCUUGUGCUCAGUGAUGCCGUCGCCGAGGGCCUCGAGGUUGUUGAUGAUGCCGGUGAGGCGGACAACGAACUCCUCCAUCCUCUCGCCAUCCUUGAACCGGAGAUUCUUGAACUCCAAUCGACGCGUCUGCGCCCGGGCUUCGCAGACGUGCUCGGACCCCAUCCUCAAGGUCUUGAGGGCAUCCCAAGCCUCCUUCGCCGAGUCCUUCGCAGCCAAGGAGUGCAACAUCUCUGGCGGCAUGCUACCUCUUGAGCACUACGUUGGUUUUCCCUUGAUGAGGAAAGGGUGAUGCAGCAAAGUAGCGGAAGUAUUUCCCUCAGUUUUUGAGAACCAAGGUAUCAAUCCAGUAGGAGGCUCCACAGAAGUCCCUCGUACCUACACAAACAAACAAGAACCUCGCAACCAACGCGAUAAAGGGGUUGUCAAUCCCUUCACAGUAACUUGCGAAAGUGAGAUCUGAUAGAGAUAAUAAGAUAAGAUAAAUAUUUUUGGUGUUUUUAUGAUAUAGAUUGAAAUGUAAAGAUGCAAAUAAAAGUAGAUCGGAAACUUAUAUGAUAAAGGAUAGACCCGGGGGCCAUAGGUUUUACUGGUGGCUUCUCUCAAGAUAGAAUAAGUAUUACGGUGGGUGAACAAAUUACUGUUAAGCAAUUGAUAGAAAAGUGCAUAGUUAUGAGAUUAUCUAGGCAUGAUCAUGUAUAUAGGCAUCACGUCCGCAACCAGUAGACCGAAACGAUUCUGCAUCUACUACUAUUACUCCACACAUCGACCGACUCCUGCCUGCAUCUAGAGUAUUAAGUUCAUAAGAAUAGAGUAAUGCAUUAAGAAAGAUGACAUGAUGUAGAGGGAUAAACUCAAGCAAUAUGAUAUGAACCCCAUCUUUUUAUCCUCGAUGGCAAAAAUACAAUACGUGCCUUGCUGCCCCUGCUGUCACUGGGAAAGGACACCGCAAAAUUGAACCCAAAGCUAAGCACUUCUACCAUUGCAAGAAAGAUCAAUCUAGUAGGCCAAACCAAACUGAUAAUUCGAAGAGACUUGCAAAGAUAACCAAUCACACAUAAAAGAAUUCAGAGGAGAUUCAAAUAUUUCUCAUGGAUAAACUUGAUCAUAAACCCACAAUUCAUCGGAUCUCGAUAAACACACCGCAAAAAGAGUUACAUCGAAUAGAUCUCCAAGAAGAUUGAGGAGAACUUUGUAUUGAGAUUCAAAGAGAGAGAAGAAGCCAUCUAGCUAAUAACUAUGGACCCAAAGGUCUGUGGUAAACUACUCACAACUCAUUGGAGAGGCCUUGGAGAUGAUGUAAAGGCCCUCCGCGGUCAAUUCCCCCUCUGGCAGAGUGCCGGCAAAGGCUCCAAGCUGGGAUCUCGCGGAUACAGAAGGUUGCGGCGGUGGAAAUAGUUUUUCAUGGUGCUCCUGGAUGUUUUUGGGCUACAUAGAUAUAUAUAGGCGAAGGAGGUAGGUCAGGGGAGCCACGAGGGGCCCAUGAGGGUGGGGGGCACGCCUACCCCCCUAGGGCACGCCCUCCUGCCUCGUGGCCACCUCGGCUGCUUCUUGAUGUCCACUCCAAGUCUCCUGGAUUGCGUUUGUUCCAAAAAGAUCGCUCCCGAAGGUUUCAUUCCGUUUGGACUCCGUUUGAUAUUCCUUUUCUUCGAAACACUGAAAUAGGCAAAAAAAACAUCAAUUCAGGUUGGGCCUCCGGUUAGUAGGUUAGUCCCAAAAAUCAUAUAAAAGUGUAAAGUAAAGCCCAUAAACAUCCAAAACGGGUAAUAUAAUAGCAUGGAACAAUAAAAAAUUAUAGAUACGUUGGAGACGUAUCAAGCAUCCCCAAGCUUAAUUCCUGCUCGUCCUCGAGUAGGUAAAUGAUAAAAACAGAAUUUUUGAUGUGGAAUGCUACCUAGCAUAAUUCUCAAUGUAAUUUUAUUUAUUGUGGCAUGAAUGUUCAGAUCCAAAUGAUUCAAGAUAAAAGUUCAUAUUGACAUAAAAACAAUAAUACUUCAAACAUACUAACAAAGCAAUCAUGUCUUCUCAAAAUAUCAUGGCUAAAGAAAGCUAUCCCUACAAAAUCAUAUAGUCUGGCUAUGCUCUAUGUUCAUCACACAAAGUAUUUAAUCAUGCACAACCCCGAUGACAAGCCAAGCAAUUGUUUCAUACUUUUAUGUUCUCAAGCUUUUUCAACUUUCACGCAAUACAUGAGCGUGAGCCAUGGACAUAGCACUAUAUGUGGAAUAGAAUGGUGGUUGUGGAGAAGACAAAAAGGAGAAGAUAGUCUCACAUCAACUAGGCGUAUCAACGGGCUAUGGAGAUGCUCAUUGAUAGAUAUCAAUGUGAGUGAGUAGGGAUUGCCAUGCAACGGAUGCACUAGAGAUAUAAGUGUAUGAAAUCUCAACAAAAGAAACUAAGUGGGUGUGCAUCCAACUUGCUUGCUCACGAAGACCUAGGGCAUUUUGAGGAAGCCCAUCAUUGGAAUAUACAAGCCAAGUUCUAUAAUGAAAAAUUCCCACUAGUAUAUGAAAGUGACAACAUAGGAGACUCUCUAUCAUGAAGAUCAUGGUGCUACUUUGAAGCACAAGUGUGGUAAAAGGAUAGUAACAUUGUCCCUUCUCCCUUUUCUCUCAUUUUUUUAUUUGUGGUCUUCUUUGGCCUCUUUUCUUAUUUGGGCUUCUUUGGCCUCUUUUAUUUUUAUAAAGUCCGAAGUCUCAACCCGACUUGUGGGGGAAUCAUAGUCUUCAUCAUCCUUUUCUCACUUGGGACAAUGCUCUAAUAAUGAAGAUCAUCACACUUUUAUUGAUUUACAAUUCAAGAAUUACAACUCAAUACUUAGAACAAAAUAUGACUCUACAUGAAUGCCUCCGGUGGUGUACCGGGAUAUGUAAUGAACCAAGAGUGACAUGUACGAAAAAUUAUGGAGGUGGCCUUGCCACAAAUACGAUGUCAACUACAUGAUCAUGCAAAGAGCAAUAUGACAAUGAUGGGGCAUGUCAUAAUAAAUGGAACGGUGGAAAGUUGCAUGGCAAUAUAUCUCGGAAUGGCUAUGGAAAUGCCAUAAUAGGAAGGUAUGGUGGCUGUUUUGAGGAAGUUAUAUGGUGGGUGUAUGGUACCAGCGAAAGUUGUGCGGCACAAGAGAUGCUAGCAAUGGUGGAAGGGUGAGAGUGCGUAUAAUCCAUGGACUCAACAUUAGUCAUAAAGAACUCAUAUACUUAUUGCAAAAAUGUACAAGUUAUUGAAACAAAGUACUACGCGCAUGCUCCUAGGGGGAUAGAUUGGUAGGAAAAGACCAUCGCUCAUCCCCGACCGCCACUCAUAAGGAAGACAAUUAAUAAAUAAAUUGUGCUCCAACUUCAUCACAAAGCGGUUCACCAUACGUGCAUGCUACGGGAAUCACAAACGUCAACACAAGUAUUCUUCAAAUUCACAACUACUCAACUAGCAUGACUCUAAUAUCACCAUCCUCAUAUCUCAAAACAAUUAUCAAGCAUCAAAUUGAUCAUAGCAUCCAAUUCACUUUCUAUGAUAGUUUUUAUUAUACCCAACUUGGAUGCCCAUCAUUCUAGGACCAAUUUUAUAACCAUAGCAAAUACCAUGCUGUUCUAAAAUACUCUCAAAGUAAUAUAAGUCAAGCAUGAGAGACCAAUAAUUUCUACAAAAUAAAACCACCGCCGUGCUCUAAAAGAUAUAAGUGAAGCACUAGAGCAAAAUUAUCUAGCUCAACAGAUAUAAGUGAAGCACAUAGAGUAUUCUAAUAAAUUCUGAAUCAUGUUGUGUCUCUCCUAAAAGGUGUGUACAGAAAGGAUGAUUGUGGUAAACUAAAAAUCAAAGACUCAUAUCAUACAAGACGCUCCAAGCAAAACAGAUAUCAUGUGGCGAAUAAAAAUAUAGCUCCAAGUAAAGUUACCAAUAGACGAAGACGAAAGAGGGCAUGCCUUCCGGGGAAUCCACAAGCUUAGCAUUUUGGUUGUCCUUGAAUUAUCUUGGGGUGCCAUGGGCAUCCCCAAGCUUAGGCUCUUGCCACUCCUUAUCCCAUAGUCCAUCAAAUCUUUACCCAAAACUUGAAAACUUCACAACACAAAACUCAACAGGAAAUCUCAUAAGCUCCGUUAGUGCAAGAAAGAAAAAACACCACUUAAGUUACUGUAAUGAACUCAUUAUUUAUUUAUAUUGGUGUUAAACCUACUGUAUUCCAACUUCUCUAUGGUUCAUACCCCCCGAUACUAGCCAUAGAUUCAUCAAAUAAGCAAACAACACACGAAAAACAGAAUCUGUCAAAAACAGAACAGUCUGUAGCAAUCUGUAACUUUCGAAUGCUUCUGGAACUCUAAAAAUCCUACAAAAAUAGGAAGUGCUGGUCAAUUUGUCUAUUGAUCUACUUCAAAAAUAAUCAACUAAAAAUCACGUUUCUGUGAUUUACUAAAAUUAUACUCGUGCGCGCGGAAGUUUCUGUUUUUCAGCAGAAUCAAAUUAACUAUCACCAUAGGUUAUCUUAUAGGUUCUACUUGGCACAAACACUAAUUAAAACAUAAAACCACAUCUAAACAGAAGCUGGAUGUAUUAUUUAUUACUAAACUGAAGCAAAAAGCAAGGAAAAUAAAAUUGGGUUGCCUCCCAACAAGCGCUAUCAUUUAACGCCCCUAGCUAGGCAUAAAAGCGAGAAUAUAUCUUGCCAUCUUUGGCAUUCAGUUCAUGUGGCUCGCAUAAUAGAUUCAUAAGGUAAUUUGACUUUCUUUCUAGGAAAGUGUUCCAUGCCUUUCCUUAAUGGAAAUUAGAAUCUAAUAUUCCCUUCCUUCAUAUCAAUAAUUGCACCAAUCGUUCUAAGGAAAGGUCUACCAAGAAUAAUAGGACAUGAAAAAUUGCAAUCUAUAUCAAGAACAAUGAAAUCUACGGGCACAUAAUUCCUAUUUGCAACAAUAAGAACAUCAUUAAUCCUUCCCAUAGGUUUCUUAAUAGUGGAAUCCGCAAGGUGCAAGUUUAAAGAGCAAUCAUCAAAUUCACGGAAACCUAGCACAUCACAUAAAGUUUUUGGAAUCGUGUAAACACUAGCACCCAAAUCACACAAAGCAUAUCAUUCAUGAUCUUUAAUUUUAAUUUUUAUAGUAGGUUCCCACUCAUCAUAAAGUUUUCUAGGUAUAGAAACUUCCAACUCAAGUUUUUCCUCAUAAAAUUGCAUCAAGGCAUCAACAAUAUGUUUGGUAAAAGCUUUAUUUUGACUAUAAGCAUGAGGAGAAUUCAACACGGAUUGCAACAAGGAAAUACAAUCUAUUAAAGAACAAUUAUCAUAAUUAAAUUCCUUGAAAUCCAUUAUAGUGGGUUCAUUGCUAUGUAAAGUUUUGAGCCCUCCAAUCCCACUUUUACCAAUUUUAGCAUCAAGAUCUAAAAACUCCGAAUCAUUGGGACGCCUUUUAACUAAAGUUGGCUCAUCUUCAGUCCCAUCAUUAUCAAGAUUCAUAUUACAAAACAAAGAUUUAAUAGGGGACACAUCAAUAACUUUUAGAUCUUCAUCAUUAUUUAUUUCUAACCCUUCUGGUUUGGCGGCCAUCUUAUUAACUAAGGUGGCUUGCUUAUCAGAAAUUUGAGCUAUUGAUUUUUCAAGACGAGCAAUCUGAGAAUUGAAACCAUAAAAUUCCUUAGACAUAUCAUCAAGUUCUUUAUUCAUGUAUUCCAUAAAGCUUUUUUGUUCUUUAAGCUCAUUUCUAAAGAAAUUAUUAUGCUGAAAUUGUAAAGUCAUAAAGCUUCUAAUGUUUAAUUCAAUCUCUUCCAACCUUCUAAGAUGAAGAUUAACGUUCUUAGGCAAAGCCAUAAGGGCAAACAAACACACAAGAGACAAGUGAAAAAGAGAGGCGAACGGGGAAGAGAAGGCGAAUAAAAUGGCAAGGGUGAAGUGGGGGAGAGGAAAAUGAGAGGCAAAUGACAAAUAAUGUAAUGCGAGGGAGAUGAGUUUGUGAUGGGCACUUGGUAUGUCUUGACUUGAGCGAAGACCUCCCCGGCAACGGCACCAGAAAUCCUUCUUGCUACCUCUUGAGCACUAUGUUGGUUUUCCCUUGAAGAGGAAAGGGUGAUGCAGCAAAGUAUUGUAAGUAUUUCCCUCAGUUUUUUAGAACCAAGGUAUCAAUCCAGUAGGAGGCUCCACGGAAGUCCCUCAUACCUACACAAACAAAUAAGAACCUCGCAACCAACGUGAUAAAGGGGUUGUCAAUCCCUUCACGGUAACUUGCAAAAGUGAGAUCAAAUAGAGAUAAUAAUAUAAGAUAAAUAUUUUUGGUAUUUUUAUGAUAUAGUUGAAAUGUAAAGAUGCAAAUAAAAGUAGAUCGGAAACUUAUAUGAUAAAGGAUAGAACCGGGGGCCAUAGGUUUCACUAGUGGCUUCUCUCAAGAUAGCAUAAGUAUUACAGUGGGUGAACAAAUUACUGUCGAUCAAUUGAUAGGAAAGUGCAUAGUUAUGAGAUUAUCUAGGCAUGAUCAUGUAUAUAGGCAUCACGUCCGCAACAAGUAGACCGAAACGAUUCGGCAUCUACUACUAUUACUCCACACAUCGACCGACUCCUACCUACAUCUGGAGUACUAAGUCCAUAAGAACAGAGUAACGCAUUAAGAAAGAUGACAUGAUGUAGAGGGAUAAACUCAAGCAAUAUGAUAUAAACCUCAUCUUUUUAUCCUUCAUGGAAACAAUACAAUAUGUGCCUUGCUGCCCCUGCUGUCACUGGGAAAGGACACCGCAAGAUUGAACCCAAAGCUAAGCACUUCUCCCAUUGCAAGAAAGAUCAAUCUAGUAGGCCAAACCAAACUGAUAAUUCAAAGAGACUUGCAAAGAUAACCAAUCACACAUAAAAGAAUUCAGAGGAGAUUCAAAUAUUUCUCAUAUAUAAACUUGAUCAUAAACCCACAAUUCAUCGGAUCUCGACAAACACACCAUAAAAAGAGUUACAUCGGAUAGAUCUCCAAGAAGAUCGAGGAGAACUUUGUAUUGAGAUUCAAAGAGAGAGAAGAAGCCAUCUAGCUAAUAACUAUGGACCCGAAGGUCUAUGUUAAACUACUCACAACUCAUCGGAGAGGCCGUGGAGAUGAUGUAGAGGCCCUCUGUGGUUGAUUCCCCCUUCGACAGAGCGCCAGCGAAGGCUCCAAGAUGGGAUCUCGCAGAUACAGAAGGUUGCGGCGGUGGAAAUAGUUUUUCAUGGUGCUCCUGGAUGUUUUCGGGGUACGUAGAUAUAUAUAGGUGAAGGAGGUAGGUCAAGGGAGCCACGAGGGUGGGGGCGCGCCUACCCCUAGGGCGCGCCCUCCUGCCUCGUGGCCGCCUCGGCUGCUUCUUGACGUCCACUCCAAGUCUCCUGGAUUGCGUUUGUUCCAAAAAGAUCGCUCCCGAAGGUUUCAUUCCGUUUGGACUCCGUUUGAUAUUCUUUUUCUUCAAAACACUGAAAUAGGCCAAAAAAUAGCAAUUCGGGCUAGGCCUCCGGUUAGUAGGUUAGUCCCAAAAAUGAUAUAUAAGUGUAAAGUAAAGCCCAUAAACAUCCAAAACAGGUAAUAUAAUAGCAUGGAACAAUCAAAAAUUAUAGAUACGUUCAAGAUGUAUCACGACACAGACUGGAGGAUGAUGCCCAAAGCUUCACGAUCGUCGCGGUAGUCGAUGACGGCGCCAUGCUCGACUACCUCCCACAGGCCUUAUGCGUGCAGCCGCACUCGCAUGACAAGCGCCCACUCGGUGUAGUUUGUGCAGGUCAGCAGGGGGAGCUGCACCAUCGACGAGGUUAGCCAGACGACGCGCUCGACGAUGCGAACCUCGCCGCUGCAGCUACCGUCGAUGAGCCACGCCUUCGAUGGAGUCGUCGGCUCCCCCGGCUUCCCCUUGGCCAGCUCCACCGCCUUGGACACAUCAUCUCCCUCGGUGCCGGCCAUCACAGGGACAGAUCAAACCGUAGCUUUGUAUACCAAAUGUUGGAGCAGCCGGAGGAGGAAGAAUAUUCUCACACACGCAAGAUAGAUGAACACAAGUCUAAAGCUUGAAGAAGAUACGCACAGAGACUCUUGGCACAAGCUCCUGGUUCUUAAAAAUUACGGAGUAAAAUUUUAAAAUCCCCCUUCAUAGUGCAAUUGUGAUAAGAUUCUUUCAUCCUAUACCAAGCAUCCUUUAAAUUUUUCCUUGUUUCUGUUUGAAUUGAAGAACAGCAAAGUCAAGAGACAAAGGAGGGGCAAAAGUGCUAGUCAUAGAUAAAAGGUAAAGAUGGAGGAAACACACGAAGAGAUGAAUGGAAGAGGGGCGCAGAAAAGGGCGAAUCUUUUCGAAAAUCAUUUUAGAAGUGGGUGAGAGAAAAACGAGAGGCAAAAGGCGAAUAAUGUAAUGCAAGAGAUGAGAGUUUUAUGAUGGGUACUUGGUAUGUCUUGACUUGGCAUAGAUCUCCCCGGCAACGGCGCCAGGAAUUCUUCCUGCUACUUCUUGAGCUUGCGUUGGUUUUUCCCUUGAAGAGGGAAGGGUGAUGUAGCAAAGUAGAGAUAAGUAUUUCCCUCAGUUAGAGAACUAAGGUAUCAAUCCAGUAGGAUACAAUGCACAAAUCACCAAAACCUACACGAACAAUCAAACAACUUGCACCCAACACGAUAAAGGAGAUGUCAAUCCCUUCACAAUCCCUUGCAAAAGUGAUAUCUAAUAGAGAUAGAUGAAACUAAACAAAAGGUAAAGUAAAUAUUUUUGGUAUUUUUGGUUUAUAGAUCGGAAAGUAAAAGAUUGCAAAAUAGUAGAUCAGAAACUUAUAUGAUGGAAAAUAGACCCGGGGGCCAUAGGUUUCACUAGUAGCUUCUCUCAAGAUAGCAAAUAAUACGGUGGGUGAACAAAUUACUAUCGAGCUAUUGAUAGAAAAGCGCAAAGUUAUGACGAUAUCCAAGGCAAUGAUUAUGAAAUAUAGGCAUCACGUCCAUGUCAAGUAGAGCGACUCCUGCCUGCAUCUACUACUGUUACUCCACACAUCGACCGACUCCUUCCUGCAUCUAGAUUCUAGAGUAUUAAGUUCAUGAAGAACAGAGUAACGCAUUAAGUAAGAUGACAUGAUGUAGAGGAAUAAACCCAAUCAAUAUGAUGUAAACCCCAUCUUUUUAUCCUCGAUGGCAACAAUACGAUACGUGCCUUGCUGCCCCUACUGUCACUGGGAAAGGACAUCGCGAGAUUGAACUCAAAGCUAAGCACUUCUCCCAUUGCAAGAAAAACUAAUCUAGUUGGCCAAACUAAACCGAUAGUUCCAAGAGAAUUACAGAUAUAUCAAAUCAUGCAUAUAAGAAUUCAGAGAAGAUUCAAAUAAUAUUCAUAGAUAAGUAGAUCAUAAAUACACAAUUCAUCGGAUCUCGACAAACAGACCGCAAAAGAAGAUUACAUCGGAUAGAUCUCCAAGAACAUCAAGGAGAACAUGGUAUUGAGAAUCAAAGAGAGAGAAGAAGCCAUCUAGCUACUAGCUAUGGACCCAUAGGUCUGAGAUAAACUACUCACGCUUCAUCAGAAAGGGCAAUAGAGGUGAUGUAGAAGCCCUCCAUGAUCGAAUCCCCCUCCAGCAGGAUGCCGGAAAAUGCCCCUAGAUGGGAUCUCACGGGUACAGAAGGUUGCGGCGGCGAAAAAGUGUUUUCGUGGAUGCUUCUGGCAGUUUGGGGAUAUUUGUGAAUAUAUAGGACGAAGAAGUAGGUCGGUGGAGUCACGGGGGGCCCACAAGGUAGGGACACGCCCUCCCCCCUGGUGACCGCCUCGUGGCUCUUCCGACUUGAUCUCCAAGUCUCCUGGGUGUAUUCUGAUCCAAGAAAAAUCAUCGCGAAGGUUUUAUUCCAUUUGGGAUCCGUUUGGUAUUACUUCUUUGCGAAGCUCAAAAACAAGGAAAAAACAAAAACUGGCACUGGGCUCUAGGUUAAUAGGUUAGUCCCCAAAAUAAUAUAAAAUAGCAUAUUAAUGCAUAUAAAACAUCCAAAACAGAUAAUAUAAUAGCAUGGAAGAAUCAAAAAUUAUAGAUACUUUGGAGACGUAUCAUGCCCUGGGUUCCGCGUGCAAGACGAAAUGCUAGACACCACCGGCGACAUGUAGGACGUCGAGCAUGAUGAUGUUGAGGAGGUGGAAAAGGAAGACUGAUGGAGCCAUCGGCCAAAGGAAGAAGGUAGAAGCGGACGUCCAACGCCAGGUCGGGCGAGCCUCGCGUCAACUAGAUGCCAAAGGAAGACGAGUGCCUCGCUGAAGCAUGAAAGACUCUCAGCAUCGACUCGAUCACCGCUGCAAAUCAGAACGCCGACACCUACUGGAGAAGGGUCAAGACGGUGUUAGACGAGCACAAGUUGGUCAACCCCGAGUUUGCCAGGAUCCACAUGUUUUGCGGCAACAAGGCCAUGGCCAACCAUUGGGCGACCAUCCAGCAGGCCUAGAGCAAGUGGCAUGGGAUUUAGGUGGAGGUCAUUGCUCGCCCGGAGAGCGGUGCCAACGUCGAGCGUCAGUUAUGUCCAUGGCUCGCCGACGCAGCUCUUUGCCUUGUACUUCACUGACACUUGUUCUUCGUCUGUGUAGAUGGUCCGAAUGUUCGACAUGUUUCGCCAGGAUAACAACGACCUCGAGUUCAAGUUCCUUCAUGUCUUCACCGGAACUGAGUUGUGUGAGAAAUGGACAGAGUGUCGUCUUGCUCUCUCAAAGACCAAGGACGGUCUCUACAACCCAGAUGCGCCUGUCUCGGUGUCGGCAAAAGGGCUUCCUGAUGGCAACAAGAGAUCCAAGGCGGAGAGGGACUCGACGCCCGCUGCCGAACGGCUGCAGUCGUCCAUAGAAAAGUGCAUCACUGACGUGAGGAUCCACGCCGCAAAGAGGGAGGAGCAGUCCAAGGCGAGGUGGUCGGCGUAGAUGACGAAGCAGGACAUCAAGCUCGCCCUUCUGAGGACCAACGUCACCACGAAGAAGCAGAACACCGACAUGGGAUUCCUGAUGGGAGCAGACAUGGCGACGAUGGACCAGCAGGGGAAGAUGUGUGUUGGAAAUAUGCCCUAGAGGCAAUAAUAAAAUGGUUAUUAUUAUAUUUCCUUGUUCAUGAUAAUUGUCUAUUGUUCAUGCUAUAAUUGUAUUAACCGGAAACCAUAAUACAUGUGUGAAUACAUAGACCACAACAUGUCCCUAGUGAGCAUCUAGUUGACUAGCUCGUUGAUCAAUAGAUGGUUAUGGUUUCCUGACCAUGGACAAUGGAUGUCAUUGAUAACGAGAUCACAUCAUUAGGAGAAUGAUUUGAUGGAAAAGACCCUAUCCUAAGCAUAGCAUAAGAUCGUGUAAUUCAUUUGCUAGAGCUUUUCUAAUGUCAAGUAUCUUUCCUUAGACCAUGAGAUUGUGCAACUCCCGGAUGCCAUAGGAAUGCUUUGGGUGUAUCAAACGUCACAACGUAACUGGGUGACCAUAAAGGUGCACUAUAGGUAUCUCCGAAAGUGUCUGUUGGGUUGGGAUGAAUCGAGACUGGGAUUUUACACUCCGUAUGACGGAGAGGUAUCUCUGGGUCCACUCGAUAAUGCAUCAUCAUAAUGAGCUCAAUGUGACUAAGGAGUUAUCCACGGUAACAUGCAUUACAGAACGAGUAAAGAGACUUGCCGGUAACGAGAUUGAACGAGGUACGGGGAUACCGACGAUCGAAUCUUGGGCAAGUAACAUACCGAUGGACAAGGGGAAUUGUAUAUGGGAUUGAUUGAAUUCUCGACAUCGUGGUUCAUCCGAGGAGAUCAUCGUGUAACAUGUGGGAGCCAAUAUGAGUAUCCAUAUCCCGCUAUUGGUUAUUGGCCGGAGAGAUGUCUCGGUCAUGUCUGCAUGGUUCCCGAACUCGUAGGGUCUACACACUUAAGGUUCGGUGACGCUAGAGUUGAAAUGGGAAAUUGUAUGUGGUUACCGAAAGUUGCUCGGAGUCCCGGAUGAGAUCUAGAACAUCACGAGGAGUUCCGGAAUGGUCCGGAGGUGAAGAUUUAUAUAUGGGAAGUCCAGUUUCAGUCAUUGGAAAGGUUUCGGGGGUUAUCGGUAUUGUACCGGGACCAUCGAAAGGUGUCCGGGGGUCCACCGGGUGGGGCCACCUACCUCGAGGGACCAAGUGGGAUGAAUAUGGGUGGGAACCAGACCCUAGUUGGCUGGUGUGCCCCCCGCCCCAAGGGCCCAAGGCGCCUAGGGUUGAAAACCCUAGGGGGUGGGGGCGCCUCCCACCUCCUUGGGGGGGCAAGUCUCCCCUCUUGGCCGCCCCCCCUCUAGAUGCAUCUAAGGGGGGCGGCCCCCUCUCCCCUUCACCAUAUAAAUAGAGGGGGGUGGGAGGGCAGCCGCACCUCAGCCCCUGGCGCAGCCCUUCCCCCUCCUACACCUCCUCCUCCUCCGUUUGAGCUUGGCGAAGCUCUGCCGGAGAACCACGAGCUCCACCACCACGCCGUCGUGCUGCCGGAGUUCUCCCUCAACUUAUACUCCCCCCUUGAUGGAUCAAGAAGGAGGAGACGUCCCCAGGCUGUACGUGUGUUGAACACGGAGGCACCAUCUGUUCGGCUCUUGGAUCGGAUCUUCCACGAUUUGAAUCGCUGCGAGUACGACUCCAUCAACCGUGUUCUUGUAACGCUUCCGCUUAGCGAUCUUCAAGGGUAUGAAGAUACACUCUCUCUCAUUCUCUCUCGUUGCUAGCAUCUCCUAGAUUGAUCUUGGUGACACGUAGGAAUUUUUUGAAUUAUUACUACAUUCCCCAAUAGUGGCAUCAUGAGCUAGGUCUAUGCGUAGAUUCUAUGCACGAGUAGAACACAAGUAGUUGUGGGUGAUGAUUUGGUCAAUUUGCUUACUGUUACUAGUCCUAUCUUGAUUCAGCGGCAUUGUGGGAUGAAGCGGCCCGGACCGACUUUACAUGUACGCUUACGUGAGACAGGUUCCACCGACCGAUAUGCACUUGUUGCAUAAGGUGGCUAGCGGGUGUCUGUCUCUCCCACUUUAGUCGGAUCGGGUUCGAUGAAGAGGGUCCUUAUGAAGGGUAAAUAGAAAUUGGCAUAUCACCGUUGUGGCUUUUGCGUAGGUAAGAAAUGUUCUUGCUAGAAACCCAUAGCAGCCACGUAAAACUUUCAACAACAAUUAGAGAACAUCUAACUCGUUUUUGCAGGGUAUGCUAUGUGAUGUGAUAUGGCCAAAAGGAUGUGAUGAAUUAUAUAUGUGAUGUAUGAGAUUGAUCAUGUUCUUGUAAUAGGAAUCACGACUUGCAUGUCGAUGAGUAUGACAACCGGCAGGAGCCAUAGGAGUUGUCUUAAUUUAUUCUAUGACCUGUGAGUCAAUAUAAGCGCCAUGUAAUUACUUUACUUUAUUGCUAACCGUUAGCCAUAGUAGUAGAAGUAAUAGUUGGUGAGGCAACUUCAUGGAGACACGAUGAUGGAGAUCAUGGUGUCAUGCUGGUGAUGAUGCUGAUCAUGCCGCGCCUCGAAGAUGGAGAUAAAAAGUGCAAGAUGACAUUGGCCAUAUCAUGUCACUUUAUGAUUUGCAUGUGAUGUUUGUCAUGUUUACAUCUUAUUUGCUUAGAACGAUGGUAGCAUAAAUAAGAUGAUCCCUCACUAAAAUUUCAAGAAAUGUGUUCCCCUAACUAUGCACUAUCGCGAAGUUUUGUUGUCUCGAAGCACCACGUGAUGAUCGGGUGUGAUAGAUUCUAAUGUUCGCAUACAAUGGGUAUAAACCAGAUUUACACAUGUGAAACACUUAGGUUGACUUGACGAACCUAGCAUGUACAGACAUGGCCUCGAAACACGAGAGACCGAAAGGUCGAACAUGAGUCGUAUGGUAGAUGCGAUCAACAUGGAGAUGUUCAUCUGACUAGUCCGUCUCACGUGGUGAUUGGACACGGCCUAGUCAAUUCAGAUCAUGUGUCACUUAGAUGACUAGAGGGAUGUCUAUCUGAGUGGGAGUUCAUUAAAUAAUUUGAUUAGACGAACUUAAUUAUCAUGAACUUAGUCUAAAAUCUAUCUUGUAGAUCCAAUGGCCCACGCUAAUGUUGCCCUCAACUUCAACACGUUCCUAGAGAAAAUCAAGCUAAAAGAUGAUGGAAGCAAGUAUACGGACUGGGUCCGUAACUUGGGGAUCAUCCUCAUAGCUGCCAAGAAAGCAUAUGUCCUUGAAGCACCGCUAGGUGACGCACCCAUUUUCCAGCAACUCAAGACGAUAUGAACGCCUGGCAGUCGUGUAGUGAUGAUUACUCCCUGGUUCAGUGCAACAUGCUUUACAGCUUAGAAUCGGGGCUCCAAAAGCAUUUUGAGCACCAUGGAGCAUAUGAGAUGUUCCAAGAGCUGAAAAUGGUUUUCCAAGCUCAUGCCCGGAUCGAGAGAUAAGAAAUCUCCGACAAGUUCUACAGUUGUAAGAUGGGGGAAAACAGUUCUGUCAGUGAGCAUAUACUCAAAAUGUCUGGGUUGCACAACCGCUUGUCUCAGCUAGGAGUUAAUCUUCCAAAUGACUCGGUCAUUGACAGAAUCCUCCAAUCGCUUCCACCUAGCUACAAGAGCUUUGUGAUGAACUACAAUAUGUAAGGGAUGGAGAAGUCCAUUCUUGAGUUAUAUUCGAUGCUGAAAUCAACGGAGGUGGAGAUCAAAAAGGAAUAUCAAGUGUUGAUGGUGAAUAAGACCACUAGUUUCAAGAAAGGCAAGGGAAAGAAAAACUUCAAGAAGGACGGCAAGGGAGUUGCCGCGCCUAGUAAGUCGGUUGCCAGGAAGAAGCCAAAGAAUGGACCCAAGCCUAAGACUGAGUGCUUUUAUUGCAAGGGAAAUGGUCACUGGAAGCGGAACUGCCCCAAGUACUUAGCGGAUAAGAAGGCCGGCAACGCCAAAGGUAUAUAUGAUAUACAUGUUAUUGAUGUGUACCUUACCAACGCUCGUAGUAGCUCCUGGGUAUUUGAUACCAGUGCAGUUGCUCACAUUUGUAACUCAAAAUAGGAGCUGCAGAAUAAGCAGAGACUAGCGAAGGACGGGGUGACGAUGCGUGUCGGGAAUGGUUCCAAGGUCGAUGUGAUCACCAUCAGCACGCUACCUCUACAUCUACCUUCGGGAUUAGUUUUAAACCACACUAGUUGUUAUUCAGUAACAGCUUUGAGCAUAAACAUUGUAUCUGGAUCGUUUGAUGCGAGAUGGCUACUCAUCUAAAUCCGAGAAUAAUGGUUGUUCUAUUUAUAUGAGAGAUAUGUUUUAUGGUCAUGCCCCGCUAGUCAAUGGUUUAUUUUUAUUAAAUCUCGAACGUGAUGUUACACAUAUUCAUAGUGUGAAUGCCAAAAGAUGUAAGGUUGAUAAUGAUAGUCCCACAUACUUGUGGCACUGCCACCUUGGUCACAUUGGUGUCGAACACAUGAAGAAACUCCAUGCAGAUGGACUUUUGGAGUCUCUUGAUUAUGAAUCAUUUGACACGUGCGAACCAUGCCUCAUGGGCAAAAUGACCAAGACUCUGUUCUCCGGAACAAUGAAGUGAGCAACCAACUUGUUGGAAAUAAUACAUACGGAUGUAUGCGGUCCAAUGAGCGUUGAGGCUCGCGGUGGCUAUCAUUAUGUUCUCACCCUCAUUGAUGACUUAAGUAGAUAUGGGUAUGUCUACUUAAUGAAACACAAGUCUGAGACCUUUGAAAAGUUUAAGGAAUUUCAGAGCGAGGUAGAGAAUCAACAUGACAGGAAAAUAAAGGUCUUACGAUCAGAUCGUGGAGGAGAAUAUUUUAGUCACGAGUUUGGCACGUACUUAAGGAAAUGUGGAAUUGUUUCACAACUCACGCCGCCUGGAACACCUCAGCGAAAUGGUGUGUCUGAAUGUCGUAAUCGCGCUCUAUUGGAUGUGGUGCGAUCUAUGAUGUCUCUUACCAAUCUACCGCUAUCAUUCUAGGGUUAUGCUUUAGAGACUACCACAUUCACUUUAAAUAGGGCACCAUCUAAAUCCGUUGAGACGACACCGUAUGAAUUAUGGUUUGGGAAGAAACCUAAGUUGUCGUUCCUGAAAGUUUGGGGAUGCAAUGGUUAUGUCAAGAAACUUCAACCUGAAAAGCUCGAACCCAAAUCAGAAAAUGUGUCUUCAUUGGAUAUCCUAAGGAAACUAUUGGGUAUACCUUCUACCUCAGAUCCGAGGGCAAGAUAUUUGUUGCCAAGAAUGGAUCCUUUCUGGAGAAAGAGUUUCUCUCGAAAGAAGUAAGUGGGAGGAAAGUAGAACUUGAUGAGGUAACCCCUCUUGAACCGAAAGUAACACAGCCCAGGAAGAUGUUUCUAUGGUGCCUGCACCGACUAUAGAGGAAGUUAAUGAUGAUGAUCAUGAAACUUUAGAUCAAGUUGCUACUGAACUUCGUAGGUCCACGAGGACACGUUCCACACCAGAGUGGUAUGGCAACCCUGUCCUGAAAAUCAUGUUGUUAGACAACGGUGAACCUUCGAACUAUGAAGAAGCGAUGGCGGGCCCGGAUUCCAACAAAUGGCUUGAAGCCAUGAAAUCCAAGAUAGGAUCCAUGUAUGAGGACAAAGUAUGGACUUUGGUGAACUUUCCCGAUGAUCAGAGAGCCAUAGAAAAUAAGUGGAUCUUUAAGAAGAAGACUGAUGUGGAUGGUAAUGUGACCGUCUAUAAGGCUCGGCUUGUUGCUAAGGGUUAUCGACAAGUUCAAGGAGUUGACUACGAUGAGACCUUCUCACCCGUAGCGAAGCUGAAGUACGUCUGAAUCAUGUUAGCAAUUGCCGCAUUCUAUGAUUAUGAAAUCUGGCAAAUGGACGUCAAAACGGCAUUCCUUAAGGGUUUUCUUAAGGAAGAAUUGUAUAUGAUGCAACUGAAAGGUUUUGUCGAUCCUAAUAAUGUUGUCAGGGUAUGCAAGCUCUAGCGCUCCAUCUAUGGGCUGGUGCAAGCAUCUCGGAGUUGGAACAUUCACUUUGAUGAAAUGAUCAAAGCAUUUGGGUUUAUACAGAUUUAUGGAGAAGCCUGUAUUUACAAGAAAGUGAGUGGGAGCUAUGUAGCUUUUCUCAUAUUAUAUGUGGAUGACAUACUAUUGAUGGGAAAUGAUAUAGAACUUUUGGAAAGCAUAAAGGCCUACUUGAAUAAGUGUUUCUCUAUGAAGGACCUUGGAGAAACUGCUUACAUAUUAGACAUCAAGAUCUAUAGACAUAAAUCAAGACGCCUCAUUGGUCUUUCACAAAGCACAUACCUUGAGAAGAUAUUGAAGAAGUUCAAUAUGGAUCAGUCCAAGAAGGGGUUCUUGCCUAUAUUGCAAGGUGUGAGAUUGAGCACAACUCAAUGCCCGGCCUUGGCAGCAGAAAGAGAAAAGAUGAGUGUCAUCCCCUAUGCCUCAGCCGUAGGCUCUAUUAUGUAUGCCAUGCUGUGUACCAGACCUGAUGUGAACCUUGCCAUAAGUUUGGCAGGGAGGUACCAAAGUGAUCCCGGUAUGGAACACUGGACAACGGUCAAGAAUAUCCUGAAGUACCUGAAAAGUACUAAGGAUAUGCUACUCGUUUAUGGAAGUGCCGAAGAGCUCGUCAUAAAGGGUUAUGUCGAUGCUAGCUUUAACACAGAUCUGGAUGACUCUAAGUCACAAACCGGAUACGUGUAUAUUUUGAUGGUGGGGCAGUCAGCUGGUGCAGUUGCAAGCAAAGAGUCAUGGCGGGAUCUACAUGCGAAGCGGAGUACAUAGCUGCCUUGGAAGCAACGCGGGAAGGGGUCCGGAUGAAGGAGUUUAUCACCGACCCAGGAGUGAUUCCCAAUGUGUCAGGCCCGAUGACUCUCUUCUGUGACAACACUGGAGUUAUUGUCGUUGCCAAGGAGCCCAGGUUUCAUAAGAAGACCAAGCACAUCAACCGCCGGUUCAACUCCAUUCGUGAAUAUAUUCAAGAUGGAGACAUAGAUAUUUGUAAAGUACAUACGGAUCUGAAUGUCGCAGACCUGUUGACUAAACCUCUUCCACGAGCAAAACAUGAUCAGCACCGGAAUGCUAUGGGUGUUCGAUUCAUCACAAUGUAACUAGAUUAUUGACUCUAGUGCAAGUGGGAGACUGUUGGAAAUAUGCCCUAUAGGCAAUAAUAAAAUGGUUAUUAUUAUAUUUCCUUGUUCAUAAUAAUUGUCUAUUAUUCAUGCUAUAAUUGUAUUAACCGGAAAACCAUAAUACAUGUGUGAAUACAUAGACCACAACAUGUCCCUAGUGAGUCUCUAGUUGACUAGCUCGUUGAUCAAGAGAUGAUUAUGGUUUCCUGACCAUGGACAUUGGAUGUCAUUGGUAAUGAUAUCACAUCAUUAGAAUAAUGAUGUGAUGGACAAGACCCAAUCCUAAGCAUAACACAAGAUCGUGUAGUUCGUUUGCUAGAGCUUUUCUAAUGUCAAGUAUCUUUCCUUAGACCAUGAGAUUGUGCAACUCCCGGAUGCCGUAGGAAUGCUUUGGGUGUAUCAAACGUCACAACGUAACUGGGUGACCAUAAAGGUGCACUACAGGUAUCUUCGAAAGUGUCUGUUGGGCUGGCACGAAUCGAGACUGGGAUUUGUCACUCCGUAUAACGGAGAGGUAUCUUUGGGCCCACUCGGUAAUGCAUCAUCAUAGUGAGCUCAAUGUGACUAAGGAGUUAUCCAUGUGAUCAUGCGUUACGAAACAAGUAAAGAAACUUGCCGGUAAUGAGACUGAACGAGGUACGGGGAUACCGACGAUCGAAUCUCGGGCAAGUAACAUACCGACGGACAAAGGGGAUUGUAUACGGGAUUGAUUGAAUCCCCGACAUCGUGGUUCAUCCGAUGAGAUCAUCGUGGAACAUGUGAGAGCCAAUAUGGGUAUCUAGAUCCAGCUAUUGGUUAUUGGCCGGAGAGAUGUCUCGGUCAUGUCUGCAUGGUUCCCAAACCCGUAGGGUCUACACACUUAAGAUUCGGUGACACUAGAGUUGAAAUGGGAAAUUGUAUGUGGUUACCGAAAGUUGUUCGAAGUCCCGGAUGAGAUCUCGGAUGUCAUGAGGAGUUCCGGGGUCCGGAUGUGAAGAUUUAUAUAUGGGAAGUCCAGUUUUAGUCACUAAAAAGGUUUCGGGGGUUAUCGGUAUUGUACCGAGACCACCGAAAGGUGUCCGGGGGUCCACCGGGUGGGGCCACCUGCCCCGGGGGACCAAAUGGGCUGAAUAUGGGUGGGAACCAGCCCCUAGUGGGCUGGUGCGCCCCCCAAGGGCCCAAUGCGCCUAUGGUUGAAAACCCUAGGGGGUGGGGGCGCCUCCCACCUGCUUGGGGGGCAAGUCUCCCCCCUUGGCCGCUGCCCCCCUCUAGAUGCAUCUAAGGGGCCCGUCCCCCUCUCCCCUUCACCCUAUAAAUAGAGGGGGGUGGGAGGCAGCCGCACCUCAGGCCCUGGCGCAGCCCUUCCCCCUCCUACACCUCCUCCUCCUCCUCCUUUUGAGCUUGGCGAAGCUCUGCUGGAGAACCAGGAGCUCCACCACCACGCCGUCGUGCUGCCAGAGUUCUCCCUCAACUUCUCCUUCCCCCUUGCUGGAUCAAGAAGGAGGAGACGUUCCCGGGCUGUACGUGUGUUAAACGCGGAGGCACCGCCCGUUCGGCGCUUGGACCGGAUCUUCCGCGAUUUGAAUCGCCGCGAGUACGACUCCAUCAACCACAUUCUUGUAAUGCUUCCGCUUAGCGGUCUUCAAAGGUACGAAGAUGCUCUCUCUCUCUCUCUCGUUGCUAGCAUCUCCUAGAUUGAUCUUGGUGACACAUAGAAAUUUUUUAAAUUAUUACUACGCUCCCCAACAACGUGGUACCUGGCGGACCGGGGGUGUGGGGUGGGGGAGGGGUUGAAUUUUUUAUUUUUUUGAGACCAUGGGGGGUGAUCUAACGGGUUGGAUCUUUAGGGGGAUUUCUUGUCCAGCCCGGUAGCGGCUUUAUCGUGGCCCACCAGAGACUCCUUCCUCCCCGCCGAUACGGCCGUUCCCCAUCGCUUCCCACCCACUCCCACACGGCCACCGCGACGACCACUGUCCCGAUCUCCGGCCACCGCCACCACCACCGACACCAUGUCGUCCACCACGGCAGGGGCCGCCCUCCUCCUCCGCCCCACCUCCUCCACGACGAACCAUCUCCUCCGCUUUGCCAGCCCCUGCCCCAAAUCCCACCUCCUCCGCCUCCACUCGCCACGCCGCCGCCUCCCCGUCCUCCGCCUCUCCCUCACGCCCCCCGCCACCGCCGGCAGCAAUUCAGCGCCUUCUCCUCCUUCUCCGCCUCCGUCCUCCACGCCCCCGCCUUCUCUUUUCGCCAACUGGUCUCCGCCGCGCGCGAUCUGGCGGGGGCUCUCGGCGCUGCUCCUCGCAGGGCAGGUCUUCCACCGCGUCCUCACGGGACGCGUCCACCGCCGCAACCUCCUCGCCCAGCUCCGUCGCGUGGGCCCCGGGAGCGCGGGGGUCUCGCUCCUCACCGCCGCCUUCGUCGGCAUGGCCUUCACCAUCCAGUUCGUGCGCGAGUUCACCCGCCUCGGUCUCCACCGCUCCGUUGGUGGCGUCCUUGCCCUCGCGCUCGCCCGCGAGCUCACCCCGGUCGUCACCGCCGUCGUCGCUGCCGGCCGAGUUGGCUCCGCCUUUGCCGCCGAGCUCGGCACCAUGCAGGUGUCCGAGCAGACGGACACCCUCCGCGUCCUCGGCUCACAGCCCAUCGAUUACCUCGUGGUUCCCCGGGUCCUCGCUUGCGUGCUUGCGCUCCCUGUCCUAACCCUCAUCAGCUUCGCCCUCGGGCUCGCCUCCUCGGCGUUCUUGGCCGACGCCGUCUUUGGUGUAAGCACCAGCAUCAUUCUGGAGUCAGCACGCAAGGCGCUGCGACCAUGGGACUUGAUCAGCGCCUUGAUAAAAUCACAGGUGUUCGGUGCCAUUAUUGCGGUGGUGAGCUGUGCAUGGGGUGUGACAACCCACGGAGGAGCCAAGGGCGUUGGCGAGUCCACAACGUCUGCAGUGGUCAUUUCCUUGGUUGGAAUUUUCAUUGCAGACUUCGCCCUUUCGUGCCUGUUCUUCCAGGCUGGUGCUGGUGAUUCACUAAAGCACGCGAUGGGUUAAGCUAUACCACGGCAGAGACAUUUUUGGGUCGUACCAGCAUAAUUUAGUUCUGUACAUUGACCAAAGUGUAGUAGUGGAUUCAAGGAGGGCAGCAUUGCAACAUCAGCCACACUCCAGGUGAAUGAGUUAUUUUUGUUGUGAUAUCCUUUGGAAGUAAACUAUUGUGCAUUAUGCACAUUCUGUAAUUUUUUGCUCAAUUGUUUGCAUCUGAUCUGUGUAGUCUUACCACCACUUGAAAAAAGAAAUAAAACUACUUCUGUCCAAGUUGCACUUGCUAACAGAGAUGUAAAGCAUUUUAAGAUCAGCUCAAGCAUUCAAGCGGCACUGUAAAAUACAAAUGUUUUUAGUGAGAUAUGGUGCUGUGAGGAAACCACAGUGAAUUGGCGAUCAAUAUUGUUGAUCAAUUGCAACGUUGUACUCCAGGAGAUCACAUACAUUAGGUCUUAUUAAGAAUAGUGGCAAUUCCUUUCGAUGCUUUAGUCGUCCUUGGAUGAGAAGAACUGCAGAAUUUUUGUUGAUAUAUCUGGGAAUAUGCGAGUUGGACGAUAGUCUUUGUCGAGGCAAACAACGGUUCCUUUGGCUUCCAGUACGGGCUGCAAGGAGUUCAAAAGGUGAGAUAUACACGGCAAUGCCUAGAAAUAUACUCCCUCCGUCCCAUAAUGUAAGACGUUUUUUUACUCUAUUGUAGUGUCAAAAAACGUCUUACAUUACGGGACGGAGGGAGUAGUUGAUAUAGACCACAAAUUUGAGUACCUUAUGUUGGAACACUUGGCACAUGCACAAGAUGUAAAUGCAUACCUUAUGAUCGGGCAGUGUCUCAAUUGUUUGCGCAAAGAUCACUCUUACACCUUUGAUUUGCUCGAGCUUCACCUUGAUGACAAACCUGUCACCACUCUGGCAAAACUAGAUAAACUUGUUGAGUUUUCUUGACGAUAUGGUAUAUCUGAUGUACAUGAAUCUGACUAGGAAAAUCAUGUGUUGGUGAACUACAUCAUGGUAUCUCUUUCGCAUGACCAGCAUGUCUAUCUGAAUUAAUAAACUUGAUCUUUGUAUCUUCUAUAUUUAUUAAAUCCUUGAGGAAUUUCAUUUCAGUUUCAGCACCAGUGGUCCUAUGUUUUCUGUAUUGUGCUGUGCUUUUAGCAAAACGUACCCUUAAAGGUGCAAUGUACUUUAGUUGUACUUCUGAAAGAGCGAGCGCAUUGCCUUUGGAUGUUAUCGCGUCUACACUGAUUCCAAGGCUUUCAAAUAGCUUGUCAUGACCUGUUACAACAUGAAGGCUAUGUAUAAAUCAUUUCACUUCGAAAGGAUCCACAGCACUCUUUGAAAAUUGACAUGGCUAACCGUUUUGAAUGUAAUAACUGUAGACAGCGUUGUGGACAACACCAUAUCGGUCAAGUUCCGUGUCAUGAACUUUCAUCUCAACUUGAAAACAUUUGUCCUUCCUGGCAUAGCAAGUAUUAGCAAAUAUACUAAUUAUAAUAUCUUUUGUUACAAUCAAAUAACAGAAGAGGGAUGGUCUCAGAGAACCUUAUGCUGUAUUCCUGGUUUGUGUUCACACUAGUCACAGCUUGUAGGGGGUUGGAUGCUCUAAGAACAGCCUUGACCUGGUGCUGGUGGAGAUAUGCUUGGCCAAAGGGCAUCACACGGUGGCAGUAACUUGAUCUGCCACCACCAGCAGUGUAUACCCGGCGUGGAUGUUGAGGGAACUGAUUGGUGGCAAGAGGAAUAUGCGCGCCUAUCUGCUGCAUUGUGGAUUCCGAUGGUGUUUGUUAUUGGUGGCGAUGCUGCUAACUUAUAGGGAUUGUGAUUUUAGAAGGCACCUGAUUCUUUAACAUUCUCCGUAGACUUUCAGUCUGACACUCUGAGCGUACACCUCUACAUUUCUAAACGAGUGUGCUGGUGAUAUUAUUUGGGUGCAAAGGACAUUGACUUCUGAACUUGGUGUUUGAACUGUUGAGUGUGAUUCUGUUAUGGCGCUGCUAGAAGGAGGGCGCGAGAGGGCCGGCCGGGGGCCUUAUUGCCCACGGCCGGGCAGGAGGGAAGGGAUUUCCUUCUUAAUUCUUACUCCCUCCGUCCGGAAAUACUUGUCAUCAAAAUGAAUAAAAGGGGAUGUAUCUAGAUGUAUUUUAGUUCUAGAUACAUCUCUUUUUAUCCAUUUUGAUGACAAGUAUUUUCGGACGGAGGGAGUACUUGAUUAGAUUGAUACAUCUCCUAUCUUUAUAUAGAGAGGUUUACUUGACUCUCAAGCAAGGCUUACUUGUCCCCUAAGUAAGGGGCCCUUUUUUCUAAUUAACCCUAAGACUAAUGGGUCCAUUAGGCCCAUUACAUAUUCUAACACUACAUCCCACCUGGACAUGCAGUUUGUCCUUGAGCUGCAGCCUAAACAACUUAUAACCAUGACUCAACGCAACGCAAAUCUAACACCUAAAAACAAGCCUUUUACAUCUCGGCUUGUUUUAUUAUUCUCAACCUGAAAUGGACUGGGUCGCUUUAUUUUGGACCCCUUAACAAAAAGUGGACACCAUCCGCACGUCGGAUGUGCACGUGUACAACCACCUGGAUCCCAUGGACACCACCUGGACAAAAGGAGUGCAUGUGUAUGACCACCUGGAAGUGGUCGCAAGAGUGACCAGCAGAGGCGCCCUUGUGGCGGCCGGUGGCGGAAUGCAGUGGUGCUACGCGGUGCGCCACUGUCGUGACACCAUGUCUUCUCCCUGCCGGACGGCUGUUGGUUUGCACCGCACAUGGAAGAGUGGAGGGCUUGCGAUGGAGAAUGACGAGGAGGGGUGCCCCCCCCCCCAACCGCCGAUGUCGCAGACUUUAAGGUCGCUGCCCGCGGGGAAAACAACAUGCCUGCCGCCCAUGGGGGAAACCGCAUGCCCAAGAUCCCCGACGCAACGGAUGAGAUUGAGGUCCUUUGCGCAGCGAAGGGCAACUUGGAGGAGCGGCAGCUGCAGACCGCACAUCUCCCGCACAUGCCAACGCGCUAGGAGGCCGCGCGCAGCAGCCUCACCGCCGCCGACACAUGGCGGGUAGCGAUCCAAGACGGAAACGGUGACGGCGAUGGCGGGGACUGGACUUGGUGAAGCGGGACUCCCGCCGGUGCGGUCGAUGCGGGACCGGAGCUGACCAGCGGUGGCUGCUGCAGCUGCAGCGGCGGAGCGGCGGGCGCGGCGGAGGCCGCCAGGAGCGGCGGCUGCCACUGCAGCCAGGGCUGGGCGGUGGUGGCGAUGGAUGGCAGCUGCAACGGCUACUACAGUGGCCCGGCGAGCGUGGCAAAGGCCGCCUGGUGCGGCGGCUGCCACAGCGGUGCGGGGCCGGCGAUGGGCGCUGGAGGCGNNNNNNNNNNNNNNNNNNNNNNNNNNNNNNNNNNNNNNNNNNNNNNNNNNNNNNNNNNNNNNNNNNNNNNNNNNNNNNNNNNNNNNNNNNNNNNNNNNNNNNNNNNNNNNNNNNNNNNNNNNNNNNNNNNNNNNNNNNNNNNNNNNNNNNNNNNNNNNNNNNNNNNNNNNNNNNNNNNNNNNNNNNNNNNNNNNNNNNNNNNNNNNNNNNNNNNNNNNNNNNNNNNNNNNNNNNNNNNNNNNNNNNNNNNNNGCUGGGGCUGCAGCGUCCCAGCAAACGCUGCGGAGGCCCUUGGAUGCGGCGAGUACCACGGCAGGGCCGGCGGCCCGGUGGCGGCAGCGGCCCGUAUGGGCUGGCCAGGUACAGCCGGAUUCCCUGGACGGCUGUGACGAGGUCGUUGAGGACCCCGGUGAUCUCCUCCGGGUGUAGGCGGUGGCCGGUGGUGCGGUGGAGGACGCCGACAUCUGGGCGGUGGCGGCGUCGGAGGAUGCGACCAGCGGCGCAGAUGGGGAGGGCAGCGGCGCGGUGUAGAUGGCCAGCGGCACGGUGGUGACGGUCGGCAGCCGAAGCGACGGGGUGGGCGGCGGAUCGUUACUGAGCUACCUGAUACCAAAUUGUUAUGGCGCUGCUAGAAGGAGGGCGCGAGAGGGCCGGCCGGGGGCCUUUUUGCCCACGGCCGGGCAAGAGGGAAGGGAUUUCCUUCUUAAUUCUUACUUGAUUAGAUUGACACAUCUCCUCUUUUAUAUAGAGAAGGUUUAUUUGACUCUUAAGCAAGGCUUACUUGACCCCUAAGCAAGCUACCCUUAUUUCUAAUUAAUCGUAAGACUAAUAGGUCCAUUAGGCCCAUUACUUACUCUAACAGAUUCAGUUACACACAGCUGAUCUGAUCUGAUUUAGUUCCAGUAUAAGGUACAACAAGCCUGAAGAUGGGGGCUUAGUCUUCUAAAAUUUAUGAACUUGUGCGCCGUAGACAUCCGUUGGCCUGCAAAGAGGAUUAACUUUGAAUUCUAACUUUGAGCGAGUGCGUAGCUACACAUGUCAGAUCAUCAUUUUUGCUUGCUGCCGAAUUCAUCUGGCAUGGGGGCGUCUGGGUCUUCUAUUGUGCCUUCUUGAUCCUGUAGUUCAGAGAAUUAUAUCUUCAAUAUAUUCCCGUUUCGUAAGUGUCACGGCCUUCCUGAAGACUGAGGCACAACGACUGAAGAAGAGAGCAGAGAAGAGAGAGCGGAGCAGGCUGACUCAUGCACUCAAGGCCGCCACAGGGGAGGCUGGCCCAUGACGCCCAGCAGCGAGUCCAGCCCGCUUAGGAAGUCACCGCUACAAGUAGUCAGAGCGUGCGUGGCUGCAGGGGCAUCGAAUGUAAAAUGCCAGAUUGGUUGUAUUUCUCCUACCUUCCUUCUUCCCCUUCCCCAAGCCUUCUCUCGAUCUGAUCCAGACCUCGGCGUGACGCCAGGAACCCUUGUAUCCCCGUAAUUCUCUCGAAUUCAAGCAAUAGAUUGAUCCCGAGGGUAACACUUGGUAUCUAGAGCCAGUCCUUCAUCUUUCCCCCCAAAAAAAAUUCGAGCGUGUGGUGCUUGUUCAGCGGCGUGCGGCGGCGGUGGAGCACUUGUUGGGGUGCGAUUCGAGUCGUUGGUCGGUUGGUCGCGAAUCCUUCGCGACUCAUAAAAUCCCGUGCCUGCGAUUUGGAUUUUGAGCAUCAGGAACGAUGCCAUGGACCAGAUGCGCGCGGACCUGGCGGAGAUGAAGACGACCAGUGCGUUGGUCGCGGCAUCGGUCAAAUCGAUGUCGGAGACCAUCCAGGCCAUGUCGAGCUGGAUGCCGAAGGUCGAUAAAUCGAUCGGCUCGCUGCAGUCAGCCAUCACUAAGGUGGGCGCUCGGGUGGCAGUGCUGGAAGCAGAGCAACCACCAGCAACGACCCCUAUUCGACCUCGGCCCCAUGGGCACGGCGUUGACAAUCAGCACCAGGGUACUGCGCUUGGAGCUAACAACGCUCCCGCGCCUGCCCUGGGCAGGGGUAAGCGUGAUUUCGCCCCUACACCAAUUUCUUUUGACUUGGAGCACAGCGCAUAUUCAUCUGAUCACAUUCAUGGCUCUGGUUUUCGCUCGGGACAUUCGGGUGGUCGCAUGCCGAAAACUGAUUUCCCAAAAUUUGAUGGGGACAAUCCUACGUGGUGGAAAACCAUAGCUGAAAAGUAUUUUGCUAUGUAUGUUGUGCCACAUGAAACUUGGGCUAGUUUUGCAACCUUGCAUUUUCGCGGCAAUGCUGCCUUGUGGUUACAGACUUAUGAGGCGAUGCAUAACGUUGAUAGCUGGGAGGAACUGGUAGUUGCCGUUUCUCAAAAAUUUGGCAAGGAUAAAUACCAUAGGCAUUUAGAGAGCUUAGAGCGCAUUAGUCAGACUGGUACCGUAGAAGAGUAUCAUCACAAUUUUGAGGAAUUGAUGCAUAAAGUGUUAGUCUACAAUAAGAAUUAUGACGAAGUAUUUUUUGUGACCAAAUUUGUAAAAGGAUUAAAACCUGAAAUUCAGUCAGCUAUACGUUUACACAAGCCGAGGACUGUUGAUGCCGCUUUGUCUCUUGCUCAAACGCAGGAAGAUUUGCUCGAGGAGGUGAAGAUGGCUUCAAGCUCUCGCUACAGAAAUGAUUACAAGUUUUCUGCCCGCAAUGAGCACAAAAUAAUGUGCAGUUCAAAGGAAUUAUGGGUGCAUCGCCUGAAGACAAAUCAGUGGCAAAUGAUAAAGCCAAAUUAGCCCAAAAGUUGGCUGCACUGAAAGCAGUUCGCAAAGAGAAAGGGUUGUGCUUCAAAUGUGGAGAAAAAUAUCACCGAGGACAUAUAUGUACUCCCUCGCCGCAUUUGCAGUUGAUCGAAGAACUCUUGUUACUGCUGGAUGUCAAAUUGGAUGAGGACACAGAUGCGGACGAGCAAGGCUCUGACAACGACACUGAUGGAUUAAUGCAUCUCUCGGAAUGUGCUGCAGCAGGAACGACAGCCAAGAAGACCAUAAGGUUGCACGCUAUGCUGAAUGGGCAUCAAGUGUUGGUGUUAGUUGACUCGGGCAGCUCCAGUAACUUCAUCAGCAAGGCAGCGGUGCAGCGUAUUCAGAUUCCGACAGUUCCUGUGACUGCGGCAAAAGUGACCAUUGCUGAUGGGGGGCUUAUGUCCAGUAGUGAGAUGGUUCCAGCAGCAGUGUGGUCAUGCCAAAGGCAUGUGUUUGCGACUGAUUUGCGAGUGCUCAAAUUGAGAUGUUAUGAUGUAAUUCUUGGAAUGGAAUGGCUUGAAUCGUUGGGGCCUAUGUGGAUUGAUUGGAAAAAGAAAUUAUUUCGUUUCCGACACGAGGGCAGGCGUAUUACACUGCGAGGCGUCAAAGACAACAUAUCCACCUGUGCAGAAAUUGAUGGCCAUCAGCUUUCAUUGCUUAUGCAGACAGGUGUUGUGUCGCACCUGAUUCAGUUAAGUGGUGUGUCUGAUAAGCAAACUUCAGAUGAAGUGCCGCCACAAAUUCAGCAGUUGUUGGAGGUGCACAAAGAUCGUUUCGAUGAGCCCAAAGGGUUGCCUCCAGCACGGGACUAUGAUCAUCAAAUUCCCCUGCUACCAGGAGCUCAACCAGUUGCGGAUACGUCCCUAUCGUUACUCGCCACAACAAAAGGAUGAGUUGGAAAAACACAUCAGUGCAAUGCUACAACAAGGAAUAAUUCAAGUUAGUCGUAGCCCGUUCGCAGCACCUGUGUUGCUGGUCCGGAAGAAGGAUGGAACAUGGCGAUUCUGUGUAGACUAUCAGCAGCUCAAUGCCAUCACAAUCAAGAACAAAUAUCCGAUGCCGGUAGUCGAGGAGUUGCUUGAUGAGUUGUCAGGUGCAGCAUUUUUCAGUAAGUUGGACUUGCGAGCCGGGUACCACCAGAUUCGUAUGGUUCCUGAAGAUGAAGCUAAAACAGUAUUUCGCACCCACAACGGCCACUAUGAGUUCAAGGUCAUGCCAUUUGGUGUUACUGAUGGACCGUCCACAUUCCAGUCGGCCAUGCACAUUACUUUGGCCCUGGGUCUACGGAAAUAUGUGUUGUCCUUCUUCGAUGACAUCUUGGUUUUUUCCCAAACCCUGGAAGAGCACUGCCAGCACUUGGAUCAGGUGUUCAAAAUGUUGCGCGAGCAUCAGUUCUAUGUGAAACGAAGCAAGUGCACGUUUGCAAAGGAGUCGCUUGAGUACCUGGGACACAUUGUUAGCAAGCAUGGCGUGUCGACGGAUCCAGCUAAAGUAGUUGCAGUCCAACUAUGGCCCAUGCCCGGUAACGUGAAGCAACUACGGGGGUUCCUUGGUUUAGCAGGAUACUAUCGUAAGUUCAUCCGCGGUUUUGGCAUCAUUAGCCGUUCUCUGACAGACCUACUGAAGAAAAACACCCCUUUUGUGUGGACAUCAGCGACGACCGCUUCUUUUGAUGCCUUGAAACAAGCACUUGUGCAGGCACCAGUUUUGGCACUUCCGGACUUCAAAGUGCAGUUUGUGUUGGAAACGGACGCUUGUGAUACAGGUGUAGGGGCGGUAUUGAUGCAAAAAGGGCAUCCAGUGGUCUUUCUCAGUAAGGGCUUGGGCGUGAAGAAUCGAUCCCUUUCAACGUACGAUAAAGAAUGCUUGGCCAUCUUAAUGGCUGUGGAGAAGUGGAAGGCAUAUCUGCAAGCAGGAGAAUUUUUGAUAUGCACGGAUCAGCGUAGUCUGGUCCAUCUCAGUGAUCAGCGAGUGACCAUGCCAAUGCAACAGAAGGCUUUCCUCAGACUUAUGGGGUUGCAGUACAAGAUAGUGUACAAGCAAGGCAAGUCAAACAUCGCGGCCGAUGCCCUGUCUCGUCAAACACACAAUGAGCAGUUGCACAGUAUCACAUCAGUGUAGCCACGUUGGCUGGAAAUCAUUGUUGAAGGCUAUGAGAAAGAUCCACUAGCACAAAAACUGAUGUCUGAGUUGGCCCUAUCUAGUCCAAACGACCAAGGAUAUGCAUUGGACAAAGGAGUAAUUCGAUACCAGGGCAAAAUUUGGCUUGGGAGUCACUCCGAGGCACAUGAUGCCGUGCUAAAGGCACUCCAUUCUAGCGCAAUUGGGGGGCACUCUGGUAUGGAAGCCACCUACCAGCGCGUUGCUGCCUUGUUCAUCUGGCCGGGAAUGAAGAGCUAUAUUUAGAAAUAUGUGCAAUCCUGUGUUGUCUGUCAGCAAGCAAAAGGAGAGCAUGUCAAGUACCCAGGGAAGCUACAACCUCUCCCAGUUCCACCUGAAGCUUGGCAUACCAUCAGUAUGGAUUUCAUCGAGAAACUACCCCUCUCUCAUGGGUUUGACACGAUCCUUGUAGUGGUGGACAAAUUUUCCAAAUAUGCCCAUUUCAUCGCACUCAGACACCCCUUUACAGCACUGUCAGUGGCCCAAGUGUUCAUCAACAAUGUGUACAAGCUGCAUGGGAUGCCGCAGACCAUUGUGUCCGAUAGAGACAAGGUUUUUACUAGCAGACUGUGGCAGAAUCUGUUCAAAAUGGCAGAUGCAACCUUGAAUCUCAGCUCGGCGUACCAUCCACAAACGGAUGGACAAACGGAGAGGGUCAACCAGUGUUUGGAGACGUUCUUGCGAUGCUUUGUGCAUGCAAACCCAAAGAAAUGGUCGCAAUGGUUGUCUCAAGCAGAAUUCUGGUAUAACACCUCCUUCCAUUCGGCGGUUGGCCGCACUCCUUUUGAGAUCAUGUAUGAACAGCGACCCAAGCACUUUGGCAUACAACCUACAGAGGGAUUGACACCAGUGGAUUUACAACAACGGUUGGCAGAACGCUCCACAAUGUAGCAGCUCAUCCAACAACACUUGCACAGAGCGCAAUAGAGAAUGAAGAAGUUUGCAGACCGCAAGCGGUCUGAACGAGUGUUUGAGGUGGGGGACAAGGUGUAUCUGCAAUUACAACCACACAUCCAAACUUCGGUGGCUCCAAGAUCGUCUCACAAACUCUGUUUUCGUUUCUUUGGACCAUUUGAAGUGCUUCAACGCGUGGGAGCAGUGGCCUACAAACUCAAGCUGCCGGGUGGAAGCCAAGUACACCCAGUUUUUCACGUGUCCCAACUGAAAAAAGCAGUGGCGCCUACAACACCGGUGAGUACUGACCUUUCUGUUCUGCUCAUUGCUGAUGACAAGAGACAACCUGAGCAGAUUUUGGAGGCGAGGCUGGUGCGGCAAGGCAAGAAGCUGCUUCCGCAAGUCAAGACUCUUUGGACUGGACUGCCAGAAAGCUUUGCUACCUGGGAACAACUUCAUGCUCUUCAUCAAAGGUACGCGGAAGCACCAGCAUGGGGACAUGUUGCGUCUCGGGGAGGGAGCAUUGUCACGGCCUUCCUGAAGACCGAGGCACAACGACUGAAGAAGAGAGCAGAGAAGAGAGAGCGGAGCAGGCUGACUCAUGCACUCAAGGCCGCCACAGGGGAGGCUGGCCCAUGACGCCUAGCAGCGAGUCCAGCCCGCUUAGGAAGUCACCGCUACAAGUAGUCAGAGCGUGCGUGGCUGUAGGGGCAUUGAAUGUAAAAUGCCAGAUUGGCUGUAUUUCUCCUACCUUCCUUCUUCCCCUUCCCCAAGCCUUCUCUCGAUCUGAUCCAGACCUCGGCGUGACGCCAGGAACCCUUGUAUCCCCGUAAUUCUCUCGAAUUCAAGCAAUAGAUUGAUCCCGAGGGUAACAGUAAGAUGCUACUCCCAUCUGUUAGUCUGAUCCUACGGCACUGCGUUUUUUUUAGGAACCCCACGGCACUGCAUGAUACUCCCUCCGUCCGAAAAUACUUGUCGGAGAAAUGGAUGAAAAUGGGUGUAUCUAAAACUAAAUUGCGUCUAGAUACAUCCAUUCCUCCGACAAGUAUUUUCGGACGGAGGGAGUAUUAAGGGUUUCGCUUGUUCAAAGGAUGCAUUGGAAAGUGGGGCCAGUACUACCAAUCCACUCCAUCGUGACUCUUUAAAAAAAGGACUUCGAAAAGAAAAAAACACUCCACCGCGAAAUCAGUUAUUUACCUGGUGUUAGAGCAAGUCUAGUAGAACCCUCAAACCCCUAAAAAUAACCGCUUUUUUUUUUACAGUUUUCGCCGAAAAAACGUCGUAGACUAGAACCUCUAAACCCUCAAACCCGUAAAACAAUGAGAGAAUUCCUUAUUUGGCCCUUUCUUAAAAUUUGCUUCCCUUUUUGGCCCAAAAAACUUGUUUCUUCCCUUUUUGUCGCUUAAACUUUAUUUUGUUCCUCACGUGACAUUUCCGUCAGUUUUGGCUAGUAACGGUGUUAAGUCUGACCUAAAAAGACGAUUUUACCCCUUGUGUAGUAUGUGACCAGAUUAUUUACAUGCAAACACAAAGGUAACAUGAUAUAUAUUUUGUCAUGAAUAACAAACAAAAAAUAGUACCAGAUGUCUAAAUACAAAAAAAUGUUGCAUGGGACUAAUCAUAAUUACUACAUUACGAGCAGAACAAUGACGACCCAUUCAGCCUCUACUGUAGCGUAUAAAUUUGUACAGGUUAAUGUUACGGGUGAUAAAUUAGACCGCGGUAUGUCAACAAGUGAUAUCCCUUAGCUGUGUUCGCACCUCGAUUGUGGCACACGCUCAUGCCAUUUUGUUACAGAUUGACUGGCUACAAUUUGCAAGAAGCCAAGAGCACAAGCUUCUGAUUCUACAGGAGUCGUUUCAAAAAAUGUCUCCAUCAAGUCUAAAUAAUCAUCUAAACUACCCACACACACACGAAUCAAUGAGUCACUACCUGCCGAGAUUGAAUUGAUCCAGCUACUCCGAUGGCGUACGCCCGUGAGGUGCCGGCUAGACUAGCGUGCACUGUUCCAACAUGCAAAAUCUGUGCAAUAUAAUACGUCGGACACGUCGGACACGUCCGAUGCAAUAUCUGUGCAGUAUCAUUUUUUCGAUUUAAGGAUAAAGAAAAAUGGCGAUAUGGCCGCCGGGACGGCGCCGACACAGCGACACGGGAAGCCCAGUACUUGGUGCCGUGCUGCGUCUGUGAUGCGAUGCCUGUGUGUGCUUGCUGGGUAUGUGUGCAUCCUUGUUGUGUAGGAGUACUCGUGUGUGUUUGUGUGUGCGCGCGCGCUGCCGGCUGCUGCUGGGCGCUGGCGUGGCCCUCCUGGAUACACGCUACGCGCUGCCGGCUGCUGCUGGGCGCUGGCGAGGCCCUCCUGGAUACACGCUACACCAGGCUCUCCCGGAUGGAGCUGCAACACUUUCGUCCAUUCAUGUUCAUGCCAUUUUUCUUCCAUUUUUUGCUAACAUACUACCAUCAAGGGCAAAACAGUCUUUGUACAUGUCAGUUAACACCGUUGGAUGGAAAAAUGGAUGGAAGUGUCACGUAAGGAACAAAAUGUAGUUUAAGUGUCAAAAAGGAAAGAAACAAGUUUUUUGGGUCAAAAAGGGAAGCAAAUUUUAAGAAAGGGCCAAAUAAGGGAUUCUCUCUAAAACAAUUUAGAGGUCCAACCCUCAAACCAGUUUGCAGCCUGUAGAAGUAGGGGUUGAGAGGAAAAUCUUCCCCCAACCCGUACUCCUCCUCCUCUCUCGCGCGGGAGGAAACUUCCUCCUCCUCCCGGCCUCCUCCUCCCGCCGCCUCCCGCCGCCUCUUGCCGCGUCGGCCAUGGAGGGCCCCGCCGCCGCCGCGCCCACCCCGUCCGCCCUGACGCCCGCCCCCGCCCACCCGACCGUGGCCGACGUGGUGGCGGCGACCNNNNNNNNNNNNNNNNNNNNNNNNNNNNNNNNNNNNNNNNNNNNNNNNNNNNNNNNNNNNNNNNNNNNNNNNNNNNNNNNNNNNNNNNNNNNNNNNNNNNNNNNNNNNNNNNNNNNNNNNNNNNNNNNNNNNNNNNNNNNNNNNNNNNNNNNNNNNNNNNNNNNNNNNNNNNNNNNNNNNNNNNNNNNNNNNNNNNNNNNNNNNNNNNNNNNNNNNNNNNNNNNNNNNNNNNNNNNNNNNNNNNNNNNNNNNNNNNNNNNNNNNNNNNNNNNNNNNNNNNNNNNNNNNNNNNNNNNNNNNNNNNNNNNNNNNNNNNNNNNNNNNNNNNNNNNNNNNNNNNNNNNNNNNNNNNNNNNNNNNNNNNNNNNNNNNNNNNNNNNNNNNNNNNNNNNNNNNNNNNNNNNNNNNNNNNNNNNNNNNNNNNNNNNNNNNNNNNNNNNNNNNNNNNNNNNNNNNNNNNNNNNNNNNNNNNNNNNNNNNNNNNNNNNNNNNCCAAGCGGCGGCGGGCGGGCCUCGCACCUCCUCCUGCCGCCUCCCCGGCUCCCGCCCCGGCCACCAUCACCGCCCUGGCGCCCGCCCCCGCCGCCUCCCCGGCUCCCGCCCCGGCCACCAAGAAGAGUCGGCCGAAGGCGCCAUCCAAGGUCGCCCCGGCCGUGAAGAUGCAGCGGAAGAAGCGCGCGGUGCGGAAGAAGGCCGCACCCCCGCCCGCCACCGUCGCCGAACCUCCUUUCAUCGCCGUGCCCGAACCUCCUCCCGCCGCGCACGAGGUGUUCGAGAAAAUGGCAACCCCAUCCUCGUUCAUGGACCUCCUCCAAAACGCGGAGGUGGACCUCGGGGCUCCGCCUCUCGAACCCUUUAGGGUUGGUGAUGACUUAGAGGAAGAUGAGGAGGAUGAAGGUGAUGACGAGGAGGAUGUGGCCGAGAUAGGGGAGGAGGCAUUCACCGCCGCUUCCCGCCCACACGCGCGGUCGACAAACUACACCGAGGCGGAAGAUAUCCUCUUGGUUCGUGCUUGGGCAGCUAUGGGAAUGGAUGCAACCACCGGCACCGAUCAAACCGGUAAACGGUAUUGGCAAAGGAUCGAGGACACCUAUUGUAGGAUCAAGCCAAAGAAUAGUGGGUUCAUCUCUCGCACUUACUGGUCGCUUCAAGGCCGGUGGGAGUUGAUCAAGCCCGCUUGUGCUUGUUGGAGUGCGGCCAUGGACCAAGUGAGGGAUGCACCACCUAGUGGAACCGUGGAGAGUGACUAUGUGAGUACAUAUUUCUUCACUAUUUUGAUUAUGUGUGUGUACUAUGCUAUUGGUGGGUUCUUAUGUGAUUUAUGUGUGGUUGAUAGGAGACAAUUGCCGGCAUGAGGUACAAGGAGAUGGCUGCUUCCAAGGGCAAGCCAUUCCCAUUUAAGCAUGCUUGGACAAUUCUUCAAACCUUUGACAAGUGUAAGUUGAGGGAUCAAGAGACCGCACCCAAGAAGUCGGCAAUGCUUAGGAUGGAUGAUAGUGAAGAUGAGGAGGAAAGGAACUUGGGCAAGCCCGAGGGAACCAAGAAGGGCAAGCUAAGGGUGAAGAUGGAAGAAGAGGCGUCAAGCCUAAGGGAGAAGAUGGACCACAUGAUGAAGGCAAGAGAGGAAUUGACAACGAAGACAUUGGAGACGAAGCUUCUUAUCACCGAGAAGAAGAAAGAGGUCAAGCUUGCAUAAGUUGAAGCAAAGCGUGAAGAAGCAAAGCGCAAGGCCGAGUUGGAGGAGAGGAUGAUCAAGCUCAAAGAGGCAAAGGUAUGGAAAGAACUCAUGGUGGAAGAGAAAGAGCACAUGAUGAUGUCCAAGAAGGACAUGGAUCAAGACCAAUUGCAAUGGUGGAAGGACUACAAGGAGGACAUCGCGAAGAGGAAGAGGAUGUUCCAUGUCGCGUCCUCUACUUUUCGAGGUGACACUCCGAUGAGUAGUUGUGGCGAUGGCGGUGUGUACGACUCCACCGAUGCCCAUGGAGAUGCUUGAUGGAGCCCGCAUGUGGUCUAGGAGAUGGCGCCGAGGUGCAACUUUUUGGUGAUGGUGCCGAUGAGAGGAGGAAGAUGAUGAUUUUGUGAUGUAAACUAUUAAACCAUGCAUCAGUGAUUGUCAUUUGGUAGUUUGUUUGGAAGUUGAUUGUGUUCUUGUUGUCAUAAAUUGUGAGAUGUCAUAUGAUAGAUUUAAAGGUUGGGGUUGAGGCAAAGACUAGAACCCUCAAAUCCAAUCCUUAAAGCAGUUUAAGGGUUGGGUUUGAGGGUUCUAGUAUUUGCCCCUGUUUUUCAACCCUUAAAAGUGUCAAAAAGUGGCACUUCUCAACCCUUAAAACUGCUUUAAGGAUUUGAGGGUUUGAGGGUUCUACUAGUAAUGCUCUUAGACGUUGUUGUGGUCAGGGCACACUACUCCAACAGCUCCAUGGAAAGCCAUCAUUUCUGGACAUAGCUGUGUCAACAUUGGUCUUAACCCAAAACAAAUAAAAAAACAUUGGUCUUAACCGUUUUUUAGGGUAACCAAGGACUUUAUUCAAAGUUCAAAAAUAUCCGAAAUAUAAUAAAGCACGGAUUGAGUCUGUCGGGUUCAUCGUCGCGGAUCUUUUGCGAAAAAGCCCCUACGUUUUUUUAUAUUCAAUCCGCAGUCCAAAUCGAACUGGUACGAGGGGCAAAACAACACAACCACGCUCUGCCUCGUAGCGCUCCCCCCGCGCCGCCGACCUCCUCCUCACCGCAUGGCGCCACUGCUCCACAAAACUCCCGCCGAACCACACCUCAUAUCCCCUGGCUACUCCCUCCCACCUCCAGAGCUCUCGCCAUGAGCUAUAUCUGGCGGCCGCCACCCUCAUUGCCCUUGGUUGGGCUUCCCUCAAUAUCCCACCGCCCCAAAGUGUCGCACGCGAUGGAUCCAAGCCGACAACCGCCCCAGUAGGCCUCCCGGCGGCAGAUCCAGGCCGGCAACUACUCCCCUCCUCCCAUGCGACUGAUUGUCUCCACUACGCCCUCCCUUCCAGCUUAGGGUCCGGCAAGCCCCAACCGCCACGCUCCCUCUUUCCUCUCCUCUGCGUCAAGAUCGACUGUGAGCUCACUGGUGCCUGCUCUCUGCUGACCUUCCCUUCCUCAUCUCCCUGCGAGAAGACAGAGCAGUGGUGUUCGGUUAGAACAAAGGAGGACACACAGUCAAGUUUCAGGAACCAAUGCCUCCAUAUUUUUUCUCUUUCUACCGAGUGCUGGCUAAAUAAGCACAACCCUCUUAUUACAAGGUUAGAUCAACUCAACACCAGCAAUAACGGCUAGAAAAAUAUAGAUGAUGACUAGCUAUUGAGAAGCAUAAUAAUGUUUUUAUUUCUUCUUCAUGACAAUCAAGGUCAAACAAAUAUCUUCAUGUUUAUCAGAAUGAAAUAAAAAUGAUGGACAGUGCCACUCCAUUGAUAACUAGAGCUAGCAGCAUGUACAAUGCUAGAAUUUAUUGGGGAACGUUGCAGAAAACAAAAAAUUUCCUACAGUUUCACCAAGAUCAAUCUAUGAGUUCAUCUAGCAACGAGAGAGAGGAGUGCAUCUACAUACCCUUGUAGAUUGAGCGGAAGCGUUCAAGAGAACGGGGUUGAGGGAGUCGUACUCGUCGUGAUCCAAAUCACCGGAGAUCCUAGCGCCGAACGGACGGCACCUCCGCGUUCAACACACAUACGGUCAGCGUGACGUCUCCUUCUUCUUGAUCUAGCAAGGGGGAAGGAGAGGUUGAUGAAGAUCCAGCAGCACGAUGGCAUGGUGGUGGAUACAGCAGGGAUCCCGACAGGGCUUCGCCAAGCGUCUACGGGAGGGAGAGGUGUAGCAAGGGGGAAGGGAGGCGCCAAGUGCAAGGGUGCGGCUGCCCUCCCUCCCCCCUCUAUAUAUAGGGUCCCCAGGGGGGCGCCGGCCCUAGGAGAUGGGAUCUCCUAGGGGGGGCGGCGGCCAAGGGGGUGCCUUGCCCCCCAAGGCAAGUGGAGGCGCCCCCUCCCCUAGGGUUCCCAACCCUAGGCGCAGGGGGGGGGGCAGGGGGGCGCACCAGCCCACCAGGGGCUGGUUCCCCUCCCACUUCAGCCCAUGGGGCCCUUCGGGAUAGGUGGCCCCACCCGGUGGACCCCCGGGACCCUUCCGGUGGUCCCGGUACAAUACCGGUGACCUCCGAAACUUUCCCGAUGGCCGAAACUCGACUUCCCAUAUAUAAUUCUUUACCUUCGGACCAUUCCGGAACUCAUCGGGACGUCCGGGAUCUCAUCCGGGACUCCGAACAACUUUCGGUUUGCUGCAUACUAAUAUCUCUACAACCCUAGCGUCACCGAACCUUAAGUGUGUAGACCCUACGGGUUCGGGAGACACGUAGACAUGACCGAGACGGCGCUCCGGCCAAUAACCAAUAGCGGGAUCUAGAUACCCAUGUUGGCUCCCACAUGCUCCUCGAUGAUCUCAUCGGAUGAACCACGAUGUCGAGGAUUCAAGCAACCCCGUAUACAAUUCCCUUUGUCAAUCGGUAUGUUACUUGCCCAAGAUUCGAUCAUCGGUAUCCCAAUACCUCGUUCAAUCUCGUUACCGGCAAGUCACUUUACUCGUACCGUAAUGCAUGAUCCCGUGACCAGACACUUGGUCACUUUGAUCUCAUUAUGAUGAUGCAUUACCGAGUGGGCCCAAAGAUACCUCUCCGUCAUAUGGAGUGACAAAUCCCAGUCUCGAUCCGUGUCAACCCAACAGACACUUUCGGAGAUACCCAUAGUAUACCUUUAUAGUCACCCAGUUACUUGUGACGUUUGGUACACCCAAAGCACUCCUACGGUGUCCGGGAGUUACACGAUCUCAUGGUCUAAGGAAAAUAUACUUGACAUUGGAAAAGCUCUAGCAAACGAACUACACGAUCUUGUGCUAUGCUUAGGAUUGGGUCUUGUCCAUCACAUCAUUCUCCUAAUGAUGUGAUCUCGUUAUCAAUGACAUCCAAUGUCCAUAGUCAGGAAACCUUGACUAUCUAUUGAUGAACGAGCUAGUCAGCUAGAGGCUCACUAGGGACAUGUUGUGGUCUACGUAUUCACACGUGUAUUACGAUUUCCGGAUAAUACAAUUAUAGCAUGAAUAAAAGACAAUUAUCAUGAACAAGGAAAUAUAAUAAUAAUCCUUUUAUUAUUGCCUCUAGGGCAUAUUUCCAACAGUCUCCCACUUGCACUAGACUCAAUAAUCUAGUUACAUUGUGAUGAAUCGAACACCCAUAGAGUUCUGGUGUGGAUCAUGUUUUGCUCGCGGAAGAGGUUUAGUCAACGGAUCUGCGACAUUCAGAUCCGUAUGUACAUUGCAAAUAUCUAUGUCUCCAUCUUGAACAUUUUCACAGAUGGAGUUGAAACGACGCUUGAUGUGCCUGGUCUUCUUGUGAAACCUGGGCUCCUUGGCAAGGGCAAUAGCUCCAAUGUUGUCACAGAAGAGAGUGAUCGGCCCCGACACAUUGGGUAUGACUCCUAGGUCGGUGAUGAACUCCUUCAUCCAUAUUGCUUCAUGUGCUGCCUCCGAGGCUGCCAUGUACUCCGCUUCACAUGUAGAUCCCGCCACGAUGCUCUGCUUGCAACUGCACCAGCUUACUGCUCCAUGAUUCAACAUAUACAUGUAUCCGGUUUGUGACUUAGAGUCAUCGAAAUCUAUGUCGAAGCUAGCAUCGACGUAACCUUUACGACGAGCUCUUCGUCACCUCCAUAAACGAGAAACAUGUCCUUUGUCCUUUUCAGACACUUCAGGAUAUUCUUGACCGCUGUCCAGUGUUCCUUGCCGGGAUUACUUUGGUACUUCCCUACCAAAUUUACGGCAAGGCUUACAUCAGGUCUGGUACAUAGCAUGGCAUACAUAAUAGAUCCUAUGGCUGAGGUAUAGGGGAUGACACUCAUCUCUUCUAUAUCUUCUGCCGUGGUCGGGCAUUGAGCCGAGCUCAAUCUCACACCUUGCAAUACAGGCAAGAACCCUUUCUUGGACUGAUCCAUAUUGAACUUCUUCAAUAUCUUAUCAAGGUAUGUGCUUUGUGAAAGACCUAUGAGGCGUCUUGAUUCCCUAUAGAUCUUGAUGCCUAAUAUGUAAGCAGCUUCUCCAAGGUCCUUCAUUGAAAAACACUUAUUCAAGUAGGCCUUAAUGCUGUCCAAAAGUUCUAUAUUAUUUCCCAUCAAAAGUGUGUCAUCUACAUAUAAUAUGAGAAAUGCUACAGAGCUCCCACUCACUUUCUUGUAAACGCAGGCUUCUCCGUAAGUCUGCAUAAACCCAAACGCUUUGACCAUCUCAUCAAAGCGAAUGUUCCAACUCCGAGAUGCUUGCACCAGCCCAUAAAUGGAUCGCUGGAGCUUGCACACCUUGUUAGCAUUCUUAGGAUCGACAAAACCUUCCGGCUGCAUCAUAUACAAUUCUUCCUUAAGAUAGCCGUUAAGGAAUGCCGUUUUGACGUCUAUCUGCCAUAUCUCAUAAUCAUAGUAUGCGGCAAUUGCUAACAUGAUUCGGACGGACUUCAGCUUCGCUACGGGAGAGAAAGUCUCAUCGUAGUCAACCCCUUGAACUUGCCGAUAACCCUUAGCGACAAGUCGAGCUUUAUAGAUGGUAACAUUACCAUCCGCGUAUGUCUUCUUCUUAAAGAUCCAUUUAUUUUCUAUCGCUCGCCGAUCAUCGGGCAAGUCUGUCAAAGUCCAUACUUUGUUUUCAUACAUGGAUCCUAUCUCAGAUUGCAUGGCUUCAAGCCAUUUGUUGGAAUCUGGGCCCGCCAUUGCUUCUUCAUAGUUCGAAGGUUCACCGUUGUCUAACAACAUGAUUUCCAGGACAGGGUUGCCAUACCACUCUGGUGUGGAACGUGUCCUUGUGGACCUACGAGGUUCAGUAGCAACUUGAUCCGAAGUACCUUGAUCAUCAUCAUUAAUUUCCUCUCUAGUCGGUGUAGGCACCACAGGAACAUUUUCCUGAGCUGCACUACUUUCCGGUUCAAGAGGUAGUACUUCAUCGAGUUCUACUUUCCUCCCACUUACUCCUUUCGAGAGAAACUCUUUUUCCAGAAAGGAUCCGUUCUUGGCAACAAAGAUCUUGCCCUCGGAUCUUAAGUAGAAGGUAUACCCAAUGGUUUCCUUAGGGUAUCCUAUGUAGACGCAUUUUUCCGACUUGGGUUCGAGCUUUUCAGGUUGAAGUUUCUUGACAUAAGCAUCGCAUCCCCAAACUUUUAGAAACGACAGCUUAGGUUUCUUCCCAAACCAUAAUUCAUACGGUGUCGUCUCAAUGGAUUUAGACGGAGCCCUAUUUAAAGUGAAUGUAGCUGUCUCUAGAGCGUAUCCUCAAAAUGAUAGCGGUAAAUCGGUAAGAGACAUCAUAGAUCGCACCAUAUCCAAUAGAGUGCGAUUACGACGUUCGGACACACCGUUACGCUGAGGUGUUCCAGGCAGCGUGAGUUGUGAAACGAUUCCACAUUUCCUUAAGUGCGUACCAAAUUUGUGACUUAAAUAUUCUCCUCCACGAUCUGGUCGUAAGAACUUUAUUUUUUGGUCACGUUGAUUCUCUACUUCAUUCUGAAAUUCCUUGAACUUUUCAAAGGUCUCAGACUUGUGUUUCAUCAAGUAGACAUACCCAUAUCUACUCAAGUCAUCAGUGAGAGUGAGAACAUAAUGAUAUCCUUCGCAAGCCUCAACGCUCAUUGGAUCGCACACAUCAGUAUGUAUGAUUUCCAAUAAGUUGGUUGCUCGCUCCAUUGUUCCGGAGAACGGAGUCUUGGUCAUUUUGCCCAUGAGGCAUGGCUCGCAUGUGUCAAAUGAUUCAUAAUCGAGAGACUCUAAAAGUCCAUCAGCAUGGAGCUUCUUCAUGCGCUUGACACCAAUGUGACCAAGACGGCAGUGCCACAAGUAUGUGGGACUAUCGUUAUCAACUUUACAUCUUUUGGUAUUCACACUAUGAAUAUGUGUAACAUCACGUUCGAGAUUCAUUAAGAAUAAACCAUUGACCAUCGGGGCAUGACCAUAAAACAUAUCUCUCAUAUAAAUAGAACAACCAUUAUUCUCGGAUUUAAAUGAGUAACCAUCUCGUAUUAAACGAGAUCCAGAUACAAUGUUCAUGCUCAAACUUGGCACUAAAUAACAAUUAUUGAGGUUUAAAACUAAUCCCGUAGGUAAAUGUAGAGGUAGCGUGCCGACGGCGAUCACAUCGACCUUGGAACCAUUCCCGACGCGCAUCGUCACCUCGUCCUUUGCCAGUCUCCGCUUAUUCCGCAGCUCCUGCUUUGAGUUACAAAUAUGAGCAACGACACUGGUAUCAAAUACCCAGGAGCUACUACGAGCACUGGUAAGGUACACAUCAAUUACAUGUAUAUCACAUAUACCUUUAGUGUUGCCGGCCUUCUUGUCCGCUAAGUAUUUGGGGCAGUUCCGCUUCCAGUGACCCUUCCCUUUGCAAUAAAAGCACUCAGUCUCAGGCUUGGGUCCAUUCUUUGACUUCUUCCCGGCAACUGGCUUACCGGGCGCGGCAACAUCCUUGCCAUCCUUCUUGACGUUCUUCUUACCCUUGCCUUUCUUGAACUUGGUGGUUUUAUUGACCAUCAACACUUGAUGUUCCUUUUUGAUUUCUACCUCUGUUGACUUCAGCAUUGAAAAUACUUCAGGAAUAGUUUUCACCAUCCCCUGCAUAUUGUAGUUCAUCACAAAGCUCUUGUAGCUCGGUGGGAGCGACUGAAGGAUUCUGUUAAUGACCGCCUCGUCCGGGAGGUUAAUGUCCAGCUGGGACAGGCGGUUGUGCAACCUAGAUAUUUUGAGUAUGUGCUCACUGACAGAACUAUUUUCCUCCAUCUUACAACUAUAGAACUUGUCAGAGACUUCAUAUCUCUCGACCCGGGCGUGAGCUUGGAAAACCAUUUUCAGCUCCUCGAACAUCUCAUAUGCUCCGUGUUGCUCAAAACGCUUUUGGAGCCCCGGUUAUAAGCUGUAAAGCAUGCCGCACUGAACGAGGGAGUAAUCAUCAGCACGUGAUUGCCAAGCGUUCAUAACGUCUUGGUUCUCUGGGAUGGGUGCUUCACCUAGCGGUCCUUCUAGGACAUAUGCUUUCUUGGCAGCUAUGAGGAUGAUCCUCAGGUUCCGGACCCAGUCUGUAUAGUUGCUGCCAUCAUCUUUCAGCUUGGUUUUCUCUAGGAACACGUUGAAGUUCAUGUUGACAUGAGCGUUGGCCAUUUGAUCUACAAGACAAUUUUUUGCAAAGAUUUUAGACUAAGUUCAUGAUAAUUAAGUUCAUCUAAUGAAAUUAUUUAAUGAACUCCCACUCAGAUUAGACAUCCCUCUAGUCAUCUAAGUGUUACAUGAUCCGAGUCGACUAGGCCAUGUCUGAUCAUCACGUGAGACAGACUAGUCAUCAUCGGUGAACAUCUCCAUGUUGAUCGUAUCUUCCAUACGACUCAUGUUCGACCUUUCGGUCUUUGUGUUUCGAGGCCAUGUCUGUACAUGCUAGGCUCGUCAAGUUAACCUAAGUGUUUUGCAUGUGUAAAUCUGUCUUACACCCGUUGUAUGUGAACGUUAGGAUCUAUCACACCCGAUCAUCACGUGGUGCUUCGAAACAACAAACUAUCGCAACGGCGCACAGUUAGGGGGAACACUUUCUGGAAAUUAUUAUGAGGGAUCAUCUUAUUUACUACCAUCGUUCUAAGUAAACAAGAUGCAAAAACAUGAUAAACAUCACAUGCAAUCAAAUAGUAGUGACAUGAUAUGGCCAAUAUCAUAUAGCUCCUUUGAUCUCCAUCUUUGGGGCUCCAUGAUCAUCUUCGUCACCGGCAUGACACCAUGAUCUCCAUCAUCGUGUCUCCAUGAAGUUUCUCGCCAACUGUUACUUCUACUACUAUAGCUAACGGUUUAGCAAUAAAGUAAAGUAAUUACAUGGCGUUAAAUCAUUGACACGCAGGUCAUACAAUAAUUAAGACAACUCCUAUGGCUCCUGCCGGUUGUCAUACUCAUCGACAUGCAAGUCGUGAUUCCUAUUACAAGAACAUGAUCUCAUACAUCACAAUAUAUCAUUCAUCAUUCAUCACAACUUUUGGCCAUAUCACAUCACAAAGCAAUUGCUGCAAAAACAAGUUAGACGUCCUCUAAUUGUUGUUACAUCUUUUACGUGGCUGCAAUAGGGUUCUAGCAAGAACGUUUUCUUACCUAGGAAAAAGCCACAACAUGAUUUGUCAACUUCUAUUUACCCUUCAUAAGGACCCUUUUCAUCGAAUCCGCUCCAACUAAAGUGGGAGAGACAGACACCCGCUAGCCACCUUAUGCAACUAGUGCAUGUCAGUCGGUGGAACCUGUCUCAUGUAAGCGUACGUGUAAGGUCGGUCCGGGCCGCUUCAUCCCACAAUACCACUGAAGCAAAAUAAGACUAGUAGUGGCAAGAAAGUUGAUAACAUCUACGCCCACAACAGAUUUGUGUUCUACUCGUGCAAAGAGAACUACGCAUAGACCUACCUCAUGAUGCCAUUGUUGGGGAACGUUGCAGAAAACAAAAAUUCUCCUACGGUUUCACCAAGAUCAAUCUAUGAGUUCAUCUAGCAACGAGAGAGAGGAGUGCAUCUACAUACCCUUGUAGAUCGAGCGAAAGCGUUCAAGAGAACGGGGUUGAGGGAGUCGUACUCGUCGUGAUCCAAAUCACCGGAGAUCCUAGCGCCGAACGGAUGGCACCUCCGCAUUCAACACAUGUACGGUCAGCGUGACGUCUCCUCCUUCUUGAUCCAGCAAGGGGGAAGGAGAGGUUGAUGAAGAUCCAGCAGCACGACGACGUGGUGGUGGAUGCAGCAGGGAUCCCAGCAGGGCGUCGCCAAGCGUCUACGGGAGGGAGAGGUGUAGCAAGGGGGAAGGGAGGCGCCAAGUGCAAGGGUGCGGCUGCCCACCCUCCCCCCUCUAUAUAUAGGGUCCCCAGGGGGGGCGCCGGCCCUAGGAGAUGGGAUCUCCUAGGGGGGGGGGCCAAGGGGGUGCCUUGCCCCCUAAGGCAAGUGGAGGCGCCCCCUCCCCUAGGCGCAGGGGGGGCAAGGGGGGGGGGGCGCACCAACCCACCAGGGGCUGGUUCCCCUCCCACUUCAGCCCAUGGGGCCCUUCGGGAUAGGUGACCCCACCCGGUGGACCCCCGGGACCCUUCCGGUGGUCCCGGUACAAUACCGGUGACCCCCGAAACUUUCCCGAUGGCCGAAACUCGACUUCCCAUAUGUAAUUCUUUACCUUCGGACCAUUCCGGAACUCCUCGUGACGUCCGGGAUCUCAUACGGGACUCCGAACAAUUUUCGGUUUGCUGCAUACUAAUAUCUCUACAACCCUAGCGUCACCGAACCUUAAGUGUGUAGACCCUACGGGUUCGGGAGACACAUAGACAUGACCGAGAUGGCUCUCUGGCCAAUAACCAACAACGGGGUCUGGAUACCCAUGUUGGCUCCCACAUGCUCCUCGAUGAUCUCAUCGGAUGAACCACGAUGUCGAGGAUUCAAGCAACCCCGUAUACAAUUCCCUUUGUCAAUCGGUAUGUUACUUGCCCGAUAUUCGAUCGUCGGUAUCUCAAUACCUCGUUCAAUCUCGUUACUGGCAAGUCACUUUAUUCGUACCGUAAUGCAUGAUCCCGUGACCAGACACUUGGUCACUUUGAGCUCAUUAUGAUGAUGCAUUACCGAGUGUGCCCAGAGAUACCUCUCCGUCAUAUGGAGUGACAAAUCCCAGUCUCGAUCCGUGUCAACCCAACAGACACUUUCGGAGAUACCCGUAGUAUACCUUUAUAGUCACCCAGUUACGUUGUGACGUUUGGUACACCCAAAGCACUCCUACGGUGUCCGGGAGUUACACGAUCUCAUGGUCUAAGGAAAAUAUACUUGACAUUGGAAAAGCUCUAGCAAACGAACUACACGAUCUUGUGCUAUGCUUAGGAUUGGGUCUUGUCCAUCACAUCAUUCUCCUAAUGAUGUGAUCUUGUUAUCAAUGACAUCCAAUGUCCAUAGUCAGGAAAUCUUGACUAUCUGUUGAUCAACGAGUUAGUCAACUAGAGGCUCACUAGGGACAUGUUGUGGUCUAUGUAUUCACACGUGUAUUACGAUUUCCGGAUAAUACAAUUAUAGCAUGAAUAAAAGACAAUUAUCAUAAACAAGGAAAUAUAAUAAUAAUCCUUUUAUUAUUGCCUCUAGGGCAUAUUUCCAACAGAAUUAGUCUGUGCAUUAGAAUUAUAAUCAUUAGUGACGACUUACCUCAUAAAGUGUUAGAUUAUUAUCUAACAAUCAUACAUCAAUUAGACGCGAGACGGUGAAAAUCUUCAUGCACUCAACACUCAUUGUAUUGAGUUUUUUUAGCAAUACUCAUUGUAUUUUGUGGUCAAUACAUAGUUUUGUUACCCCGUUGCAACCCACGGGCCCUUUUGCUAGUAUCCGGAAUACAAGCAACAUCCGUUAAAACCCCUAGCCACACAUGGCGGCCCACUGAAAGAGACCCAACUCCUUUUGUUAAAGAGUGGGCUUCAAAAUUGUUCUCCCUAUGCCCAAAACAAAAUUCUACAUGAGUAAAGUUCCUCCUACUAGAAUUGAUCUUCUCCAUUCUUGAUUUUUUUUUGGAAGGACUCCACUCUUGAUGUUUGAUAUAACUUCUAAGCAAUCCGAAGCAUUGACCGAACUUGUGAAGAUUAAGAGCAUGAUUGGUUUGAUGUCAAUAUUUGGCAUUGCCAAUACUUGGCAAGCCAAAAAUUGGCAAUAUUAAAAGUUGCCAAAAAUUGGCAACUUCUUAAGGGACACGCAGUACUCGGCUGUUGCACUUCAGGCCCAACUUAGAUCACACCACAGUCCACAGGAAUUCCCAGUCCACAAGCAGUCACACCGCCACCAGCCUAAAAUUUUCUAUUGGAAAAACAAAGUACUGAUCGAAUCGGUCGGCUUCUAUCUCGCCAAAUCGAUCCCCUCCCAUUCCCCCAACCCCCCGACUCGAGCCCUAGCCAGUAGCGACUGUUGCGCCGCCGCUCGCCGCUCCGUGCGGCUCCACCGCCUGCUGCUCCGCGCCGCUGCUGUAUGCUGCGCGCCGCUGGCUGUUGCCUGCUGCGCCACCUCCUGCUGCUCCGCGCCGCUGCUGCCUGCUGAGCCACCGCCCGACGUUGAGAAGGUCGUAGCUUUGGCGGCAGCGUUGCUACCUCCGGCCCCGGCUAAGUUCGUACCAAUUUUUUUGUAGACAUAAGAUGUUCGCCCCGGCUAAAUUUGAUUCCUGGGUCUGCCACUGUCCAGGGGUGAAUAAUGGCGUCGCGGCAGGCCGCCGGUCUCACCGACUACGAACGCCUCCGCGAGGAGAACAUCCGCCGCAACGAGGCCAUCCUCGCCACCCUCCGCCGCAAGGCCGACGAGCUCUCGGCCGCCAUCAAGUCCUCGUCUAAACGAGGACGAGGACGCCUCAGUAAUCAGCCCCGCAAGAAGCCCGCCGCCAAGACAAGCCCCGGCGAGCUCCGCCGCUCCCUCCGACUCUCCCAACUCCCCCCCUCCUACUCCCCAGACGCCGAGCCCACGCCCGGGCCCCCUCCGGUGCCGCGCAGCACCAGCUUCUCCUCCUUGCUCGCGUCCUCCAUCAUCGAGUCCGCCUCGCUUGCGCCACCUGCCAAGGCUCGGGCGGACGGUUUCGAUGCCGGGAAGGAGCUCGUGCUGACGCCUGCGAACGUUCGGAAGGUGGUGCCCGACAGGAUACUUGGGGUUCGGGUCCUGCCGCUGGUCGACCGGACCGUGGUUGCGGCGGGGAACAAGUUGGGGAAUAUUGGGUUCUGGGUUGUGGACGGCAUGGUGGAAGAUGAGGAUGACGACGGUGCAGAUGGGCUGUUCGAGUAUUUGCCUCACAGGGGCCCUGUGCCAGCAAUCGUGGCGCACCCUGCGGCGCCACAGAAGGUGAUGGCUCCCUGUUAUUCUGCUCUUUUACUGGUUUUCUGAUUAGUGAUUUAACAUUUGGAAUUUAAGUCAAUUGUAUGGUAUUUGCUUCAAUUGGGUGUCUGGAUAGUAUGAACACAGGAUUUGGUAAGAGUAAAUUGCACUUCUCUUUGCUAACUUGUGCAUAAAUCUUUUACGCACAUAACUUCGCAGUUCACUAAAAGAACUCACAAGUCUCCUGUUAACCGAGCUCACUAUGUCAAUGAGUUCGAAGCUAUGUAGGUAAAGCCACUAGAAGUUUCUAUUGUAUGGGCAAUUGUUUGUAGUGAUGCUAAUAUUUAGCACUUUACCAGUCAUUGGAUUAUUUCUAGGAUGACAUCUGUGAAAUGAACUGAUUGAAGAAAAUUAUUGCUGCUGCUUAACAGCUGAGAAUCGUAUAUUAGGUUAUGGGGACUGCAGGUUUGGCUGGUCGAUACUCUGGAUUAAUUGUCAUGUGAGGAUAGGGGAACAUUUUGAUCGGUGUGUGGUGACCGUACAAAAUGGGUCAUGGGAGAGGAUGGAAGAAGGCAGGGGCAAGUAGUUGUUAAGGGAGACAGAGGGGCUUUAGAUUUUGUUGGUGUUCUUCCUUAUUAAUCUUAAGCAGCCAAUCAUCCUCUAGCAGCUAAUUCUAGGACCUUUUUUCCCAGAAGCAUCCGGUAGCAACAUAUGCUAACCAUGUUUCAAGGUAGAUUAACUAGGUUGUAUGCCUAUGCUCCCGUUUCUGAUACGUGUAGUGUUGACAAGCAUAAGUGUCUUCUGAGAAAGUUGAUGAUAGGAUGAGAAGACAAUGUUCUAACAGUGAUUUAUGUUUUGUUGUACAUCUCCACACUCGAUCAUGAUUCUAAUUUUGUUGUCUUUCAUAUAUUUGCCUUGUAGAUUUACAGCUGUAGUUAUGAGGGUGAAAUUUGUCUUAUGGACCUUGAGAAGGAGAGCUUUAAUAUGAUCCAGUUGUGCGACUAUCCUGUUUAUUCGCUUUGUCAAGCACCAGACAGUCCUAGCUGCCUAUAUUUUGGUGACGGAAAUGGUGAACUGAAACUCCUCGAUGAGCGGAUGGGUAAGGUAUCAAGCACAUGGGAUUCACAUGACAAUACAAUUAACUCAAUAGAUUUUCAUCCAGAGAAAAAACAUAUGCUUGCCACAAGUUCAACGGACCGAACAGCACGCAUAUGGGAUCUCAGAAGGUUUAAAAGGAAGAAAGAAGAGAGCUUGAAGGUUCUAAAACAUAAUAGAUCUGUUCAGUCAGCUUAUUUCUCACCUAGUGGCAGCAUGCUAGCAACAACAAGGUAACAUUUUUCCUACACUUGCUGUGGUUAAUGUCUGUUCUGUUCUUUGAAAGAAAGGAUUUCCUGUUUGAUUUAGAAUGUGUUUCUUUAACAACCAUCACCUUGUGAUGAACUCUGAUUGUGUCAAUACAUAGCUGAUUCUAAUUGGGACCUCAACAAGUCUUUUAGCAUAUGUAUGAUGUUUAUUUAAAUAGUUUAUGUUACUAGUAUGCAAUAUGUGUGUUUGCACAGGCUACUACAUAGUACUAUUUACCUUUUGUUACUCAUUUAUAAAAAAAUACAUUGCUAUUAUUUCUUUAGCCUUGCUUUGAUCAUUUUUUUUGGAACAUGCAGGACUGCAUGUGAAUAUAUUAGAAGAGAGAGAGAGAGGGAGGGGGGGGGGUGUGGGGGUCCCCAUACAAAGUUCAAAAGAACAAGGACCAACCAAACACGAUUAGAGUGUUGAAAAAACAUAAGAACGGUAAGCAGAAAAAAAACAUGAAAUAAUCUUGUGGUUGCUGAACCUAACUCAUCCUGCUGAACUAGAAUUUGUUCCCACCUUGAUCUGAUUACCGACCUGCUGCGCUGGCGAAACAUAAUAACGGGUUGAUCUUGGUGAUAUCCAAUGUUCUCCGUCGAGGAGAGCGGCUGGUGUCCUGAUAGGGGGGCAUAUCAUGAAUUCUGACUGAAAUCAAGGUAAUAUAUGGUCUCAUCCGAGUCCGUUGGGGCCGGCCUGUGUCCCAUGGGGGAAUACCCUUGACUUUCAGGUCCAAAACUGAGUCCUAGACUUCAGCGUUUGGUUCUGAUUGAAAUCAGAGUCCAACUGGCGCCGCGUGGGACGUUGAGUCCGCCCUUCGCUCAAGCAUAGCGGAGCUGGUCUGCCUUUGGACGAACGUAGCAAGUACACUUCACCUGGUUCGGACGCCUCCUGGUAAAGCCGAUCAAAACAUGCGAAGUAUGAUGCAAUCCGACUGGUCCUGACGUCGUGACGUGUCCGCUGACAGAAUCUAACUCCUUCCUGGCCCCGGGACUGAGUAAGGAGCACUUGCUUUGGUCUGGCCUGGUCAAAAGCCGGCUCGUAGGAGCACCAAGCGUCACGGGUCUAGGUGAGGUCACAUCUUAUCCUCAAUGUAUUGCCCCAUUGCCCCCCGCAUUAAAUGUGGGAAAUGGUGCAGCGGGCACGUGGGGCGAUGGACCGCCAUCAUCGCGCCCUGAGUCCCGUUUGACUCGUGUGUGUAGUUGGCAACCAUCGCAGGCGAACGUGGCCACGUGCAUGCGUACCUUGGUUCUGAUACGGCUCCCUUCCCUCUAUAAAAACUGAUGCGAGGGGAAGGGACCGGAUUCAGUUCACCUGCCUUCUUCUUCCUCAUGUUAUGGUCAUUGUCAAGGAGAACUACCUGCUUAGAUUCAUCUCUCCCAUCUCUAGCCACCAAGCACUUGGCCGCCAGCCUCAUGGAUGCGCGGCGAAGGUAGGAAGAGGACCGCCGCCGCCGCUACCAGAACAUAUUCAGGCAAAUGGUUGUCAUCUGUGGUGCCGAAAAAGUGAUUGGAGACCCUUGCUGGAGAGGGGGUGCUGCGACCUUGAGAGCGUGCCGACUGGAGGGUGCCGGUCAAGGAGAGCGAGCCUGCUCCCACAGUCCCACCUUCAUGAGCGGGUUCUGCUUGCCCCAUCCGUCGAGUGGGGCCUUCCUCCUGCUGUUCUUCUACAGGAUUCAGCUUCAUCACCUGAAUCCUGGUGAUGUCCUUCACAUAGAGUGCUUCAUCACGCUCUGUUAGUGUUCUUGGGGACCCGACCCCACUUUGGCCUUUGGAAGUUGUUCGGUGCAGCCACAUACAAGCUGCACCAAAAUCUCUGUCUGCGGCGGAGCUGACAUCCAGUUGAAGCCCUAGGCACCAACAAGAAGUGUCAGCAGAAUUGGUUCUACCGCCCCGACCUCCUGCCCCACGUGCGCCCUAAUCCACCGACAAUCCUCCUACCAACAUACGUGUCCUCACAUAAAGCCGAAUCCUUUGCCUUUCAUUCAGGUUUCUGUGUCGCCGGAUCCGAGUCCAUGCCUUUCUGAUUUGCAGGGCCUCUGAGACCUCAUCUGCACGUCUUCUCUGGUCGAGAACGUACUAGAGCCUGAUUUCUUGAGGUUGCCUAAAGGGCUAGGAGUCGGCAUCGAUUAGCAGAUAUUCCCUCCGUUUCAGAAUAUAAGGUGCAUCGAUUGUCGUGAAAGUCUAACAUUUGUAUGUUGACCAAGAUUAUAGAAUAAAAUAUCAACAUCUGCAAUACUUAACAGAUAAAAAAUGAAAAUACUUUUCAUGAUGAAUUGAAUGUUACAAAUUUGGUAUUGCAGAUAUUAAUAUAUUUUUCUAGAAACUUGGUCAAACAUCCACACGUUUGACUUUUGAAAAAACUAAUACACCUUAUAUUUUGGAACGGAGGGAGUAUAUCAUUUAAAUAUUAUAAAUAUUAGACAAACAUACAUCUUAGACUUCAUAAUUUGGACCUUUGUAGAAAUCUUUAGAUUAAUUGUAUAAUUUGUCUGAAAGACUUUGGUAUCUGACAAUCUAUGGCAUUUAGGUCCCCAUUUGGUCAUGCAAAAUCGUUUGCAAACAUGAUUAUCUCCAACGUCUUUUUCCAAUGCUUGUCUUCAUUGGUGCCUAUCUUUUCUUCAAUAAUAUGCUUACAAGUUUUUUUAAGAAUUGAUAUCAACUUGAUGGGUCAUGUCUAAUAUGGUCAUGGCCUUGCUGCCUAGUGCAUCCUGCCCAACUGCCAUGGCCUAUGAGUCUAGGACGCGUGUGCAGGCUCCAUUUUUACCACCAAGCGCUGUUCGUGAAUUAAUUCCGCACAUAUGACGAAGGGAAAAGAGAGCGUCUAUAAUUAAUUCGUACGCUAGAAUCAAGGAGAUGGGGCGUUGAAAGGUGGGGUAGUUUGGCAAGAUUGGGCUGUGAAUCCCACCCCGCGCCUUAGUAACAGGAAAAACUAAGAAAAAAUGUACACCUGAACCAUCGGAACGGAGGGAGUACAAUUCUCGUAUAUUAAAAAUGCUAUGUGAGAUUAAAUAUAGACCUUUAUAAUCUGGGCUCACCACAUAAUCAACUGAUCAUGAUUUUUAGUCUAUGUGGAAGAACAUGGUGUGGCUUGUUUGCCUCUUGUUUUAAUAAUAUAUUGAUUAGUUAAUAGCCAUAAGGCAAUGUAUAAUAGAAAGACUUAUUUAUUUUUCAGUUUUGUGUUAUGCUUCGAAGAUUAUAUUUAAUUUUAACUACAGAAAUGUCAUUAUCUUUUGAAUUGCAAAAUAUAUGUUGCUGAAUUUGAUAUCGGUGUCAUAUUUUUAAAGAUUUAAUAGUCUUGUCUUCUCUAUUGCGUGGUCGUUGUGUCCUUCGCCCCCUCAUGCUCAAGUCCUGGCCCUGCCCCUGCCAGCUUCUUCCUUUCCUAAACAUCAUCAUCUUCAUACCAUCACACGCAGUUGUUACCUGUGCCUUUUCACCCUUGACUGGCCUUUGUGUGUUCAAAUUGGAGAUCACGUUAGUAAGAAGAAGGCGCGGGUCGGAUUAAUCUGAAGGAAUGUGUCGAAGAGAACACGUACGUCCGAAAUCCAGUCUGUAGGAAUUUCCCUUUAAGUCUACCAUUACUGAAGAUUAAAUAAUCCCCCAUAGUAUAUACCGUCCUUAACCCAUUAGGAUCUUUAGAACAGCUGCUGUUCUCCCCGGUCUGCGACAGUACACUGUUUUAAACAGUGCACUUAUUUAAUACUACCUCUGUAACUAAAUAUAAGAACGUUUUCUUAUAUUUAGUUACAGAGGUGUAGUUUAUGCAGAAUUAUGUUGUUACAGAAGGCCUGAUUCUUUUUCUGUCCACUGUCCAGCCUCGAUGAUACUGUCCGAGUCUUUUGUGGGGAUGACUUUGAUAGGUCACACAUUAUCAAGCAUAAUAACCAGACAGGCAGAUGGAUUUCUACAUUCAAGUAUGAUCUCUCUUUUCACCUAGUGGUUAGCUUCACGAGUAGCUUGAUGGAUUUCUACAUGCAAGUAUGUUCUCUCUUUACAAACUAAUUCGAUUAUUGCAGGGCAAUCUGGGGCUGGAACGACACCGACCUGUUUAUCGGAAACAUGAGAAGGGCAAUAGAUAUUAUCUCAGUUGGUGGCGAUGACAGUAGCCUCUCAGCUUCGAACAGCGCAAGCCUGGAGAGUGAACACAUGACGGCCAUUCCGUGCAGGUUUUCUGCGCAUCCAUAUAAAGUUGGGCAUCUUGCUUGCGCAAGCUCCGGUGGUAAGGUGUUCUUUUGGACCAGAGCUUGAAUCAACAAGAUCUCCGGUGGCUGGCUUGCGGAUUGUUGCCGCUUCUGUUGGUAGUCAUGCUAGGAACCUAGUGCUUGUUUAGUAUCCAGCUGAAGAUUAGCAUAGUGUACCAUUUUUCUUUCUAAUGUUUUAGUGGUGGAGUAGUUGACGCUGUCAGAGAAACGCUGGGCAGCUGGGAACCGGUUUUUACUGGCUGAGUGUUUUCGAGUUCGUAUCCUUACAUUGUUUACUGCCAGUUCCUGAUGCAAAUCCUAGCUAGUUAGCGUGAACAUUAAUUGAUGCCGUUUUGGUUGUCAAGUCCAGAUGCGCUUUGUUCCAAAGCACCGUUGCCAUGGGGAUGCGUGUUCGUGGCUGUAGAACAGUGCCUGUAUGACACUGGCUGGAACGAAUAACUUCUCGAGGGCUCCAAUCCUGUUUGGACAUGUCAUGCAUACUACGGAUCGCAACCAAGAAAGGCCUUUCCAAGGAGCAAAUGCUCCUGGUUUGAACAGUAAAAAACAAUGCAAAAAAAUCUGAAUUUUUUUGUGGCAUACUUUCACAAAUGUUUGUUGUGCAUGCAAAAUUUCAUCGCAAAAUCACAUUGGUGGAAAGCGUGGUAAAAAAAACAAAAUCAAUGCUCUGAAAAUGUUACUUGCAAAAGCAUUUUGGAGCUUUGAUUUUGUUUUUUGGCACGACUUCCACCAAUAUGAUUUCGUGAUAAAAUUUUGCAUGCACAAUAAACAUCUACGUAAGUAUCUCUACUAUCUAAAAAAAAUGUAAUGUUCCGUCGUCGUUUCGUCCGACCUCGUACGUCCCGCACCAAGCCUUCGCCCGCCGGUUUUUUUGGGUGCAUCUCCGAUUUAUUUCCGUCUGACUCCCACUCGUGGUCCCCUAGGACGCAGCCCACGCACCCAGUCGAUCGCUACCCAUCUCUCCCUGCCUCCCAACCUAGGGUUCCCAAACACCGCCGCCCUCCGCCGCGUGUUCCUCCGCCACUCUCCCCACGCGCCGCGCCGUGGGCACCAUCGCCGUCUGUCUCUCCUGCCCAAUCGCUUGCCGCAACGAGUCACACCGCCUCCUCCAUCCCCGUCACCUUCUGUCGGCCGAAGAUAGCCACAACGCCGAUGAGUGAAGGGGGUGGUGCCGUCGGAUCAGAGACACCAGGCGGUGGUGACAAUGACAGCGGCCGACAACCUAUGGGGAUUAGCAGGACAUGAGGGCACACAAUAGGCAGCAGCGCGCAAUAUCCAUGUUCAGAAGUGGCGGUUUGGUGGUGACAACAGAUAAAAGCAUCAGUGAUGUGUUUCGGCUCUUGGCUUCCUGCACUGUUUGACUUCAGUUAAGUACUGCCGCCGCGCUACUUCUUAUGUGAAGGUACUGCUACUACUGCAGCGACGGCCAAUGAGGUAGAAUCGUGGCUGCAACUUGGCGAGUUAAGUAGUGGCUUAACUGAACCUGCAAUCUUGCAAGAACUGUUAUUGAUUUUUCAAUGACCAAGCUGUGGUUCGUUGAUUUUGAUUGUACCUAUAUUCUCGUUCUCUAUUAUACCUCUGAACAAAUAUUAAUCUAGGAGUAUUUCCUACAGAGAUCAAGCAGAACUAAUCUACCGAAUUCAGAUAACUCUGUGCAACAGUGUGUUACCAACCAUAGAAAGAGUGAGCCCAUUAGGUUUUCCUGUGAUAAAAUGGCCUGAAGAUUACAGUUUCAAUUUGUUAUUCCAGUCUAGCUCAGGUGUUUCAUAGACUUUCAGAAAUAUCUAUUCUUGAACUUCACUGAAGUGGGCUUCCUUCUGAGAAAAAAAGUACCAAUGCAAAAAUGAUUUAUUUUGAUCAGUAUUCGCAAAAAAAUUACUUUGAUCAGGGAAGAGGAGGCAGUGAGGGGAGUGACAUGGUGACGGGUUGCUUUGGCAUUCUCUUGCACGGGGAUAGGAAGCUGGAGUAAUCCAAGACCAGGUAUGUCCCCAUUGCUCUUAGGAAGGAUACUACAUUUUUUAAGUCGUUUACUCUUACCACUCGAUCACGGUUUACUAUUACUCUAGGUGAGAACUGAGAUUUGCAAUUUUGUUAAUCUUCCUAAUGUUGCUCGCAUAGACAUAGUGGCCAAGAUGGGACAUUUUAUCUUCCUAAUGUUACCGAGUCAGAUUAAAGAUGGGACAUUUUAUCAGGUGUUGCUCGGAUGAGAGUGACCGAGUGAGAGAGAGGUUUGCUAUACCUUGUAUCUGAGCUAACAUCAUUUGAUUUAAUUGUUGCUUUUGAUCAUGCGUUCAGGACUAGCCUACAGCCAGGAAAGAACCUGAACCCCAAGGUGAGUGCAUCCUGUCUGUUUCCCCACUUAUUUAUUUUUUCUUGGGGAAUUUCGAUAAGGCGGUGCAGGUCGUUGAGGUGAUAUGUGAGUUGGAUAGGCUGGCAUGUAAUUGGUUUGGCAGCGCCUCGUGGUCUGAUCUCCGUUCUUGUUUGCUUCAAGUACGCAUCGUUGUGCUGGUAUUUGCAUUCCAGAAGUGGGUUUCUUGCUUCAUGAGAUUUUGCUUAGUUUCUACUCCCUCCGUUCCUAAAUAUUUGUCUUUUUAGGAUUUUAAAUAGACUACCACAUACGGAUGUAUAUAGACAUAUUUUAGAAUGUAGAUUCACUCAUUUUACUCCGUAUGUAGUUACUUAUUGAAAUCUCUAGAAAGACAAAUAUUUAGGAACGGAGGGAGUAUUUUUGUAUUUCAGAGUGACGUAGCGGAGACAAUUAAUCACUCUGGGAUGAUCGUGAACCCUGAGGGUCGUUAACUGUUGUUACAUAAGAUACAUUGAUCUUUCACGUUAAGUCUUGCACAUAAAAAAAUCCAGGCGGCAAUUUCACGUAUAUGAUUGUUCAGAUGACGAGACAAACAAUUUCGUGAAUUAGACAUUUGCACGUAUAAACAAUACCAGCAAAGUCAAUAUCCUUGGUUUCGGUGUUAUUUCUUCAUUUUAGAACCUUGACCAUAUAUUCCACCAGAUGCAUUACUUUGUUUCCCGGAAACUCUACUCUUAGCUAUUGGUUGUUGAGACACCAGCUUCAUUAGCUUUCUUUACCAAAGACUGUUUUUGUUUCAUAUUCAUGCAUAAACUUCUCUUAGUGUAUUUUUUUAAUUCUCUUAGUAUAUAUAUAUGAUAUAUCCCCUUGAAAUGAAAUUUGACUAAUUAUAUUUUUUCAAAAUACUCAGACUUCUUGUACUAAAAUGUUUCUGUUGUAUUAAUUACCUUGUUACUCAAAUUCCAUGAUGUUGUACUAAUUUUUGCCUUGUUAACUAUUCAGUAGGAAGGAGGGGCUCGGUGUUGAAAAAAGAACAGAGAGAAUUGUGCUGAUCAGGAGAAGUUAACUCAAAAUCCAAGAUGUGACCUUCACAUAGCUCACAAACUUAACCACUAUUUGAUUCUUGGUAACAUUGUACGGGACACAUAACAUCCAGUUGUAUAACUGUAUAAGUAGGGUGUACUUGAUACCUAUGUUGUUCUUUGUUAACUUGUUCGCUGAAUAUUUUUCUUGCGGGAUAAGCAUCCGAUCUAUUCAUCAUCUUUCAAGACAGUACAAAUAAAAAAUUACAACCAGAUCCGUAGACCACCUAGCAAUGACUUGCUCACUGAAUUAAUUUGUUUAAAUUAUAUAGGAUGAAAUUUUAUUCUUUUUUUUAUAAAGGGCGCUUUAUCAGAAUUCAGUUAUUGGUUUCAAAGUACUUGCUUAGAUUUGGGGACAAAGAGUGAUUUAGUUGUAUAAAAGGCUCGGCGAUGCUGCAUUAAGAUAAUUCAUCUCACGUGCACAUGCAUCCUCCCAAAUAUAUAUGUUUGUCACAGUUAAUGUUGAAUCACUACUAGAAUAUUUACACACCCGUUGCAAUUUCCUAGUGACAAAAAAAAUUCAGAAUUUUUUAAAUUGUUUUUGAAUUUUUUUAUUGUACUGUUCACACCAGGAGCAUUUGCUCCUGGGUGUAGAAAGGUACUUUCGCUUUUCAAGGGCAUCCCUUGUUUCUCCAUGCAUGCUUGGACAAAAAAACCAAUCCAAGAGUAUCUCCCAGUUGUCCAAAUUUUGUCCAUUUGUUGACCCAUCCGACGAUUUCUCUCGAGAUUUGGGGCAAAAUUAGGGGAGCUUGUUGACCCAUCCGACGAUUUCUCUCGAAAUUUGAGGCAAACUUAGGGGAGCCCAACUAUGUUCGGGCGAAUAGCCCGGACAUAGCUCGGAGCAAAAAAGCUACCCAAUCGGACCCCUCAUACUGAGCCCAAAUGUUCAAGUUGUCCAACAACACUCAAACAUAGCUUGUAUGUGGGGCGGAUUUAGGGACCCUCGGACAUGUUCGAACUUGUCUGACCUCAUAGGCCGAAACCACCCAUAUCCCCUUCAAAUUGUCCCCAAUGCUCGCCCGAUCUAACCUCUUCCUCGUCCACGCCACCCAUUGCCUAGCUCUGCCGCCAUUCUCACCCUAGAUUCGUCGGCGUCCCUGAUCUGAAGCCAUCGCCAUCACNNNNNNNNNNNNNNNNNNNNNNNNNNNNNNNNNNNNNNNNNNNNNNNNNNNNNNNNNNNNNNNNNNNNNNNNNNNNNNNNNNNNNNNNNNNNNNNNNNNNNNNNNNNNNNNNNNNNNNNNNNNNNNNNNNNNNNNNNNNNNNNNNNNNNNNNNNNNNNNNNNNNNNNNNNNNNNNNNNNNNNNNNNNNNNNNNNNNNNNNNNNNNNNNNNNNNNNNNNNNNNNNNNNNNNNNNNNNNNCAUGUUCGACGAAACGUUUGAGCUGAUUCUUUUGCUCAUUUUUAGACAAACGGUGGGUUCAUCGGAUAGACGAAGCUGCUGAGGUGAUGGUGGUGAUGAGCAGCCGGGAAUAGAUGUAGAAGAAAGAGGAACAUGUUCUUAAUUUCAAGGGUUCAAUAAAAGGGCAUGAUAGUUGUUGCUUGAGAUAGGAUAAGUUUUUUUUUAGACAGUCUGCGAGGCCUUUUAUUAAUUGUGAUCAAUGUUUACAUCCACAAAAGAAAGAUUACCAGGGUUGCCUAAUCAAACAUGGUGGCCAACCCCCAACUUUAAAACAUGCCUACAUUGAGUACUUCAAACCCGGCCCAGUAUUCCAUGAGGUUUUUUGGGCGUCACUUCUGAUGAGCAGUCAUUUGUCUUGUGCAUAGUGGAUGUUGGGAAGAAAUAUGAUCCCUACUUCACGCCGAGGAAGGAUUCUUGCAGACAACUAUUACUCUCUCAUUUACAGAAAGCACAGGUGUUUUGAGAAUGCUUGCAUAUCGUAAGGUGCCGCUGAUGAGUACGCCUAUAUGGGGAAGAACCUAUCUUGCAAUAGGCUGCAAAGCCUAGUAGGCGAAUAGAAUUCAGGCGUUUUGCAAAUUCCAAAAAAACAGAGGUUGUAUACAUUUACUCCAAGUACCACUCAACAAUUUUUGGACAAAGUAUUACUAUCAUGGGUUACAAAUGUCUACUCCCUCCGUUCGAAAUUACUUGUCUCGAAAAUGGAUGUAUCUAGAACUAAAAUACAUCUAGAUACAUUCAUUUCUACGACAAGUAAUUCCGAACGGAGGGAGUACAAGUUAAAUACUACUCCCUCCUCAUAAUGCAAGACGUUUUUUGAGACUGCAUUUUGGGACAGAGGGAGUAAUUCAUAAGUUACAUGGAUGCAACACAGAAACUGAACGUAGCUCUUAAUCGCAUGGCCGCUAUCAGAAUCGUCCCAGAAGAUUGUUGUUGCGAUCACCGUAGUCGCUUAACCACUAUUGUCCAUGGAUGAAAACAGCUGUAGCCUGGACAGAAACUCUGGAGGCACACGGGUAGGGCGGUAGUCCUUGUGAAGACAAACAGCUGUUGCCUUUGCUUCCACAAUCAACUGACAAGAGAAAUAAGAUACGCAAAAAACGGAUACAUCAAUCUCAAAAAUCUUUUAUCAUGAUGUAUGAAUAUUUUGCUGUUUAGAAUGGUGGCACAGAAAUGCGUAGGAAUAAUUUAUGCAUGAAACAGAAUACAAAUUGCUCAAGUUGUACAUAUUUGACACAAUGCCCUCCAGAAUGCUACUGAAUGUCGUUGCUGCCUUAUUUCAACUGUAAACAUGCUUUAGACAUACUCCCUCCGUUCCUAAAUAUUUGUCUUUUUAGAGUUUCAAAUGGACUACCACAUACGGAUGUAUAUAGACAUAUUUUAGAGUAUAGAUUCACUCAUUUUGCUCCGUAUGUAGUCACUAGUUGAAAUCUCUAGAAAGACAAAUAUUUAGGAACGGAGGGAGUACAUUGUAUCUUAUUGUUCUGUUCUGAAUGUAUAGUAACUCUUUGGUAUGCAUACCUCGUGGUUAGGCAGCUUCUCAAUGCAGUGCUCGAAUAUCAUCCUUAUACCUUUGAUGCUUGCAAGCCUCACCUUGACGACAAAUUUAUCACCACUCUGACAGCGCAAGAAAAUACAAAAAUGGAAUUCAGAUCUGCAGAUAACCUAUGGCAGUAUAUUGAAGUCUGAACUUGUAAUGUUACUGGUUUCACAGUACUGCGACAAGUAUGUUAACUUCUUUUAUUUUUUUGCUCAACAUAGGAAAGGAGGGCAUUACUCUCAAAGGCGCGAAGUACUUGAGGUGCAUCUCAGAGAGGGCCAGCGACUCACCGCUGCGAGCUACUGCAUCUGCGCUUAUUCCUACGCUCUCAAGUAGCUCAUGACGGCCUACUCAGCUUGAAGGCAUAGAACCCAAUGAGAGAUAUCAAUAUAAACUACAAUCAUGCUUACGAUAUAAGUAGAAUGUCAUUGAAUGAGAUAUGAAUUUAUAUAAAUUUCAUUUUUGAAUGAAGUGAAGGGGAGCCUUGGCGCAGUGGUAAAGCUGUUGCCUUGUGACCAUGAGGUCAUGGGUUCAAGUCCUGGAAACAGCCUCUUACAGAAAUGUUGGGAAAGGCUGCGUACUAUAGACCCAAAGUGGUCGGACCCUUCCCUGGACCCUGCGCAAGCGGGAGCUACAUGCACCAGGUUGCAAUUUUUUUUCAUUUUUGAAUGAAGUACGAGUUCUUAAGAUGGCAUCUGAAUCAUGCUCACUGACCAAGUGUACAACAAUGAGAGAUUCAGCUGGAAUUUGGUCUGAACUCACCAUGCUGGCAGUAGCUGGCAUAGAUAGCAUUAUUGACAACUCCAUACUGGUCGAGUUCAUAGUCGCGCACCUUCAUCUCAACUUCGAAAAACUUAUCCACUCUGAAAAACCAGAAUUACCAGAGACAGUGUGAGCCACUCACAUCCAUGUGCAUUCCAAACUUAACUGAAUGAACAGAGCAUACUUUUCACUUUCCAGUAUAUCAUCCAAAGAUACUAGUACCAAACCGUGUAGUUCAUUAGUAAAAAAAUUAGUAAAAUCACCGACACCUCUUUCCUGCUUUCAACAAACCACUGAUGUCUGAAGCUACUUGACAGACAUAGUUUGUAGCUAAAGAUGACAAACAUGGAAGCACCGUGCACACAUCAAUCAAUUAGAUAGACAAGAAUAUGCAGGCGCAAGUACCGCAUGCUCAGCGGGAAAGCACCCGAUUCGCCACGGAGCACGGGCGAUAAUUUCUAUGCUCUCUUGCACGAAAUUCAGCAAAGAACGAACCUCACACCGGCGUCGAGGCUGGCCGACUGGGCGGAGACGGCGAGGGGGCGGCAUAGGCCUCGGGUGGAGGCGGAGGCGGAGGCGAGCGCCGGCCGGCGGAGCGGCGCGGGGCGACCGGCCGGCCAGCUGCCCCUUCCCGCCCCGGCGCGGAUCGGCGGGAGCGGCGAGCAGGCGUUGGGGACGAGGCGCCAAAUCUGGCCGUACAUCGUGGCGGAGUCCGUCUGCUGAGUGGGCCGGUGCGGCGCGGACGGAGACGGGUACUUGGCCUGGCCUGGCCACCAGACCCGUAUUAGGGCAUGUACAAUGGUGCUAUCUUACGAGUGCCACGUAGGAUAGAUGAUGAGGUGGAGGAGAGAGAACUCAUAAGAAAAGGCUUGUCUUCUUUUAAUUAAGAGAAGACAAGAGGUGAUCUCUUAGCACAAUAUGUCUCACCACAUAUUUAGGAAUUGCUAGUUAUUAAAGAUAAGGCUAAAAGAUGACCCAUUGUAGAUAAUUUUUUUGUCUUCUCUAAAUCACAUGCAAGACUUAAGAUAAGACUAUCUUAUCAACCACUGUACAUGCCCUUAAUUUCGCCAGCCGUCAAUUCCACCCCUCCCUCGGUCUCGUCCCCGCUCUCCCGCCGCGAAAACCGAACGCGCCAUUCCAAAUCCCCAAACCCCCUAACCGCCACGCCCCCCUCGAGCCAUCGCCGCCCCCAUGGCCUCGUCCGCCCCCUCCGCCGACGCCGGCGACGACAAGCCCGCGGAGAGCGCCCCGGUCAGCCCCACCGGCCCCGAUCCCCACAGGUCGGGCCCUACCCACCCGCAUUCCCCCCAACCCCAAGCAUCUCGGGUUUCGAUACGAAUCUGCGUAGCCCUAACCCCGGGUUCCUCCGCAGGAAUAUCGGCUCCCCGUCGCCGCCGCCCUCUUCCCCGGUGACGUCGUCGGGCGAUGGUGGUGCGUCGGUGACGGGGACGACGGAGGAUUUCUACCCGCUGCCGCUGUGGGCCUUGGAGGAGCGGGCGUGCAGCUCGUGCGCGCGCAAGAAGAUGCUCCGCAAGGAGUGGGAGGCGGCGCGCGGCCUCGAUCUCCUAGUUAGAUCCCUCCGCAGUGACGACGGGGUGCCAUCGUCGUCGCCGUCGGCGCCGGUGCAGGGGCCGGGGACGGAGCUUCAGGACCCGCUGGCGCCCCCGGCAACAUGGUGGUGCGACCCGUGCGAGCAGCACAAGAAGUCGUUGCGCGACUGGCGUCUCCGAAGGUCAGAAAAUCUAUCUAUCCACGUCCAGAUCCCUCGAUUCCGCCACGAAUUCCCGUAGGCCUCACGCUAGCUCUCUCUGCAGGGAGGGCAAGCUCCCCCCGCCGCCCCCGCCGCCGCCGCCGCCGCCCCCGUCAUCGGGGAUGCCGUUCUACUUUGGGAUACCAGUGCUUGGUAGCACUAAGUCGAUACUGAAGCUGGGGCGGAGGCUGCAGGAGGAGGCGCGGCGCGGGAAGAAGCGGCCUCUCUCGGUGGCGGAGGAGAGGGGGUAUCGCGAGUGCGACGUGGGCAAGAGGGUGAUGCGCCAUAAGCGGGACGAGCCGCCCCUGGACACGGCCGGCAUUGGCGCCGCGGCUAGAGUACGCGAUGCGCUCACGAAGAUGAUGCCUGAGCCUGGUACGCGUAGGGGCGUGCGCCGCGUGGACUACUCCAAGUUGACGCCGCUCGUGGGGUCGCGGGAGCCCAGCUCCAGCGACGCGGCUGGAGAAGACGUUUUGCACGACGAGGCGCUUCAAAUCAUCGAAGGACAGCCAGAGGGGCUCCAUGAGGUCAGCUCCGCCCAGUGGUUUGCCCUACAGGUCUCAACGGAGUUCAUGCGGCUGCUGGACCCACAGGUGGGUUCUAGCGCCGCAGCUGAGGGCGAUCUGGACGGGAGGCUGGAUGAGGAGGCGAUAGACAAUUUGCUGAAUGGGGAGGGCAUGGAGGUAUGUUGUUUUCUUGCGUGUGUUUCAUGGUGAUGUGGUGGGAAAGAGUUUUGAUGAUAUGCAGCUUUGUCCCGCCGAUGAGCUCUUUCUUGGUAGUCAGAUUAUAUUGCAUAUGCACUGUGGUGAAAUUCAACUUCUGAACUCGACUCAACCUUCUUCAGGGAAAUCAGAAACGUCUUUGUGAUAUAAGGAGAAGCACUUCCUUGCUAUGUUCUUGCAUAUGACGAAUUCAUGAUGUCCUUGUUAGAUUCUAGAUCACUUUGCUAACGACGGCCAUAAGAAUAGUUCUCCGUACUGUAUUUUAGGGGAAAUUCUCCACUGUUUUAAGAAGGAAUAGUUCUCUAAAUUUACAUUGGCAGGAUGUAAAAUAUGUCUUUGAUUCUGUAUAGAGGGGCUGCUACUUAUCUGGCAGCAGCAUACUUUACUUGGCAUCUCAACCAGAUAGUUCCCUUCUUUUGGCAUUUCAUUUGCUGAAAUGAGUUUUUCUAUCUCUAAACUGAUGAAAUGUAAACCCACUUUUGCAACAUAAUGGAUGCCAUGCCCUUUGUUUCUAGAAUGAACAAAGUUUUGCCGAACUGAGAUCUAUGUACUACAUGCUUAAAGCUCCCCCUCCCUUAAUAAUUACUUUUGCUUAUCUAUCCAUUGGUAUGUUUCUUUUUCUACAAUAACUGUGGAUCAAAACACACUUGUGAGUAAAGAAAAACUUUCUUUACCCCACCCCCCAUGUAAGUAGUAUUUCUGUGCUUAGUUUUUUCUUUGCCUCAUGUUGUGGAUUUCUGUCGUCAUUUUAUUUACUUUCUUUAUCAAGUCCUAUUUCUUCUGAACUAUCUGAGUAAAUAAACACCCCACACGGGGCAAUGACAUAUCUUGCAAACUUUGCAGGACAUUGUCAAAACAUCGAUACCAAAAGCUUAUUCCAAGGAGAUUCUUUAUGACUUAAUAGUGGAGUGUGUUGCACAAUACCGAAAGUGGCUGUUGGAUAACAGAGACAAGUUAGAUAAGGAAAAAUACAAGCAGUGCCUGAAGCAGCUUCUACCCAUGGCGAAACUUACUUCGGUUUAUGAUAAGGAGCCUGAGAAUUUGUCCAAGAUAAUGAAACUCAUGUACAAGGUCGGAGAAUAUGGUCCACCUCCCAGUGGUGUCAUUCAUGCUAUAUCUCCUCGUCUUUAUCAGAGUACCAUGGAGCAACUGUAAGUCCUUAAACUAUGGCUUAAUGCUAGGAAUGAUAUCCUCUGUUUAAUUUAGGUUUUGUUUUUGUAAUUCUUAACUUGAAUUUAGUUGAAUAAUUAUGUUCUGUGGGAAAAAAUGGAUGUUCCCAUCAAAUAGGAAUGCCUUUCUUCGGUAGUACUGGAUCUAUAAAUAAGGCCUUGUAGAUAAAAAACCCAAGUAUAGUCUUACUUGCAAGCAUUUUUUCAUCUUUUUCUAUACAACUAGGAUGCUUGCUAGUUUAAGUUUUCAACUGUAUUUAUUGCAUGUGCAUUUAUGUGGAAUUCUAAAACUCAACAUUUGAUUUUAUUAAGUGUUGAUCUGUCGUUAGCAUUAUCUGUUCCUUUGAAUUUAUUGGUGUAUAUAAUUCUGGUCAGCGCCGCUGCUGGAGCAGUAGACGUUUUGCACAAUAAGGUGCCGCAAGUCAUCAAAGCACAGACAGAGGGACUCCAUGAGGGCUGCUCUGCCCAGAGGUUGGCCGGACAAGUCUCAACGAAGUUCAUGCGGCUGCUGGACCCAGAGGUGGGUUCUGGUGCCGCAGCUGGAGGCAAUCUGAACCGGAGGCUUGAUGAGGACGCCAUAGACAAUUUGCUGAAUGUGGAGGGCAUGCAGGUAUGUUGCUUUCUUCUGUAUUUUUCAUGGCGAUAUGAAAUACACUGGGAGAUUGUUUUGAUUAUGUACAGCUUUGUCUCGCUGAUCAGCUCUUUCUUCGGAGUUUAUAUUGUAUAUAAGGCACUGUGGUGAAAACCAACUUCUGAAGUCGACUUGAUCUUCUUCAGGAAAAUGUCUUAGUGAUAUAUUGAGAAGCACUUCCUUGCCAUGUUCUUUCUACGACGAAUUCAUGAUGUCCUUGUUAGGUUCUAGAACAGUUUGUUAACUGUCCGCUACAUGAAUAAUUCCCCACUGUUUUAAGGAAAAGAAUAGUUCUCCACUAUUUUAAGAAGGAUGUAACAUAUGUCUUGUGAUUCUGUACAGUGGGACUGCUACUUAUCUGGGAGCAGCAUAAUUGACUUGGCAUCUCGACUAAAUAGGUCCCUUCUUUUGGCAGUUCAUAUGCUAAAACGUCAAGAGUUUUUUUUACCAAACUGAAACGUAAACCCACUUUUGCAAGAUAAUGCACCCCCUCCCUCAAUAACUACUCUUUCCUAUCUAUCCAUUGGUAUGUUUCCUUUGUGCAAUAGCUGUGGAUCAAAACACACUUAUGAGCACAGGAAAAACUUUAUUUACCCCACCCCUCAUGUAAGUAAUAUUUCUGUGUUUAGUUCUUACUCUGCCUCAUGUUUUGGAUUUCUAUCAUCAUUUUAUUUUUCUUCUGUAUCAAGUACUAUUUUUUCAGAACUAGCCUCUGAGUAAAUAAACACCCCAGACAGGGCAAUGACAUAUCCUGCAAAAUUUUUAGGACAUUGUCAAGACAUCGAUACCGAAAGUUUAUUCCAAGGACAUUCUUUAUGAGCUCUUUAAGGAGUAUGUUGGACAAUACCCAAAGUGGCUGGAAGAUAACAAGGAAAAGUUAGAUAAGGAAAACUAUGAACAGUAUGUGAAGCAGUUUGAGUCCAUGGUCAACCUUACUACUGUUUAUGAUGACGAGCCUGAGAAUUUCUCUAUGAUAAUGAAACUCAUGUACAAGAUCGGAGAAUAUGGUCCACCUCCCAGUGGUGUCAUUCAUGCUGCAUCUCCUCGUGUUUAUGAGAGUACCAUGCAGAAAGUGUAAGUCCUUAGCUAUUUACUCUCAUUGUCAUUAUAUGUGACUCUCUCGAUUGAUUCUAAGUUUCUAACUAUGACUUAAUCCGAGGAGGGAUAUCCCAUAUAUUUAAAUUAGAUUUUAUUUUUGUAAUUGUUUACUUGAAUUUAGUUGAGCAAUUGUGUUUCUGUACAGAAAAAAGGAUGUUCCCAUCGAAUAUCAAUGUCUUUCAGGGUAGUAUUGGAAAUAAUAUUUUCUGGAGCUCAUAUGGUCCACACCAAGGUUUUGGUUACCGAAUGAGGCAUUUUUACCGAGGGGGACUGGAAAACGCGGUUACCACGGUUACCGAGAAAUACCGAAAAAUACCGAGAAUAUUUCGAACGAAUUUUAUUGUUGAAUUUUGAAUUCAAAUAAGUUAAUGAACGAACAUUUGAACCAAAGACCUCUCAAAACAGGAACUAGGUUCCGACCAACAAGCCAAAACCAACUCUCAUGGUAUUAAUUAGAUUCUAUGUACUUUACUAUAAAUUGAGUGUUUAAAUUCAAAAAAUUCAAAUAACUGGUAUUUUUUGCUUGGUACGUGGAUUUACCGAGGGGCACGGAAAUACGCGGUAAUCAUGGUAAAUCUCGAAAUUUCGACCGGUAACCAAAACCUUGGUCCACACCAAACUUAGCCUCUUGGUAGUAAUAACUAUAUAAUUUUGGUCAGCAGCCUCCAAUCUUACUACUCCCUCUGUUCCUAAAUACUCCCUCCGUCCGAAAAUACUUUUCAUCAAAAUGGACAAAAAGGGAUGUAUCUAAAACUAAAAUACAUCCCAUUUUAUUCAUUUUGAUGACAAGUAUUUCCGGACGGAGGGAGUAUAAGUCUUUGUAGAGAUUUCACUAUGAACUACAUAUGGAUGUAUAUAGAUGUAUUUUAAGUGUGGAUGCAUUCAUUUUGCUCCGUGUGUAGUCCACCUAGUGAAAUCUCUACAAAGACUUACAUUUAGGAAUGGAGGGAGUAUUUGGAAUGAAGGCUUUUUACCUGGAUCUAUAAAUAAAGCCCUUGUAUGUAGAUAAAAAGCCCAACUACAAACAAUCUUACUUGCAAUACUGCAUUUAACUGAUGUGCCUUGGUUAUAGUAAGGCUCUACCAAACUGAGGCUGUUUUUUUUUCUGGAAAUAUUUGGCUGUACCAGCUUUAUUCUGUGACCUAAAAACCACACACUAUCUGUUUUUAUCGUAUUAUAGAGAUACUUCAUACUUGACAUCGAUUGCCCACUUAUUAUUGUCAAUUUAUGAUUAAUGUCCAUCAUAUUCAGGGUGUAAUGCACUUGUAUCAAAUUUGAGAUAUUAGGGUCCACUGAUUUGAGUGUAUAUGUAUUUUAUAAGAAUUUCUACCAUAUUUCUCUUCUGAUAUCCCGUUUGGUAUUACAACUUCUUUUGGAAACCACAUAUUUAUUUCUAAUUCAGGAUGUAAUAAUAACUUGAGAGCAUCUUUUGGAUGUGAUUUGGAAAAGAAGAGGAAUGACAGACUACAUGGCGGAGCAAUCCUGUGUAUCCUCCCUAGUGGAAUUAGUAAACAAGUAACUAACUAACUAGAUUCCACAGCACAACAACGUUAAACUAACAUUAACAUCUGUACAAUACUUAUCAUAAUGCUUCCGAUGUCCUGCUGGGACUUUGGUGGGGAGCCUAACACAGCUCAUAGGUCCAUCAGAAUCCACUUGAACAAAUCUGUAAUGCAAGAGAUAGAUCUUAACAGUGAUGGUUCAUGUCAUGCAUGGUGUUGAAGGCUGUCUUGUAGGUAAAUCAUUGCCUUGUUUAAAUGGUUAGAAAAACGGACAUAUAGCCUUCUAUUGAAGUCUUCAAGAUAUGUACAGUGGGAAUCAGGCAACUGAGUUAACAAAAGAGAAAAUUCAUUGGCUGUCGUUAGUAAGUCAACGGCCGGUGCCUGAUAUAUAACUUUUCUUUUCGAAACGGAGGCAAAGAUUGCCUCAUCUAUUAAUUAAGCAGAAGAGAAUUGCCCAGUUAAUUACGGAAAACCGGGCAAAAACCGGAACAACAAGGGCCAAGCCCACUCCCAUAGACACAAACACACAGGGCAAAGCCCACCCUGAUCGAUAUAACUUGACAUACUGAAAUACACCGACAUGCAUGCUUACGAAGAACAGAUAUAAGAUUUUAAUUCCAAGGCUAAGUGUUAUGUAACUGGAUGAAGCAUCAAUGCUCUAUUUGCUGAGUUGAGAUGUAGUGUUUUACAACUUGGUACCUUAUUAACCACAUAUUUUUUUUACAAACUACUCCCUCCGUCCGAAAAUACUUGUCAUCAAAAUGGAUAAAAAAAGAUGUAUCUAAAACUAAAAUACAUCUAGAUAUAUCCUCUUUUAUCUAGUUUGAUGACAAGUAUAUCUGGACGGAGGGAGUACUCCGUAUAAUAGGUGUAUGUUGUUUGCAAGUUGAGUGCACCUUUUGCAGUAGAUUUGACUUUAUAGGAUCUCCUCUACCUUUGCAGGUCUACUGGGAUGGUCGAGCUGCUGCAGAAAUAUGACAAAUUGUUCUCUGUUGAUACCAGUCCUUCUACCACAUGAAGCAGCGUCGACCUAUAUACAUGCACCCUCGAAAGAGUUACAGUCCUCUGCAAAGCAUCAUAUAUAGGCAGGCGUAUAACGAAUUCAUCCUUGCUGUUUAGUUUUGAAGAUUACAUGAACAAUUUGGUCUGGUACAAGGCCAGCUGUGCCUGUGCUUUCUAAUACUAACUAGUAACUACACUGGGAAGUUUAAAUCGAUGAAAAACGAGUAACUAUACUGUACUAGUUCCUUUAUAUCUGUGCUACUCUUGUAUGCUUGUGAUGUAUAGUACGAAUGUUUCUUGUCUGCUGAAUCUGUGGUGCUGGAAACUGUCUGGUAGUUCAG
This 99755-nucleotide long non-coding RNA is filed under the name Triticum aestivum (bread wheat). Its description in RNAcentral is "long non-coding RNA (TAES_LNC022938)". The stretch from base 53676 to 53762 matches the Rfam family "MIR1120/MIR1122 microRNA precursor family". Lineage: Eukaryota; Viridiplantae; Streptophyta; Magnoliopsida; Poales; Poaceae. The record is from RNAcentral.